This 159730-nucleotide long non-coding RNA is filed under the name Gossypium barbadense (sea-island cotton). RNAcentral's name for it is "long non-coding RNA (GBAR_LNC017416)". Lineage: Eukaryota; Viridiplantae; Streptophyta; Magnoliopsida; Malvales; Malvaceae. The record is from RNAcentral.
CUGUUUGUAGGCACUGGUAUAAGGUUUCAAUGGAAAUGCUCCUAGUCUUGUAAUCAACAGGUGGUGCUAUACCCCUUAAGAGUACUAUGGGGUCCAAUUUGUUCUUUACUUUUAUCAAUCAGACCACCACUGUGGCAGGAAUCCGAAAUCAUUGUGAAGCUUGAUCCACUUGGUAGUUGCUGAAUCAAUUGCCCCAAGUCCACGUCUGCACAACCAUGGCAACCACCAUAUGAUAUAAAUAAUAGUUUGCUUAGAUUGAGAGUAUUUUAAAAUUUUAAUUUACCGAGUUGAUUACGUACCAAAAAUGGGAUUGAGAUCACAAGGCACAAUUGCUUCACCCUCGUUGGGAGGCUGGUGGGGGUCAAUGCGGUGCACAAUUCCAUGUCCACUAAAGUGGAAAAGCAGGACAUCUCCUUCUUUAGCGGCGACCACCAUCUUCUUGAGUUCAGCCAUAAUGUUUGCACGCGUAGGCUUAUACGUGGACUCUGGUUCAUCAGUUAGGAGCUCAACAUUUUCGGAAUCAAAGCCAAACCUGCUCACGAUCAUUUCUCUCAUGGCUUUCACAUCAUUUACGCAUCCGCUCAACUCGUUGAUGGUGUUGGGGUAGUUGCAUCCAACCAGAACGGCUCUCUUCUUACAUUCGGUGGCCAUCUUGCUUCUAUUUUGGGUCGCUUGUCUUGUCUUGUGCUUCGGACGUUGCACUAAACACCUAUAUAUAUACACACAUACACACUGUAGUUUACACUAUGCUCACUGACCAUACUCUAAUAAAUAAGACAUCAUGUUGGUAGGUACAACUGUUUUAUUUUAUUUUUUUGUUUAUAAAAAUGCAUGGCAAAUCCAUAUACAUGCAAUCAGAUGUCUGUAUAAAAGUACCACUGUUAGAGUGUAUUUGGACUAAAAAAUUUAGAAUUAAUUUAAAAUAUUAAAAUUUGUAAUUGUUUUAUUUAGAUAAAUAAUUGAUUUAGGACAAAUUAAGUUAUUAGAAUUUUACAAAUUAAAAAUAAUUGUAAAAUAAAAAAUUAUAUUACAAAAAAAUAAAAAUAAAAAUAAAAAUAAAAAUAAAAAUAAAAUAAUUAUAAAAUAAUUUAUACACAAAAAUGAAUAAUUUGAAAAGCUUUCCAUAUUAUUAAGUCCAAAUUUGAUACGAUACUUUUCCAAUUAAGCAAUUUUGAUAUAUUUGGCCUCUAAUAAGAAAUCAACAUAUGGAAUGGGUGAUUAAUCCGACUUGGGAGGAGGACAGGUGUUGUGAUGGACAAAGAGGAAGAUAAGGUAGGUAUUCCCUUUUUCAGACAAAUAAGAUAGAAGAUAGAAGAUAGAAAAUAUAGAGUGGUGGUCGAAGAUAGAGGAUUAUAACAACACUGAUAUGAUCUGCUUCACCUUCGUCCACCACCUCAUCUUUAAUUAUGUUUUUAUCUUGGUUGUGACUCACGUUGGCCUUCGUCUGCAAGUGCCGUCGGUCCUACUAUCCUGAUUUCUAUGGCCUUAUUUGGCAAUUGGCUCAUAAUGGACAAAUAAUAAUUGUAUAAUGUUUAAGUUAUAAUUUUAUAGAUUUAAGAGAGAUCAAAAUAAUAAUUUUUCAUUUUAUGGGGUAUAAAGUGUAAUUUUCAUUUUUAGGGGGUCAUGGUUAGAUGUGAUUAUGCCACAUGAAGGUAUGCCGGAAAAGUGGGAGAGCUUAAGUAAAAAUAUAGGCAUGAAAAAUGGGUUUAGAUAAAAAAAAUGCCCGUUUUCGAAACGGGUCAAGCCUUGUGUAAGAAUUUUUUGUCCGGGCCCGGCCCAGCCUGACUCAAAUUUGAUUAAAAAAAAUUCUUGGUGUUGUUUAAUGUUGUUUUGCUACCAUUUUACUAUUAUAUUGCUGCUAUUUUGUUAUUAUUGAUUGGAUAUUUUAUAACUUUGUUUUAUUAUUAAUUUUGCUACUAUUUUAGAAGCAUUUGCUUGUUAAGUUGCAACUAUCUUAGUGUUAUUUAAAUAAAAAGACUUUUUUUAAUGUAUUUUCAAUUUGUUGGGAAAUAUUUAUUUUAAUGUUUUUAGUUUAUUUGAUGUAUUAUAUAUUUAAAUAAAAAAGUUUAAUACGGGUAGACUGGGUCAAGCUCAGGUUUUGCAUUUUUUUUAUUUGGUUCAGGCUUGGACAAAAUUUUAGACCUAUUUUUCGGGUCGAUUUAGCCCAUGAUCAAGUUUAGCCACGACCCUUGCCUGCUCUGGUCACUGCCUCUGGCAAUAAGAUUAAUUCCAGUGAGAUUGAAAAUAGCAAUGGUGGUGAGAUUAGUUACUAUAGUGAUGAGAUUAAAAUCAAUAGUGAGAUGUGUGUUAGAAUUCAAACACAACUGUGGUUUAUAGAUUUAUAGUAAGAAAGUAGAAUGACCAUUAUGGACAUUAAACUAAAGUAGUUUACACUCUUCAAUAUAUUUUUGUACAAUUAAUAUUUUAAUAAUAAAAAUUCAUAUUUCAUUUAUAUAACUCAUGCGUAUUGUGAAAAAUAUAAUGUCGGUAAUGACAAUAUAUCGCAAAGAAAAAUAAAAAAAGAAAAAUAAAGAACACACAGAUUUUACGUGGAAACCCAUUCGGGAAAAAAAACCACAGGCAGAGGAGAAGAAAAUUCACUAUGUCGAAUUCGAACUAAUUACAAGAGGAGUAGACUAUACCUAUUUAUAGGCUUGUAAAACCAUAUUCUAAUAGGAGUAAAACACCUUAUUCUAAUCAAUAUCAAAUAGAUAGAGUUUAAUAAGGUUUAAAAAACCUUAUUCUAAAAUAAAAUAAAAGAAGUAUAAUUCUAUAGGGAUUUUACUUUUAUUUUAUUUUACCACAGUAUUUUAUUAAAUAAUGAUUCGGGUCACUUAAUUCUAACAAUCUCCACCUUGAAACGAAUUCUUAAUGAACAAGUUCUUCAUCGCGAACUUUCAACGAACAAGUUUUUCAUCGCGAACUUUCAACUUAAGGGUUUAUCUUCAACAAUGAACACCAACCAAGUCUAUGCAAUGCUCAAACUUGGUUAUAGGAAGUGACUUAGUCAUCAUAUCUGCAGGAUUUUCAUGAGUACUAAUUUUGCUCACAACAAAAUCACCACGAGCAAUAAUAUCACGAACAAAAUGAUACCGAACAUCAAUAUGUUUUGUUCUCUCAUGAAACAUUUGAUCUUUUGUAAGGAAGAUGUCACUUUGACUGUCACAAAAUACUGUAUUGAUUUGAAGGUCUUCAUUGAGUUCAUUAAAGAGUCCCUUCAACAAAAUAGCUUCUUUACAAGCCUCAGUAAUCACCAUGUACUCAGCUUCAGUGGUGGACAAAGCGACUGUAGUUUGCAAAGUGGCUUUCCAACUGAUUGCACAACCUCCGAUUGUAAAGACAUAACCUGUGAGAGAUCUUCUUCUAUCGAGGUAUCUAGCAAAAUCAGCAUUAACAUACCCAAUGACUCCAUCUCUAGUUCUUCCAAACUGUAAGCAAACAUCGGUAGUACCUCGUAAGUAUCUUAAAACCCACUGAACUGCUUUCCAAUGUUCUUUACCGGGAUUCACCAUGUAUCUGCUAACUGCAUUAACUGCAUAUGAUAAAUCUGGACGUGAACAAACCAUAGCAUACAUGAGAGAUCCCACUGCACUAGAGUAUAGAACAUGUGACAUAUACUCAAUCUCAUCAUCUGAUUGUGGAGACAAAGCCGAUGAAAGUCUUAAAUGGGCUGCUAAAGGAGUACUGACAGACUUAGCAUUCUGCAUAUUGAAUCUACAAAGAACUUUCUCAAUGUACCCCUUUUGACUUAGGUACAAUUUACUUGCUUUUCUAUCUCUGAGAAUCUCCAUACCAAGUAUCUUCUUCGCUGGUCCCAAAUCUUUCAUCUCAAAUUCUUUACUUAGUUGGGCUUUGACCUUUCUUAUCUCUCCUUUAUCUUUUGCUGCUAUCAACAUGUCAUCAACAUAAAAGAGUAGAUACACAAAAGAACCAUCACUGUUUUUCUUAAAGUAAACACAACUGUCAAAGCUACUUCUUUUAAAAUUAUGAGAAGUCAUAAAGGAAUCAAACCUCUUAUACCACUGUAUUGGUGACUGUUUCAAACCGUAAAGGGACUUUUUCAGCAAGCAAACAUAGUCCUCUUUUUCUGAGAUUGUAAAACACUCUGGUUGUUGCAUGUAAAUAUCCUCCUCAAGUUCUCCAUGCAAAAAUACAGUUUUUACAUCUAACUGCUCAAGCUCCAAAUCAUGCAUGGCUACAAUACCAAGCAAAGCUUGAAUCAAACUAUGCUUCAGAACUGGAGAGAACAUAUCUGUGAAGUCCACUCUUGGAAUUUGACUGUAACCCUUUCCAACAAGCCUUGCUUUAUAUCUGGGUUCUUCAACUCUUGAAGUCCCCUCUUUCUUCUUAAACACCAAUUUACAACGAACAACCUUUUUACCUUUAGGAAGUUUCACAAGAUCCCAUGUUUUAUUUUUGUGUAGUGAUUCCAUCUCCUCUUGCAUAGCAAACAUCCACUUUUCUAAGUCUUCACAACUAACCGCCUCAGAAUAAUUAGAUGGCUCUUGGUUUGCAUCUAUAUCUUCAGCCACAUUUAAAGCAUAAGACACUAGAUCAGCCUCGGCAUACUUCUUUGGAGGUUUAAUUUCUUUUCUAGUUCUAUUUUUGCCGAUAGAGUAUUAUGGUGAAGAAGCAACUCUAUUUUGAAUUUUUGUACUGGCUUCAGUAGUCGACUCUGUUGUAGAUUCUGAAUUAAUCUAAUGCUCCACCUUCUUUUGAUUUUCUUUAUCGGAAGAGUCUUUAAGAGAUAAGUUAGGUAGCAUAGCAGUUUCAUUAAAAACAACAUCUCUGCUAAUCACCACUUUUCUAUUUUCAGGACACCAUAACUUAUACUCUUUUACACCAGCUUUAUAACCAAGAAAAACACAUUUAAUAGAUCUCGGUUCCAAUUUUCCAUUAUCAACAUGAGCAUACGCAGGACAACCAAAAAUCUUUAAAUUAGAAUAGUCAGCAGGAUUACCAGACCAUACCUCUUGUGGAGUCUUUUUCUCAAUGGCAACAGAUGGAGAUCGGUUGAUCAAAAAAAUACAGUAGAGGCUACUUUGGCCCAAAAUGACUUUGGUAAGCUGGCAUUUGACAACAUACAUCGAACCUUCUCCAUAAUCGUUCUAUUCAUUCGUUCUGCAACACCGUUUUACUGUGGAGUAUGACGAACUAUCAAGUGUCUCACGAUCCCUUCUGACUUGCAUAGUUUAUUGAAUUCAUCAGAAUAGAACUCUAAGCCAUUAUCUGUGCGAAGGUGUUUUAUUUGCAUUCCCGUCUGUUUUUCAAUCAUGGUUUUCCAAGACUUAAAUGCGGAAAACACAUCGCUUUUCUGCUUCAGAAAGAACGCCCACACUUUUCUACAAAAAUCAUCAAUAAAAGUUAGCAUAUAAUUAGCUCCACCUCUCGAAGAUACUCUGGAUGGACCCCACAGAUCAUAAUGAAUAUACUCUAAUGUUCCCUUCGUGUUAUAGAUUCCUCUGGUGAAUCGAACUCUUUUUUGCUUCCCAAAAACGCAGUGCUCACAGAACUGUAGUUUGCAAAUUCCUUGCCCAUCAAGAAGUCCUCUUUUGCUCAAUUCUGCCAUGCCAAUCUCACUCAUAUGCCCUAGGCGCAUAUGCCAAUGUUUAGUAAUAUCAUCAUUUGACAAGGAAGAGGAUGUGACAGUUGCAUCACCAGUAACAGUAGAACCCUGCAAAACAUAUAACUUGGCAGUCUUUCUCUGCCCUUUCAUUACAAUGAGGGAACCUUUAGAAAUCUUCAAAACCCCACUUUCAGCUGUGUAUUUGUACCUUUUUGAAUCAAGAGUACUCAAUAAAAUUAAAUUUCUCUUCAAUUCUGGAACAUGUCGUACGUCGCUAAGUGUUCUGACAACUCUAUCAAACAUCUUAACUUUAAUUGUUCCAACACCUGUAAUUCUACAUGAAGCAUUAUUUCCCAUCAAAACAACACCUUCAGACACUGUUUCGUAAGUUGUAAACCAAUCCCGAUUGGGACUCAUGUGGAAGGUGCAGCCCGAAUCAAGAAUCCACUCCUCGCUCACUUUAAAAUUGUUGACAGAAGCGACUAGAAGUUCACCAUCGCUAUAGUCUUCUACAACAUCAGCCUUACCAAAAUUUUCUGGUUGCUUUCCAUUUUGAUUCACAGCUUCCCUUUUGAUCUUAUUCUGCAGUUUAUAGCACUCAGAUUUAGCGUGCCCAUUCUUGUUGACGCCAUUUUCUGGAUGAAAAAAGGGUCAACUUGGAUUUUGAAAAUGAAAACGGGAGUCGCCACCAAUCCUUUUUUGUGAGGUGUGAUUGGAUCACCUCCAAAAGUGGUUGUUUUUAAUAAACGGUUUGAUUUUAUUAAAACAACAAGUUUGGUCCACGAAAUUCAGAAAAAUGGGUUCGGGAGUCGGUUACGCACGAGGAAGGAUUAGCACCGUCGAUACGCCCAAAAUUGGUACCUAGUUGAUUAGUUAAUGUCUUAAUGUCGAAAAUUGAAAACUUUGAAGAAUUUUAAAAAUACGAUCCUUAUAUUAUAAUGUUGAAAAUUUUCGGGAAAAUGAGGCAUAUUUCACGUUAAUCGAGGAAAAGAAUCAUAUCCAGUAAGUUAGGACACAAUUUCUCGAAUUUUCGAUGCGCGAAUGAAUGCCGAAAAUUUAAAAGAUGUCUGACUAUCUCGAAUUUAAAAAAGGGAUCAAGUCCAGUAAGUUAGGACUCGAUCUUUUCUUAAUUUCCGAGAUCAUUUAAAACUUCGGUUAAAAAACUCUCGUAUUUAGAUUUAUCGUGAAAAUCGAAACCUAGUAAGUUAGGGUACGACUUUCUCGAGUCUAAACAUGAAAUUUUAUUUAUUCAAAAGUCAUAAUUUAUACAUUGAAUGAAAAAUAAUUUAACGCGUAAUAGUAGAAAUAAAACAUGAUGUUAAUGCUUGUAACAAAACAAUAAUGAAUUCGAUAAUGUAAUUAUGAAUAAUACGAGUAACAACAAAUAAAAGAUAAAUAAAUAAAAAACGAAUUAAACAUGCAAAAGAAUAAGCAAAUAAACUACUCGAAUGAAAGUGGGCAUAAAUAAAUAAAAGAAAAUAAACACCGCGCUAAAUAACGAAACCAUAAAAGAAAUAAAAAUAUAUAAAUACAUGUAUAUAUAUAUUUUAGAAUUAUGAAAAUAUAGAAAAUAUUUAAAAAUAUGUAUACGUAUAUCUAUGUGUAAUAAAAUACGUAGAAAUAGAUAUAGGUAUGUGUAAGUAUGAAAAAUGAAAUAUAAAAAUAUAUUUAUAAUAACUUUAAAAUGUAUGUGUAUAUGGAUUAGGAAAAUGUAUAUAUUUACACACAAUAAAAUAAAAUAAAAUAAAAUAUGUACAUAUAUAUUAUAAAAAGUAUGCGUUUGUAUAUGUAAAAUAUAUAACAAGAAUUUUAAAAUUAAAAGAGUAUAAACAUAAUAAUAAUAAUAAUAAUAAUAAUAAUAAUAAUUUGAAAACAUGAAAAGCUAGAAGUAAAUAAUAAAUAAUAAAAGAUACAGUAAGAUAAAUAUAUAUAUAUAAAAACUAAAAAACUAAAAAAGAAAUAUAUAAUAUAUAAUAUAAUAUAAUAUAUAAAAAGGUAAUGCAAAACUAUUUUAUAUAAUAAUGAUGAAUAAAUAAAUAAAUAUAAGGGAAAAUAAAAACUAAUAAUAAAUAACAAUAAUAAUAAUAACAUCUCAUUUAUUGAUUUAAUAAUAAAACAAACAAAAUAACACAAAAAAAGGCUAAAUUAGAUAUUAAAACAAAAUUCGGGGCCAAAUCUAUAAAUAAAUAAAAGAGGAAGGACAAAGUUGAACGCGCGAACAACAAGAAGGGAUCAAGAGAGCAAUUUUUCCUUCUUUCCCAAAACGCACAGCAUCAUAAGACCAAAUUGUAAAGAAAAAUAAACUAAUGUGCGAAUUUUAAAAAAAACAAAAGGGCCUUGAUUGUAAAAUUAUUUAAAAGCGGAAGGGCUGAAAACGCAAUUAGCCCUUCCGCUCAAAAACACGCGGAUCUUGGCUUGGAGCGGGUCGGGCGAAUUGGGUUAAAGCCAAAACGACGCCGUUUUGGCGUUUUAGAGGGCUGAGCAAAACGACGCCGUUUUGCUUCCCUAUUUAAACCAAUUUUUUUCCAGAAACUUUCAUUUUUCUUUCUUCUUCAAACAAAACUCCCUCAUUCUCUCUCAACCCCCUUUCUUCUCCCCCAAAAUCCGGCCAAGCUUCCGGCGAGCCACCGCCGUAGCCCACCGCGCCGGCCACCGUACACGGUGGCUGAAAAAAUAAAAAAAAAGGUAAUUUUUUUAUUUUGCUAAUAUAAACUGUUUUUAUAUGUAUAUAUAUGUUUGAAAAUAGGAAAUGAACGGAUAUAUAAAAAAAAGAAAAAAAGAAUCCGAAAUGAAAAAGGAGAGAUCACCUUUUAGUGUAUCUUUUUUUUUCUAUUGAUCUUUCUUCCCUUUUUUGUUACAAAAGUCCCUCAAAAAACCCCCGUUACAUUUUUUGAAUGGCCUUUAAAUAGCCAUUUUUUACAUCUUUUUAAUCUGUUCUUGCGCUCUUGUCACUUCUUUCUUUCUGUUUGCAGGCGCAAGUGGGUGAGCAAGUGGGCUGCGGCGUCAGAAGCAAGUGGCGACCAGGAGCAGGUGGUGGCAGUUGGGGUUGGUGGCUGUGGCGGCUGAAGCUAGGGUUAGGGGCUAGGGUUUCUUUUCUUUUGUUUUUUUUGUUAUUGUUUUCUGAUUUGGGCUGAAAAGUUUUUUUAUUGGGUUUAGGUUGGUUAUUUGUUAUUGGGCUAAUUGUUUUGGUUUAAUUGUUUUGGUUCCUUGGGCCCGGGUCAAAAAUUGGGCUUGUAUUGCUUGUUGGAGGGAUCCAAUCGCGAUAUGAUUAGUUGGCCCUAGGAAAAUGGUUAAAAGCUAUUCAUCAGGGUCGGAUGUACCAUAAAUAAAUGAUAUGAGCCCAUAAUAAAUAGGCUCGUCUCAGAGAAUUCCACGAGAAGGCUGGAUGUUGAAAAGAUUCUUCCUUAACGAAAGGAUUCUAAAGGGAAAUGAAUGCCAAACCAGGAAUGUCCCUAUGUUGUAAAGAAGAUCAUUUUCAGAGGAGCACUGAUCCUGAGUGAGAUUGCCAAUCCUAUAAACUCGGAUCCAGUUAAGAAACAUUUCGUUUAAAGAAAAAGGAAGGACCAAGGUGAAAACUUGCAAAGGGCACUUUGAGUCAAGAAAAAAAUGUAAAAAAAAAAAUGAAUGAAAAUGAAAAAAAAUUGAAAAAUGAAAAAAUGAAAAGUAAAAAUGGAGAGGCUAAGGGGAAAACCCGCAAAGGGCAUCUUAGGCCAAAGGGGAUUUGAGUUGAAAACCCGAAGGAGGGAUCAAAUAUUGAUCAGAAUGGGGCAUGAAGUGAUCAGAUUGGGGCAUGCGGUGAUCUUGCUAUACCUGAAAGGGUAAGGCGACAUCUUGGGGCAUCGACGGAGUCCUGUAGAUCUUCUAAACACCUGUCAAACUCAGGAAGGUCUUCAGAAAGUUUGUACAGAGAAGUUCAAGUUGCGAUAUCUAGGGCACCUGCCAUUCGUAUUAUUUGAAGUUGUUAUUCUUGGAAUACUUCUUUCUUUUUCAAGAUACAUGUUCCAAUCAAUUCCUUUUUUUGCUAUCCUUGAUAAUUUAUUCAUUUCGAGCUAUGCUCUCAAAUCAAUUCUAUUUUAUCCAUCGUUAUAUUCUUCUUGCAAGCAUGUUGCAUUGGAAUGAUGAUACUUUCACAAUGGAAGUUUUACAUAUUACUCUAGAAGUUUCUAAAUAAUAUAGGAACCUGAAACAGGACUAUUGUUUAGAAAACACCAAGUUUAAAGGGUGAAAUAUCUAAGAAGGAAAAGUCUAAGUUAAGGCUAUCCCUUCGGAUUUUGUUGUCCAAACAUUGACUGAACAAAAUGACAAGAUGCCGUGUUGGUGACAAAGCUUCAAUGAACAAACAAGCAAUGAUCACUGAGUGAUAAGAAAAGGUUUUCUCAGAGAAGAAAAUUUUGCAAUUGUGCAUGAGCAUUUGGUAUGACACCUGGGGAAUGGGGUAAAAAAAACCAAAAAGCUUCACAUUCUGUAUCCUUGAAUUACGAUAGAAGAAGAUUGAGAAAAGCCAUAUCUUUCUACCCUUGGGUUACAGUGGGAGAAUGAUGGUACAUUUUUACGUCCCAAUGGAUUGAACUUUGACGUUCACAGUGGGGGGCAAUCAGAUUAAGUGUUUCUUUGGAUAUGCCAGACGAGCAAGAAGGCGUUGUAGUACGUCAGUGAUAAAACCUUAAUAAGCUUUUGCGUGAUGAUAACCUAAGCAUUAAGGAACCAUUUUCAUGACAUUUUGCAUUCAUUCAAAUGUCAUUCAUACACAUCUAGUUAGGAGCAUUUGAUUUGUUCUGAUCAUGUCAUCCUAAUCACUAGGCACAAUUAGGUUCAUAAAAUAGAACAUACAGGUCAGGUUCCCCAAAGAACAGAUCAACGAAGAUAGCAGAUCUUGUCUUCCUGUAUUUGGCAGCGGAGGAAAUCGAAGAUAGUAGAUCUUGUCUUCCUGUAUUUGGCAACGAAGGAGAUCGAAGAUAGCAGAUCUUAUCUUCCUGUAUUCGGCAGCGGAGGAGAUCAAAGAUAUAGCAGAUCUUGUCUUCCUGUAUUAGGCAGCGGAGUAGAUCGAAGAAAGCAGAUCUUGUCUUCCUGUAUUAGGCAGUGGAGUAGAUCAAAGAAAGCAGAUCUUUUCUUCCUGUAUUAGGCAGUGGAGUAGAUCAAAGAAAGCAGAUCUUGUCUUCCUGUAUUAGGCAGCAGAGUAGAUCGAAGAAAGCAGAUCUUGUCUUCCUAUAUUAGGCAGCGAAGUAGAUCGAAGAAAGCAGAUCUUGUCUUCUUGUAUUAGGCAGCGGAGUAGAUCGAAGAAAGCAGAUCUUGUCUUCCUGUAUUAGGUAGCGGAGUAGAUCGAAGAAAGCAGAUCUUGUCUUCCUGUAUUAGGCAUCAGAGUAGAUCGAAGGAAGCAGAUCUUGUCUUCUUGUAUUAGGCAGUGGAGUAGAUCGAAGAUAUAACAGAUCUUGUCUUCCUGUAUUAGAGCGGAGUAGAUCGAAGAAAGCAGAUCUUGUCUUCCUAUAUUAGGCAGCGGAGUAGAUCGAAGAAAGUAGAUCUUGUCUUCCUGUAUUAGGUAGUGAAGUAGAUCGAAGAUAGUAGAUCUUGCCUUCCUGCCUUGACAGCGAAGCAGAUCGAAGACACAAACCUUGCCUCUCUCGGUUGUAGUGGAGCUGGUUGAAGACAACAGAUCUUGCCUUCCUGCAUUGACAGCGAAGCAGAUCGAAGACACAAACCUUGCCUCUCUCGGUUGUAGUGGAGCUGGUUGAAGACAACAGAUCUUGCCUUCAUGCAUUGACAGCGAAGCAGAUCAAAGACACAAACCUUGCCUCUCUCGGUAGUAACGGAGCUAGUUGAAGAUAACAAAUCUUGCCUUCCUGCAUUGACAGCGAAGCAUAUCGAAGACACAAACCUUAUCUCCCUAACGUUGUAGUGGAGCAGACUAAAACCACAAAUCUCGUCCCCCUAAAGUUAUAACAGAGUGGAUUGAAGCUACAAGUCUUGUCUUUUUGAAGUUGCAGCGGAAUGGAUCGAAGCAACAAGACAUACUGGACUGGAAUGAAACUACUUGGAAAGAGAGGUGUUAGAGAAGUCAAGACUCAGUGAGACCGGGCAAAAAUUGGUCUUUCUUAGUCUUUGCUCUGUUAUCGUUACAUGACAACAAGCAAAGAGGGGCAGCUGUACAAGCCCAAUUUUUGACCCGGGCCCAAGGAACCAAAACAAUUAAACCAAAACAAUUAGCCCAAUAACAAAUAACAACCCAAACCCAAUAAAAAACUUUUCAACCCAAAUCAGAAAACAAUAACAAAAAAAAAAACAAAAGAAAAGAAACCCUAGCCCCUAACCCUAGCUUCAGCUGCCGCAGCCACCAACCCCAACUGCCACCACCUGCUCCUAGCCGCCACUUGCUUCUGACGCCACAGCCCACUUGCUCACCCGUUUGCGCCUGCAAACAGAAAGAAAGAAGUGACAAGAGCGCAAGAACAGAUUAAAAAGAUGUAAAAAAUGGCUAUUUAAAGGCCAUUCAAAAAAUGUAACGGGGGUUUUUUGAGGGACUUUUGUAACAAAAAAGGGAAGAAAGAUCAAUAGAAAAAAAAGAGACACUAAAAGGUGAUCUCUCCUUUUUCAUUUCGGAUUCUUUUUUUUCUUUUUUUUAUAUAUCCGUUCAUUUCCUAUUUUCAAACAUAUAUAUAUACAUAUAAAAAUAGUUUAUAUUAGCAAAAUAAAAAAAUUACCUUUUUUUUAUUUUUCCGGCCACCGUACACUGUGGCCGGCGCGGUGGCGCUACGGCGGUGGCUCGCCGGAAGCUUGGCCAGAUUUUGAGGGAGAAGAAAGGGGGUUGAGAGAGAAUGAGGGAGUUUUUUUGAAGAAGAAAGAAAAAUGAAAGUUUCUGGAAAAAAGUUUGUUUAAAUAGGGAAGCAAAACGGCGUCGUUUUGCUCAGCCCUCUAAAACGCCAAAACGGCGUCAUUUUGGCUUUGACCCGAUCCACCCGACCCGCUCCAGGCCAAGAUCCGCGUAUUUUUGAGCGGAAGGGCUAAUUGCGUUUUCAGCCUUUCCGCUUUUAAAUAAUUUUACAAUCAAGGCCCUUUUGUUUUUUUUAAAUUCGCACAUUAGUUUAUUUUUCUUUACAAUUUGGUCCUAUGAUGCUGUGCGUUUUGGGAAAGAAGGAAAAAUUGCUCUCUUGAUCCCUUCUUGUUGUUCGCGCGUUCAACUUUGUCCUUCCUCUUUUAUUUAUUUAUAGAUUUGGCCCCGAAUUUUGCUUUAAUAUCUAGUUUAGCCUUUUUUUGUGUUAUUUUGUUUGUUUUAUUAUUAAAUCAAUAAAUGAGAUGUUAUUAUUAUUAUUGUUAUUUAUUAUUAGUUUUUAUUUUCCCUUAUAUUUAUUUAUUUAUUCAUCAUUAUUAUAUAAAUUAGUUUUGCAUUACCUUUUUAUAUAUUAUAUUAUAUUAUAUAUUAUAUAUUUCUUUUUUAGUUUUUUAGUUUUUAUAUAUAUAUUUUUAUCUUACUGUAUCUUUUAUUAUUUAUUAUUUACUUCUAGCUUUUCAUGAUUUCAAAUUAUUAUUAUUAUUAUUAUUAUUAUUAUUAUUAUUAUUAUUAUUAUGUUUAUACUCUUUUAAUUUUAAAAUUCUUGUUAUAUAUUUUACAUAUACAAACGCAUACUUUUUAUAAUAUAUAUGUACAUAUUUUAUUUUAUUUUAUUUUAUUGUGUGUAAAUAUAUACAUUUUCCUAAUCCAUAUACACAUACAUUUUAAAGUUAUUAUAAAUAUAUUUUUAUAUUUCAUUUUUCAUACUUACACAUACCUAUAUCUAUUUCUACGUAUUUUAUUACACAUAGAUAUACGUAUACAUAUUUUUAAAUAUUUUCUAUAUUUUCAUAAUUCUAAAAUAUAUAUAAACAUGUAUUUAUAUAUUUUUAUUUCUUUUAUGGUUUCGUUAUUUAGCGCGGUGUUUAUUUUCUUUUAUUUAUUUAUGCCCACUUUCAUUCGAGUAGUUUAUUUGCUUAUUCUUUUGCAUGUUUAAUUCGUUUUUUAUUUAUUUAUCUUUUAUUUGUUGUUACUCGUAUUAUUCAUACUUACAUUAUCGAAUUCAUUAUUGUUUUGUUACAAGCAUUAACAUCAUGUUUUAUUUCUACUAUUAGGCGUUAAAUUAUUUUUCAUUCAAUGUAUAAAUUAUGACUUUUGAAUAAAUAAAAUUUCAUGUUUAGACUCGAGAAAGUCGUACCCUAACUUACUGGGUUUCGAUUUUCACGAUAAAUCUAAAUACGCGAGUUUUUUAACCGAAUUUUUAAAUGAUCUUGGAAAUUAAGAAAAGAUCGAGUCCAAACUUACUGGACUUGAUCCCUUUUUUAAAUUCGAGAUAGUCAGACAUCUUUUAAAUUUUCGGCAUUCAUUCGCGCAUCGAAAAUUCGAGAAAUUGUGUCCUAACUUACUGGAUAUGAUUCUUUUCCUCGAUUAACGUGAAAUAUGCCUCAUUUUCCCAAAAAUUUUCAACAUUAUAAUAUAAGGAUCGUAUUUUUAAAAUUCUUCAAAGUUUUCAAUUUUCGACAUUAAGACAUUAACUAAUCAACUAGGUACCAAUUUUGGGCGUAUCGAGGGUGCUAAUCCUUCCUCGUGCGUAACCGACUCCCGAACCCGUUUUUCUGAAUUUCGUGGACCGAACUUGUUGUUUUAAUAAAAUCAAACCGUUUAUUCAAAACAACCACUUUUCGAGGUGAUCCAAUCACACCUCACAAAAAAGGAUUGGUGGCGACUCCCGUUUUCAUUUUCAAAAUCCAAGUUGACCCUUUUUUCAUCCAAAAAAUGGUGUCAACAAUUCUUCUUGCAGAAGUUACAAGUUUUACCUCUGUUUGAAGACUUCGAUCUACCUUUAGAUUUACAGCGAGGAUUCCGUUCCUGUGUCCUUCCACGAUCAUCAUCAAAAUUCCGAUCUUGUCUCCCACGAACAAUGAGACCCUUUCCUUGAGAGUCAAUUUUAACCACAAGAUACUUCAUCUUAUCAUACGAGGUUAAAGAAUCAUAAACCUCAUCAACUGUGAGAGACUCGCGGCUAUAUAAAAUUGUAUCUCUAAAGGUUGAAUAAGACGGGGGCAACGAACAAAGUAGAAUCAACCCUAGAUCUUCCUUAUCAUACUCAACCUCCAUGGCCUCUAAAUUUGAGAGAAUUUUUUUAAACAUUGUCAAGUGUUCGUGCACAGACGCACCUUCCUCUAAACGAUGAUCAUAAAGACGCUGCUUCAUAUGCAGUUUACUAGUUAGAGUUUUCGACAUACAUAUUUGUUCCAACCUUUUCCAUAAUCCAGCGGCGGUCUUCUCCUUCAUCACAUCCUGCAAAAUUUCGUUAGACAAAUGCAGAUGUAACUGUGUUAACGCCUUUCGAUCCUUGCGCUUCUUCUCUUCCUCCGUCAAUGUUGAAGGCACCUUAUCUACCCCUAGUAGGGCUUCCUCUAAGUCUAUCUAUGCAAGAACUACUUGCAUCUUUAUUUGCCGCAAUGCGAAUCUGGUGUUGCGAUCCAACAGCGAAAUUUCAUACUUCAAAGACGUCAUUAUCGUGAUUGAGAUGAAUAACCCGAAAGCUCUGAUACCAAUUUGUGAAAAAUAUAAUGUCGGUAAUGACAAUAUAUCGCAAAGAAAAAUAAAAAAUAAAAAUAAAAAUAAAAAACACACAGAUUUUACGUGGAAACCCUUUUGGGAAAAAAAACCACGGGCAAAGGAGAAGAAAAUUCACUAUGUCGAAUUCGAAUUAAUUACAAGAGGAGUAGACUAUACCUAUUUAUAGGCUUGUAAAACCAUAAUCUAAUAGGAGUAAAACACCUUAUUCUAAUCAAUAUCAAAUAGAUAGAGUUUAAUAAGGUUUAAAAAACCUUAUUCUAAAAUAAAAUAAAAGAAGUAUAAUUCUAUAGGGAUUUUACUUUUAUUUUAUUUUACCACAGUAUUUUAUUUAAAUAAUGAUUUGGGUCACUUAAUUCUAACAAUCUCCACCUAUUUAAUGUAAAUUAAAAAUGUUCAAACUAAUUGUUUUAUGUAAGAUAUGAAUGACAGUCUUCUAUAGAACUUCCUAAAUAUAGUCAGUUUUAAAAUUCAAAACUAAUCAUUUUUAAAAGCUUAUUUUUAUGGAGAUAUUUGGCUUGGAUGAUGAGAGAAAUCAAGAGAAUUAAGGUUGAAGAUCAAAAAGUGGAAGAAAAGCAUGAAGAUGGAGAAGACUAACGUGAAACUUAUAGGUGGGGAUGAUUUUAGGUUGAUUUUUAAAAUUUGUUUUAAUUGCCUCUUAAAAACUCACAAUUUUAAUUUUUUUACAAAUCAAUACUACCUUCAAAAUUAAAGGUAUUUAAAACUCAUUUUCAGAAAUUGAUUUAAUUUUAAUCAUAGUAAAAAAUAUUAUCGAUAAACCAUUUCGUAAAAUUUCGAACACUCUAAGGCUAAAAUUCCUAAAUUACCUCUAAAACUCCUAGGUCCUAUUUUGGGAUGUUACAAUAAAUUGGUGUAAAUACACAUUUGGUCCCUAUCGAUUUUAAAAUUGAGCAAAUAGAUCUUUCUCUCAAAAAAAAUUACAAAAAAAUUUCAAAAUAUUUAUAAAAAUUUAAGAAUUUAAAUAUUUUAAAAAUAUAUAUUAAAAACUCAAAAGAAUAUAUAUAAAAAUUAGAAAACUCUAAAAUUAUCAUUUUUGGGACCUAAAUAAGUUAAUUAAUAAUUCAAUUUUAUAAUACUAUUUUUACUCUUUUUUUUAAUGAAUUAAAAAAAAUAAAUGAUUUCAAAGUUAUGUGUUUUAAUAUAGAAUUAGUUAAAUUGUAAAAAUAUUUUAAUUUUUUCACUCGAUCCGAUCGAACGCUCACUCCUAGUGGUCGAUGUUCAUCCGCAUAUAUCUUUUGUCUCUAACCAGAAAAGAUCUCUUCCAAAAUGAAACUCUUAAAUUGGAGCGUGUCAUAUUUACUACAGGCCGUUUAUGAUAGAAUCGGACCAUUUAACUUUGAAAUCACUCACGUAAUGCAUGUUAUUCGGAAGGUUAUCGAUAAAUAUCGUUGCAACACCUUGAAGUUCGCCACUCCAUUUUUCUAUUGUGCGCUCUCCUUUGAUUAUAACAAUCCAGAACCUUCCUUACUCUAACUUAUAAAAUUAAAAAGACUCUGUAGGACAAAAUAAGACUUUAUUUAUUUAUUUAUUAUUACACUAGAAUUUCACACAUAGCAAACGCACACUAUAUAGGAGAUGCAUAAGAAAACAGCGGUAGGUAGAUAUAAGUCAACAGGCUGUCAAAUUUAUUCUAGUAGUAGUGCAAAACAUAAGCACAUUACUGACAGCCUGAGCACCAGCAUUUUGAUCAGAAAUUUAAGCAAAGCCACCCAAGAAAAGUGUGUUUGUAUUCUCAUCACUGCAAUAAAGGCAAGGGUUCUGCUCGAAUCCAUUGUUCUUCAAAAUCUUGGCAGCCUCAGCCACGAGGUGUCUGUUGCUUAUUCCAACACCCAAGUUCUGAUUGAUUACGUUAACCACAGCAUCGGUGAACGCCCCAAAGGCUUUAUUUUCCAAGACCAGGUCAUAUGAUGUCUCAUUGGCUUCACAUCCACUUAAUAAAAUCCCUUCAUCCUCCUCCAGUGGAUCCAACACCAUUAACCCCUCUACGUAGUGAGGAUGGAAUUUGAGACUCACAUCUUUCCCGAAGAUUCCGAAAAUCUUUUGGCCAACAUUUGCUGCGUCGUGUAGGAUGCCUGCUGCUGUAUCUAUCGCACUAUGUAUGAUAUCAAAAGUAAGACUCUUAGCCUUAGCCUUAGACGGUUUAGGCUUGUCGGUAUUUACUGUUGUCGUCAUAUGCUGACCACCAAAUUGUUCUUUCUCUUUUUCAAUGAGACCCCCACUGUGGCACGAAUCUGAUAGGAUUGUGAAGCUUGCUCCUUCUGGUAGCCGAUUAACUAAACGUCUGAAGUCCACAUCUGCAGAAACCAAGUAUAUAUAGGGUAUGAAUAUAUGUUGCUAAAAUAAAUAUAUAAAUUCAAACAAAAACCUACCGGUGACAAGAUUUAAAUCACAAGCCACGAUUGCUUCAUCUUGCUUGAAAGGCUGGCCAGGUUGAAAGAUUGGAACGCGUGUUCCAUGUCCACUGAAGUAGAAAAAUAGAAUAUCUCCUGCUUUAGCCUUGUUCACCAUUCUAUUGAGUGCAUCCUUAAUGUUUACACCCGUAGGCAGAACCGGCGACCCUGGCGCAUCGGUGAGGACAUUAACAUCGCUUUCCUUAAACCCAAUGUCCAGGAUCACACCUCUUAUGGCUUUCACAUCAUUGAUGCAUCCAUGCAAGCUGAAUUGGGUCUUGGGGUAGUUGCAUCCCACCAGAACUGCUCUCUUCGUACCCUUACUCAUCUUGCUCGCUAAUUUGACUAUUUUGUGUUGCUUGUACUGUUGGAAUAAUGUGCUUCCACUGCCUCACUAAGAACAUAUAUAUAUAUACACACUAAUUUACAGCAUGUGUACUGACCAUAAAGAUGACGACAUGUAGGUAGGUAGAUAGGUAGGUAGGCUGUAAUAGAAACUCUCACAUGAAACGAAUGAAUGAAUGAAUUAUUAUUCAUGAAAAAGAUGAUCAGCUGAACCAUCAGCUUCCUGUAUUUAAAGAGUUUUACAAGUCUAACUAACACUUGUAAAUGCUAACUGCUAAAUGCUAAUUGCUAACAACAACCUGCACUGCUAUUUACUAUUUUAACUACUAUUUUACAACUGAAUAGGCAGGUACUGUAGAAGUUUGAUUAAUAUUUGGAGAAAUAAAACAAAGAAAGUGAUAAAAAAUAUAAUGGAGAAGAGAAAUAAAUUUUGUAUGGAAGAGAAAAAAAAUUCUUUCUAAUAAACUUUUUAUUUCACUCACACUAUAUAUUCUUCAUCACAUACAACUCUUUAUAUAGGAGUUGUAAGUGACUAUUCAUCUAUAUCACUAAAUCACUAAAUGCUAGGAGUUGUGACUAUUCAUUUACAUAACUUAAAUACUAUAGGAGUUGUGACUAUUCAUGCAUGUGUGUAACUUUUCAUCUUCAAGUCUCUUCGCAUUUUUAACUCUUCAUAUUCAAGUCUUUUCGCAUUCAUAACUUUUCAUAAUUUAAUUUAUGCAAGAUUAAUUUAAUUAUGUGCCAACAAUGCCUCCCUUAAAUUAAACUUGCUUCGAACUCCCAACCUUUCAACAUUUUUCUUGAAGACUUGUCCACUAAGCGGCUUUGUGAAGAUAUCAGCCAUCUGAUAUUCUAUCUUUCAAUAUUCAACUUGAACAUCACCAUUAUUCACUAGUUCCCUCAAGAAGUGAUACUGAAUGCGAAUGUAUUUUGUUCUUCUAUGAAGAACUGGAUCUUUUGUGACUGAAAUAGUAGAACUAUUGUCACAAAACAAAAUCGUUGACUUGCUCUGCUUCUGCUUAAGACUCUCCAAAAUUCCACGUAACCAAAUCAAUUGACAUCCUACAUAAGAUGCAGCGAUAUAUUCAGCUUCUGUAGUCGAAAGCGCCACAACUGAUUGUUUCUUUGAGCUCCAUGAAACUGCACCACUACCAAGGUGGAAAACAUAACCAGAAGUGCUUCUACUAUCAUCAAUGUUAUCCGUAAAACCAAUGAAAUCAACUAAUGUCUUGGCUUUAUAGAAAAUUCCAUAAUCAAUACUUCCCUUCACAUAUCUCAAUAUUCUCUUGGCAGCCUCCCAGUGAUUGGAGUAAGGUUUCUCCACGAAUCUACUCACCAAGCUAACAGCAUACACGAUGUCAGGCCUUGUCGAAGUCAGAUACAUCAACUUUCCAACCAAACUUCUGAAUAUGGUGGAAUUGACAAGCUUUCCUUCAUCCUCUUUAGAUAACUUCAGACCUGUAAUGCAUGGAGUAGAGACUGGAUUCGCAUUGUCCAUCUUGAAUCUUUUUAGAACUUCCUUUGCAUAGCUCUCUUGUGAAAUAAAAAUUCAUUUCUCGGAUUGAUGAACUUCAAUGCCAAGAAAAUGAUGAAGUUCUCCCAAAUCUGUCAUAUGCCAUCAUUGAGUGCUGAAAUUCUUUCAACAUCUUCACAUCAUUUCCUGUGAAAAUAAGAUCAUCAACGUAGAGACUUACAACCAUGAAUCUUCCUUGAGAAUUGCCUUUGAUGUAGAGAGUAUGCUCAUAUGGACAUUUCUGGAAUCCACACUUCUAAAAAUAAGAAUCGAUGAGGCUGUACCAAGCUCGGGGUGAUUGCUUCAACCCGUGCAAAGCUUUCUUCAACUUGUAAACAUUUUCUUCUUCUCCUUUUUUGACAAACCCUGGUGGUUGAUCAACAUAGACUUCUUCUUUGAGAACACCAUUUAAAAACGCAGAUUUUAUGUCCAUUUGGAACAUUUUCCAAUUGUUUUAGGCAGCAAGAGAAAUAAGUAACCGAAAUAUUUCAAGUCUUGAAACUGGAGCAAAUACCUCUGUAAAAUCUUCUCCUUCCUUUUGCUUGUAUCCUUUUGCAACCAGUAUUGCCUUGUACUUGUUGAUAGAUCCAUUUGGAUUCAUCUUUGUCUUGUACACCCAUUUGACUCCAAUUGAAUUCUUGUGUGGUGACAAAUCUGUAAGGUCCCAUGUAUCAUUAUUUUCAAUUGAGAAAAUCUCUUCUGUCAUGGCUUUCCUCCAUAUUUCUUCUUGAUAUGCAUCAUCAAAAGAAAUUGGAUCUUCUCCUACAAAAAACGACAAAUAAUACAACAUCAUUUUGCACAACUUCAUCAGUUACAUUAUAUAACUCUUGGAUGCUUCUCGUUUUUCGAAUCGGGCUGGAUGAAGAAGAAUUUGAUGAAGAACAUGAGGAAGUAGGAGGAUUUUCUGCUUCAGCAUAAUCUUCAGCAUUCUCAAUUACUGCCUCUUCUUCUUCUUCAAGUUCAAAAGGAAAAAUUGGCAAAUUUUUUUUUCAACUUCCAUAUAUUCAAACAUAGAAUUUUCAUCAAACCGAACAUCUCGGCUUAUCACAAUCUUUUUUGUCACCGGAUUGUACAACUUGUAUGCCAUACUUCUUUCACUAUAGCCAAUGAAAAUGCAUUUCUCUGACUUGUUAUCCAACUUGCUUCUCAUUGCAUCUGGAAUAUGAGAGUAAGCAACACUCCCAAAUACUCUAAGAUGACGAACACUAGGCUUUGUACCAUACCACGCCUCAUGUGGUGUGCAAUUCUCCAAGCUUCUUGUUGGUGAUCUAUUGAUAAGAUAAACUGCACAAGAAACAACUUCAACCCAAAAUCUUCUUGAUAACCUCUUCUUCUUAAGAAGACAUCUAGCCAUUUCCAUAAUUGUUCUAUUCUUUCUUUCACACACACCAUUUUGCUGAGGUGUAUGGCGGACUGUCAUUUCAUGCCGGAUGCCACUAUCUCGACAGUAUUUCUCAAAUUCUUUUGAAAAAUAUUCACUUCCAUGAUCUGUCCGCAAGGUGUUAAUUUUCAACCCAGUAAUUAAAUUUCAUCCCAGUAAAGCUUUCCACUUCUGCCUUGAAAUCUUUGAAUCUCUGAAAAGCCUCUGAUUUUUCUUUGACACAAUAUACCCAUAACUUUCUUGAUUAAUCAUCAAUGAAAGAGAUAAAGUAACGAUUACCUCCCAAAGAUGAAACUGUCAUAGGACCAAAAAGAUCCGAGUGAAUAAGUUGCAAUGGUCUUCUUGCUUUCCACGAGGAUUGAGAAGGAAAAGCAAUUUAGUGUUGAUUUCCAAGUUGACAUGCUUCACAAAUGUAACAGCCUGAAUUUGGGUCUAGUCGGAAUAGUGGUUUCGGGACCACAAAUGUAAUAUUUUAAAAAUUUCUACAGUAAGAUAUUAUCCUUGGUACAGUAAAAUAAGGAAAUGAAGUGAUAAAAUAAUAAAAAAAUAAAAAGGGAGAAUUUUGAGUUAUGGCAACAUUGGGAAAUAUAUUAUAACAUGAUAAUUCAAGAAAGGAUUAAAUUGCAAAAGUGCGAAAAGUUUUGUUGCCCAAGAGUAAAUACUUAAAAUUUGAGGGGUUAAAGUGUAAAUACAAAAAAGUUGAAGGACCAAAGGUGUAAGUAUUUUAAGGGUGGAAUGAUCUAGAAACUAAGAAAAAUGGAUGGAUUAGGAUCAAAUUAAAAAAUGUGAAGAAUUUUGAGGGACUAAAUACAAUUUUACCAAAUUGAGUGAUGACUCAAGAAUGGAAUUUUAAAAGAUCAUAAAGAGCAAAAUGGUCAAUUAAUAAGAGAGAGAAAUCUAGAAGAUAAUGAUGAUGUUGGAGAUAUUUUAGAUUAAUUAAAUAAAUAUUAGUUUAUUAAUAUUUUAAUUUAAUUUUUAAAUGUUAUUUUAUUAUUUUAUUAUUAUUUUAUUUAGUAUAUAUAUAUAUAUAUAAUAAAAGGAAGAUGAAGAAUCAUCAUCUUCCCCCAUGCAUUCCAACGUAUGAAGAGAAAAGAAAGAAAGAAACUUUCUUUUCUUUACAAUUUGGUCCUCUAACCAAAAAUCCUCCAUUUUCACUUUGAAAUCAAACAAAUUUCCAUAACCACCAAGAAAGAAAAUUCAUAAAGAGAAUAUGGGGAGCUAGAAUAUCAAGUUAGAUUCAAGAAAUAGAAGCUGGAGGAGAGAGAAAAUCAAGUUAAAGAUUGAAAUCAAUAGCACAAGGUAAGAACAUCAAGAUGUCAAUUUAUUUUUAAGUUUAAUAUUAUUGAAAAAAGCAUGGAAAUAAUGUUAUAGUAGAGUUUUCUUAUAUAUGGUCUUAUGUUCUUGAUAUAUUAGUGAAGAAAAAUAAGUGAAAGUGAUGGGAAAUAUUAUAGAGAAAUGGAGUUAUACACCUAGUAAUCAACAUUUUGAACUAAAAUAGUUUUGGACAGCAACAGUAGGUUAACUUUGAAAAAUCACCAUAAAUUGUGGAAAUCGAAUUAGAAUAUGAACAAGAUGUGUAAUUAAAUAUUAAUGAGUCUACUUUCAUAUAAAAGAAACAUAGAAAGCAAAAGAAUUGUGUAUUUUGAGAUAUUUAAAUUUUAGUGAGAAAGGGUCGGAAUGAUUUUGGAAUCCCCUGUUCUGACUUUGGAAAAUCAUCAAAACUUUGAGAAAAAUAAUUAGAGGCUUAAAUUUAUAUUUUUAAAUCCUUAAUGAGUAUAUUUUCAAUAAAAACAAACGGUAACAUCAUUUGAAUUCUGUAUGAGGAGAUAAUUAAGUUUUAGUGAAGAAGGGUCGGAACUGUCAGACAGCAGAACAGAGAUGAAUUUAGAGAAUAAACUGUACAUAUUGGCUAAACCAAAAAUUCUAAAAAUUUUAUGGUAAGAGGAUAUGUGAGUCUAGUUUCAGAUAAAAUUAACUGAUCUCAAUUUGGAGUUCUUUAGCUCAAGAUAUAAAUAAUUUAGUGACUAUGACUCAAGUGGACAGCUUUAAAAGAAUAUAAAUAAAUAUGAAAUUAUAGAUAAUGUUACAUAUAAGUAUGUUAUAUAUAUAUUAAGGAUGCGGAAUGGAGAGGAGGAGGAGGAAAAUAUGUGAUUAUUCAACUAGCAUGAGUUUUUAUUAAAAAUGAUCAAUUUAUAUGUUUCAGGGACUAAAUUGAACAAAUAUGAAAAUUUAAGAGUAAAUUUGUAAAAAUGUCAAAAAGUGACCAAAUUGCAUGAAAUGAAUUGUUUUAUCAUUUAAAUUAGUAAAUUGAAUGAAAUAUUAAUUUAGAUCAAGAUUGGGUGGAAAUUCGAGAAAAAUAGAAAAUUUCCAAAAUGUCCCUAUAUUUUGGUAUUUCUGCAAUUUAGCCUGGUAAGUUCGUAUGAACUAUAUUUUGUUUAAUUUCAAUUGAAGUGAAUGCUAUUCGGUAAUGAAUAUUAUACAUAUAUGUGUGUUUUAUAUUGGAACUGAAUUAUUAUUGGUAAUAUACAUAAUUAUUAGAUGCUUUGAAAUGAUUAUCGGAAGCUUGUUGGAGAUAUAUCACAUUACCUAUUGGUUUUAUCGGUAGUUUUGGAUGACUUGAUUCUGGUUAUAAAUGUAUAAGUUAAAUUGGUUAACGUUAGCUCAUAAAUGUUUUGAUUUUGAUCGGUUAUAAAUAUGAAUGUUAGAUAAAAAUGAAAUGCUUGAAAAUUAAUGAGUAAACUCCGGUAAUACCUCGUACCCUAUUUCGGUGUCGAAUACGGGUAAGGGGUGUUACAACAAUCAUCAUCAAGCCGAUCGAUUUUUGGUAAACCUUUGACCAUCAUCUUUCUUGAAAGCAUCUCGAAAUUUUCAUAGUUCAGAUGUCCAUAUCUAUCAUGCCAUAACUUUGAAACUCCUUUAUGAGCACCAAUAAAGCAAGACAUAUUCUGAUUUUGAAGGGUGAGAGAGAAAAAAUUAUUUGAUGCCACUACAACUCUAGCAACAACUUGAUUUUUCCUUGACAAAUAGCAAGCCAUGUCACGGAAAUAAAUAUCAUAUCCCUUCUUCAAAAGAUGCCCAACGCUAAGCAGGUUAUUUUUAAGACCAGGAACAAAAUAAACUUCAGACAUUUUCUCUACCCUUCAUUGCUUUGGUUUGAACUCCAACUCACCAACACCGCUAACUUUGUAAGCUUUGCCAUCUCCUACUUUUACUUCUCCACAAUUAGAUUCAAAGAACUUCGAAAAUAAAUUUUUGUUACUUGUCAUAUGCUUGCUAGCACCACUGUCUAUGUACCAGACAUCACCAAUCUCUCCACUAUGAGACACGAGCAACAAAGUUUCUUGCUUUUGUUCUUGAUUAUUUUGUACUGUAUUAGCUUUAUUUUUCUCUUCUUUCUUGUACCAGCAUUCACUUGCCAAAUGACGAGGUUUGCGACAAUGAUAACAUUCAAAAUAGCCACGACCUCUUCCUCUUUAAUUUCCACGUCCACGUCCUCUUUGUGAUCCUCUAAAAUUCUGACUUUGGUUGGCUUAUUUCCAUCCAUUUUCCAUGCUUGCAUCUUCACCUCUUUCACGAGCAUUUGAGCCUCUUCCCCUAAAAAUUAUUCCUCUUCCACGAGCACGAUCUCUCCCUCUUUGAUUUUUAAAAUCUCCCUUCUUCUCAUUUAGAGACAACUUUGACUGGAGUGCUUGAUCUAGAUCUACUUUCUUCUUGUUGUUGUUUAAUCUUUCUUCAUGGGCUUGCAACGAACCUGUGAGUUCAUCAAUAGUCAUUGUACUCAAAUCCUUUGAUUCUUCAAUGGCUACUACAAUGUGGUCAAAUCUGGAAUCUAAAGAACGGAGGAUUUUCUCAACACCACGAAUAUCAUCCAUAGUUUCACCAUUUCUUUUUAAUUGGUUGACUAUGGACAAAACCCGUGAACAGUAAUCAGAAAUUGAUUCCGACUCUAUUUUUUGCAAUCUUUCAAACUCCCCUCGAAGAGUUUGCAACUGAACUCUUUUCACCUUUUCAUCUCAUUUGAAUGAAUUUUGUAAAAACUCCCAUGCUUGUUUUGCCGUAGUGGCACAAGCAAUUUUUUCCCAAGCCGCUUCAUAUGAUUGAACUCCUUGAUAUAUCCAAAAUAAGGCUUGCUGAUUUUUUUUCUUUGAUUUUCUUAGACUCUCUUUUUGAACUUGUAUUAAUCAUUCUUCCUCUUCAGCCUCAACUUCAUUAUAACAUUUUUCAACAAUCUCCCAAACUUCUAGAGAUCCAAGAAGAGCCUUCAUUUGGAUACUCCAUUUGCCAUAAUUUUCUGUGGUUAAUUGGGGAACAGAAGAAAGAGGAAUAAAAUUAUUCAUUUCAAUGAACAAGGCUCUGAUACCAAUUUGUAGAAGUUUGAUUAAUAUUUGGAGAAAUAAAACAAAGAAAGUGAUAAAGAAUAUAAUGGAGAAGAGAAACAAAUUUUGUAUGGAAGAGAAGAAAAAUUUUUUCUAAUAAACUUUUUAUUUCACUCACACUAUGUAUUCUUCAUCACAUAUAACUCUUUAUAUAGGAGUUGUAAGUGACUAUUCAUCUAUAUCACUAAAUGCUAAGAGUUGUAACUAUUCAUUUACAUAACUUAAAUACUAUAGAAGUUAUGACUAUUCAUGCAUGUGUGUAACUUUUCAUCUUCAAGUCUCUUCGCAUUAUUAACUCUUCAUAUUCAAGUCUUUUCACAUUCAUAACUUCUCAUAAUUUAAUUUAUGCAAGAUUAAUUUAAUUAUUUGCCAACAGGUACAAUACUUUUGUUUGUCUUUUGUGUUUUGGAAAAUGCAUGCGAAAUCCAUGCAUAUGCAAACAUUUUGUACAAGAAAUUUGCAUAUCAGUACUGCAUAAAAGAGUGACUCUGGAGUUAUGGAAUUAUUUGAUAAUAUUGAAUACGAAAUAAAUAAAAAAUAAAAGAGUGGGUGAUUAAUCCGAAUUGGGAGGAGGACAGGUGUUGUGAUGGACAAGGGCAGCUAGGUAUUCCUUUUCAAACGAAGAAGAUAAAAGAUAAAACAUAUAGUGUGGUGGUCGAAGAUAAAUGAUUACAAUAACACUAAUAUGAUCUGCUUUGCCUUCGUCCACCACCUCAUCUUUAUGUUUUUAUCUUGGUUGUGACUCACGUUGGCCUUAGUCUGAAAGUGCUGUCAGUCCUACUAUCGUGGUUCUGUUGCCUACCUUUUGAUUUCUAUAUCUCAGGGUCUAUUUGAAUGUGCCGUGGGGAUAAAGUUAGAAAAUUGCUUUUAAGGGUUGAAGUUAAAUUAUGUAUCUUUAUAGUUUUUAGAGGUGUUGAAUCAAAAUUUUAUUAUUUUUUGAAUAAACUGUAAAUUUACAAUGUUUAACUUAUAAUUUUAUUGAUUUAGAGAGAUUUAAAUAAUAGUUUUCCAUUUUAGGGGUGUAAGGAGUAAUAUUCAUUUUAAGGGUCUAAAGAGUAAUUUUCAUUUUAAGGGGACUACGAUUAGAUUUGAUUAUGAGUUAGGUCACCUGUCCAAGCUCGAUGGCCCUAUUGAAAAGUGAGGGAGUUUGGAAAAUAACAUAGGCCUGAAAAAUAAGCUUGGACAAAAAAUAAUACCCAUUUUCUAAAUGGGCCGAGCCUCGAGUAAGAUAUUUUUGCUUGGGCCCAACUCGACCAAAUUUGCUUAAAAUUUUUUCCUUACUACUGUUAACUGUUUUUUUGCUAUUAUAUUAUUACUAUUUUAUUGUUAUGUUUGGAUAUUGUAUAAUUAUUGUUUAUUGUUAAUUUUGCUACUAUUUUAGAUGCAUUUGCUUGCUAAGUUGCAACUAUCUUAAUGUUAUAUAAGUAUAAAGACUUUUUUUUAAUGUAUUUUCAAUUUGUUGGGAAAUAUUUAUUUUAAUAUUUUUAAUAUAUUUGAUGUAUUAUAUUUUUUAAAAUAAAAAAUAAUAAAAAUAAUUUAAUAGAGGCGGGCCGGGCCAAGCUUAGGUUUGGCAUUGUUUUAUUUGAGUCAGGCUUGAACAAAAAUUUAGGCCUAUUUUCGGGUCAGGUAGGGCCAGAACCUAGAAAACGAGCCUAAAAUUCAAUCCAAUUGAGCUCAUGAUCAAGUCUAGCCACAACCCCUACUGCUCUGGUCAAUGCCUUUGGAGACAAUAUUAAUUCUUUUAAGAUUGAAAAUAGCGAUGGCGAUGAAAUUAAUUACUAUAGCAAUGAGAUUAGUUAUUAUAGCGAUGAUAUUAAAAAUAGUGAUGAGAUGUGUGUUAGGAUUCAAACACGACAAUAAUAGAAAAAUAGAUAAUAAAUUUGUAAUAAGAAAGCAAAAUAACCGUUAUAGACAUUAAACUAAAGUAGUUUUCAGCUUCUUCUCAUUGCACUCUUCUUCUCAAUUCUUUUCCAUUUUUUUGGUCUUUCUUAGUUUUGUUUAAUUUGUUGCUACCAAGGUAAUGCUCUGACAUCUUUUGUUUUUCUUAAUUUUUCGUUAUUCUUUCCUCUUGUUCUCUGGAAACCAAUUUGCUCUCAUCUGUUGGGUGUUGUUUAUCUAUUAUUUUAUUUUAUCUAUUUGUCGCUCCUAACGACUUUUUUGUCACGGUUCUGGUCCGUGUCGCUUCUAGUCUUUAAUUCGGUUGUUGGUCUUCGCGAUUUGGAGUUUUGGGAUUGUGGUAAGGUUGCAUGGGAGGUCUGUGAAGCGCGUAAUUCUUUGUCGAUGAACAGUGUCGUAGGAAUUGUUUCUUCUUUAGGUGCUGAAAUGGCUGUUGUGGGUCGACAUCGGAAAGCAGUAAGUUGUGUAACGAAAAAAUUGAAAAAUUCGAAAAACAGCGAUCGAAGAAAGUUGAAAAAGUGCACUAUCGAUGCCACAUGACCGUGUGGUAGGCCGUGUGUGACACACGAUCAUGUGACAGGCCGUGUGCAAGUUCGUUUGGCCACACGGUCUGGGCCAAUUGGGCUGUGUGGGCCACACGGGUAUAAACGAGGCCGUGUGGGCCCAUUUUUUGGAAAUUCCAUCUUGGCCCAAUUUGAUCGGUAGAAGGUAAUUAGCCUCUCCGUAGGGUCCGUACCGCUUAAAUAGGACUUGAAAACAAGGUAUCUAUAAAUAUGGUUCUAUGUUGUGUUAAAUGUAUAUGUAUUAUAAAUUUGUAUGAGCUAAUACUAUUAGUUCUGAAGGUAUGUCUUGAUUCGUUAUGUCUGUAUAAGCGUCUAUAUUGUACGAUCAUGUUAAUUUGUAUUUUUGAAUUUGAUAUAACCAUGCAUGUGAUUUCAUGGUAAAACUUAUGUGUUUCUAUAAGAUUAAAUAAAUCUAUUCUGUAAAGCUUGGACUUUCAUGUCUUUUGUUUCUGUUAUUGUACGUCAGCAUGUUCUACAUGCUCACCAUUUUGAUUCUGUACAUACAUGCCUUGACACAUUGCAUGGAAUUUUGAUAAUGUUAAAGGAGAAAGAUUCAGUAUUGGUAGUUUAAUGAUCUGCGUAAUUCAAUGGCUUGAUCACAUAUAUUUGAUCUGGCAAUUUAACUGCAUAUUGCUAAGACAUUGUUACCGGGCAACCCGGGGUGGCGGGUCAUUAUUGAUGGGCAACCCGUGAUGACUUAACUGGUGUGUUUUUGGAUGGAAGAGUUCUAGGGAACUCUAUUUUGGUGUGUAGCGGAGUUGGGUAGGACGUUUUCUAAAAAAAUCCGCAUUAUGAUUUUCUAAAAUAUCGAAUUGGCAUAAUCAUACAUAUUCAAUUAUGUUUGAUUAAUUGUUAUAAAAUUUGCUGUGAUUUUCUUAUUUGUUUAUUGUAUUGUAUGUGACCUUAGCUUGAGUUUUAGUUAGACACUAAACUUAAUAGCUCAACCAUUUGUUUUUUUUUUUGUACAUUUCAACACAUUUCAAGUAAUCGGUAAGUUAGAGUAGGACGGCGUGCAGGUGCUCGGAUGGUUUUAUCAGUUAUUUCUAAAAAAUUGGCAAUUUUCGUAAUUGUUUAUUUUGAACUUUGGGGCUGUAAUUUUUUUUUGGGUUUUUGUUUUGGUUUCUAUUUAAUUCAUCGAUGUUGAUAUUUGCGAACAUAAAAUUGCUAAAUCUUGCUGGGUUAACAAUUUAAAAUUUUGAUUUCCAAAAUUAAAUCUCUGAAAAUUUUCCAUUGUAAACUAACUCCUAAAGAGUUUUUCUAUAUAAAAAACAAAUGGUUUUAAUGAGUGUUUGCCUUAAACUAGAAAUGAUUUGUCAAAAUAGAUAUUAUCAAAACACACGAUUUGAAAUUCAAAAUUCUGGGUUUUAAGUGAGUUUUUUCCGAACUUAAGUUUUUCUAAACAUUCAUGAAAGUUUUGCCAAAGUGUAUAUUUUCGAAAUGCAUUUAGUUUGAUCGAAGCAAAGGCUUUUGAACAAGUUGAAUGUAAUUUCUCAACAUCCGGUCAUAACUUUUAGGCCAAGUUUAGGAUCUUACAGUUGGAUUGUUAAAUUAAUAAUUAUACAAAAAUAUAUUAAAGCGUAUAAAAUUACUUUGGUUUCAUACUAGUGUAAGCAGACCCCUCCCCUUUUAAUAUAUAAAAUUAAUUAUAUCUUUUAAAUUAAUGUAUUUAAUAUUAUUUAUAAAUAUAUUUCUUUAUACACCUAACUAAUGUAAAUAAAAUACUAAAUAUGAUUUGAAGUAAUGAAAUAAAAUAAACACUAUAAAUAAAAAUAUUAAAAUUUUGAAAAAUAUGGAAAAAAAAUUAAUGUAAAUAUCUCCAAUCACUCUGUGAAUGCCUCGAGCUUCUAGACCUGUGCACUCCAAACCUCCUCAUCUAAUGAAUCCACUAUGGACACCUUGUUCAUUGGUUCAAAGUGGUUGAUGUUGGUUUCCAUAUAUCCUUUGUCUCCGAUAAGAAAGGAUUUCUUCCAAAUUGAAAAUCUUGUAUUGAAGCAUGUCAUUUUACCAUAAGCCAUUCAUCGUAGAAUCGAACUCGUUUAACUUUGAAAUCACUCUCCUAAUGCAUGUUAUUUGGAAAGUUGUUGAUGAAGAUUGUUGAACACCCUUAGUUUUUCCACUCCAUUUUUCUAAUGUCCGCCCCCCUUGGUUAUAACAAUCCGGAACCUCCCUUAAUCUAACUUAUUAUAAAAUUAAAAAAAAAACUCUAAAUAAGACAAUAAAAGGUUUUAUUUAUUUAUUUAUACCACAUUAUAGCAUGAUGAACAUUACAAAUGGGCAUGAAUAAAUAGACAUAUACUAGUGGCAUAAGCUUGAAGACCUGACUUACCAAUACACUAGAAUUUCACACAUAACAAACGCACGCUAUAUACGGAGAUGCAUGGGAAAACAGCGGUAGGUAGAUAUAAGUCAACUGGCUGUCAAAUUUAUUCUAGUAGUAGUGCAAAACAUAUAUAGCACAUUAUUAUUGCUGACACUGACAACCUGAGCACCAGCAUUUUGAUCAGAAAUUUAAGCAAAGCCACCCAAGAAAGCUGCGUUUGUAUUACCAUCACUGCAAUAAAGGCAAGGGUUCUGCUCAAUCCAUUGUCCAUUAAAAUCUUGGCAGCCUCAGCCAUAAGUGUCUGUUGCUUAUUCCAGCACCCAUGUGCUGAUCGAUUAUGCUAAUUACCACUGCAAGGGUGAACGCCCCAAUGGCUAUAUUCUCCAAAACUAGGUCAUAUGAUGUCUCAUUGGCUUCACACCCACUUAAUAAAAUCCCUUCAUCCUCCUCCAGUGGAUCCAACACCAUUAACCCAUCUACGUAGUGAGGAAUGAGGAUGGAAUUUGAGAUUCACAUCUUUCCCGAAGAUUCCAAAAAUCUUUUGACCAACAUUUGCUGCGUCGUGUAGGAUUCCUGCUGCUGUAUCUAUCGCACUAUGCAUAAUAUCAAAAGGAAAACUCUUAGCCUGAGCCUUAGAAGGUUUAGGCUUGUCGGUAUUUACUGUUGUCGUCAUAUGCUCACCACCAAAUUGUUCUUUCUCUUUUUGAAUGAGACCACCACUGUGGCACGAAUCUGAUAGGAUUGUGAAGCUUGCUCCUUCUGGUAGCCGGUUAACUAAACGCCUGAAGUCCACGUCUGCAGAAACCAUGUAUAUAUAUAGGGUAUGAAUAUAUGUUGCUAAAAUAAAUAUAUAAAUUCAAACAAAAACCUUCCAGUGACAAGAUAUAAAUCACAAGCCACGAUUGCUUCAUCAUGCUUGAAAGGCUAGCCAGCUUGAAAGAUUGGAAUGCGAGUUCCAUGUCCACUGAAGUAGAAAGAAAGGACAUCUCCUGGUUUAGCCUUGUUCACCAUCUUAUUAAGUGCAUCCUUAAUGUUUGCACCAGUAUGCGGAACCGGCGACCCUGGCACAUCGAUGAGCACAUUAACAUCGCUUACCUUAAACCCAAAGUUUCAGGAUCACAUCUGUUAUGGCUUUCACAUCAUUGAUGCAUCCAUGCAAGCUGAACUGGGUCUUGGGGUAGUUGCAUCCCACCAGAACAGCUCUCUUCGUACCCUUACCCAUCUUGCUUUGGUAAUUUGACUAUUUUGUGUUGCUUGUACUGUUGUAUUAAUGUGCUUCCACUUUCUCACUAAGAACCUAUAUAUAUAGACACUAAUUUACAGCAUGAGUACUGACCAUAAAGUUGACGACAUGUAGGUAGGUAGGUAGGUACAACACUUUUGUUUGUCUUUUGUGUUUUUGGAAAUGCAUGCGAAAUCCAUGCAUAUGCAAACAUUUUGAGCAAGGAAUUUGCAUAUCAGUACUGCAUAAAAGAGUGACUCUGUUGUUAUGCAAUUAUUUGAUAAUAUUGAAUGUGAAAUAAAUUCAAAAUAAAAGAGUGGGUCGUUAAUCCGAAUUGGGAGGAGGACAGGUGUUGUGAUGGACAAAGAGGAAGACAAGGUGGUUUCCGAUUGAAGCAAGAAAGCUCUAGCAAAAGGCAGCUAGGUAUUCCUUUUUCAGACAAAGACGAUAAAAGAUAGAAAAUAUAGGGUGGUGGUCGAAGAUAAAUUAUUAUAACAGCACUGAUAUGAUCUGCUUCGCCUUCGUCCACCACCUCAUCUUUAUGUUUUUAUCUUGGUCGUGACUCACGUUGGUCUUCGUCUGCAAGUGCUGUCGGUCCUACUAUCGUGAUUGUGUUGCCUAGCUUCUGAUUUCUAUGUCUUAGGGUAUAUUUGAAUGUGCGGUUUGUAUGAGGGUGAGGUUAGAAAAUUGAUUUUAAGGGUUGAAGUUAAAUUAUGCAUCUCUAGAAGUGUUAAAUUAAAAUUUUAUUAUUUUUUGGAAUAAAUUGUAGUUAUAUAAUGUUUAACAUAUAAUUUAAUAGAUUUUAGAGAGGUUCAAAUAGUAAUUUUUUAUUUUAGAGGAUAUAAAGAGUAAUUUUUAUUUGAAGGGGGCUACAAUUAGAUCUGAUUAUGAGUUGGGCUAUUCUUUCAAACUCGAAGGGCUGCCCAAAAAAUGGGAUUGUUUAAGCAAAAAUAUAGGCUCAAAAAAUAGGCUUGGACAAAAAAUAAGGCUUGUUUCCCAAAUAAGUUGGGUCUUAGGUAAGAUUUUUUGCGUAGACCUAACCUUACUCGAAUUUGGUUAAAAAAAAUCCUAUUGCUGUUAACUACUAUUUUGCUACAAUUUUACUAUUAUAUUGUUGCUAUUUUUUUAUUAAUGUUUGAAUAUCAUGUAAGUUUGUUUUACUAUUAAUUUUGCUACUAUUUUAGAGGCAUUUUCUUGCUAAAUUGCAACUAUCUUAGUGUUAUUCAAGUAUAUUUUUUUAAAAUAUAUUUUUAAUUUGUUGGGAAAUAUUUAUUUUAAUGUUUGUAGUGUAUUUGAUAUAUUAUAUUUUUUAAAAUAAAAAAAUAAUAUAAAAAAGUUUUAAUAUGGGUGGUCUGAGCCAAGCACAAGUUUGGCAUUUUCUUAUCUGGACUAGGCUUGAUCAAAAUUUUAAGUUUAUUUUUCAUAUCAAGUUAGGCCCAAGCCUAGAAAAUGGGUCUAAAAUCCCAGCUCAACUUAGCCCAUGAUCAAUUCUAGCCACGUCCCUAUUUGCUGUGGUCACUACUAGCGAUGAGAUUAAUUUCAAUGAUAUUAAAAAUAGUGGUGAGAUUAGUUACUAUAGUGAUAAGAUUAAAGUCAAUAGUGAAAUGGUGUUAGGAUUCAAACACAACAAUGACAGCAACAUAGAUUAUAGAUUUAUAGUAAGAAUGCAAAAUGACCAUUAUGGACAUUAAAUUAAAGUAGCUUACACCCUUCCAUAUGCUUUUGUACAAGUAAUAUUUUAAUGAUAAAAAUGUCAUAUUUAAUAUUUCAUUGAUAUAAAUCAUAUGCAUAUCUUUAACAUAAAUUAAAAUUUUCUAACGAUUUGUUUUAUGUAUGAAUACUUUUAAUUGUUUAAUAAAUGUUAAUAUAUAUAAUAUUUUAGAUCGAUAUGAUAGAAAUAUCGAAUCAAUUUGAAAAUUUAAAUGCAUGAAAAGUGCAAUAAUAUCAAAAAAUAUAUGAAAGCGUAUAAAAUUACUUUAGUUUCACACUGGCGUAAGCAGAUCCCUCCCCUUUUAAUGUGUAAAAUUAAUUAUAUCAUUUAAAUUAUGCAUUUAAUAGUAUUUAUAAAUAUAUUUCUUUAUACACCUAACUAAUGUAAAUAAAAUAUUAAAUACGAUUUGAAGUAAUGAAAUAAAACAAAUUUUAUAAAUAAAAAUAUUAAAAUUGUUGAAAAAUAUGGAAAAUGUUGAAUGGGAUUAAUGUAAGCAUUUCCAAUCACUCUGUGAAUGCCUCGAGCAUCUGGAACCUGCACUCCAAAAUUCAGACUAAUAUAAAUGUUACAUGAAAGAAGUUAAAAUCAUGAAAUAAGUACUUUUCAAAAUUCGGUAUUUACACUUGCCCAAUAAUAUAAAUAUAUUCAGCAUUUAAUUUUGUGACAUACAUAAAAUUUUAAUAAUACAAAUUCAGUAUUUUUCUUGGGUUUAUCAAACGAAAACUUGGUAAAUAUAUGAUUAACAAGGAGAUGUUAAUUGAAGUAGAUAAAAUUCAUUCCCAACAUGACUUGAAGAAGGUUACAUGGCAUCUCAGAAAAUGAAGGGAAAGCAUUCUGAAAAGGUUAGUUUCUUCAGAUAUUCAAAAUACAAAUUUCAGACCAUAUCGUUCUGUGUACAGAUGAAAGGCAUCAAAGUAGCAGUUGAACUUACGGGGAUCUUUAGGGGAAAGAAAGGAGAGAGAAGACCACAGACAAUGAAAUCCAUACAAGCAAAAAAUGAUAUUGUCAGUCUUAGAAAUCCAUACUUUCAAAAAACAUACUUCAUGAUCCAUGAUUUUAUGAGAAGACUCUUUGGAGGAGAACUUCCUAGGUCGACUUAGAAGAUAUGAAUGACAGUCUUCUAGAAAACUUCCUAAAUACAGUCAGUUUUAAAAUUCAAAAAAUGAAAAACCUUGAUUAAUUGUCAGUUAUGUCCUUUUCAACUAGCUGGUUGCAUACUGCAUAUGAAUGCUGACAAACAUUUCUUGCGUCCAUCAGCUUAUGCGAGAUUCCUCCAGUGUUGUAUGAAGAGGUUUCUUGAAAUGAUUCCCUAGCAAAAUGGUAAUACAGUGGCAAAGGUGAUAUUUCUGACAUCACCUAAGUUUUUUUAUUUGAUUUAUCUGUGAAGUUAUGGUUCUUUCUUUCUAAUAGAUUAUCUAUCAAGUUGAUUCAAGUAAUUAAGCUUAUUGGCUAGAAAUAAACAAAGAAUCUUGGAUUUCUAAAUUCUUAAUAGGUUCAGCUAUAUUUGUUGAAGGAUUCGGUGUAUGCUAAAGUUGCACCAAAAUCCACAGCCAAAUACUCAAAAACUCUGUUUGCAUAUACUAUAUUGUCAUUCAAAAACUGUCAGUCAAAUACUCAAAAACAAACCUUCUGAAAGUAGUGUUUGAUAUCUCUCAGCAAGGCAUCUAUAGUCUCAGAAAUGGACAGACAUACUUCGGUGCCACAGAAAACAAAUAAAUAAGAUCAUAAUGUUUUGUAUAACCUAAGAACAGAGAAAUGUUUAAGUAUGGCGCAUACCUGAACUUUGCAUCAUUCUUAGGAAUUGAAGGUAUCCUAGUCAGCCUUCUCGCAGAAACACUUCCUCUAAGAUUUAAGUGAUAAUGAUAUAUCUUAUUAUCACUAAUGCCUGCAGCCAGACACAAAAUUGACUUUAUUAAAUACAUAACGAAGAAUUUAACAGAAGAGACACACACACACACAUAUGCAUGUAUAUAUAUAUUGUUUAAUAUGCUCUAACUAACGGAAUAAAUGGACAAAUUUUAAUAUUAAAAGGAAAAAAAGAAGCAUGCCUCUUGACAACAUUUCAGGCACUAUAAGCAGCGUAGUAAACUUAAAGCAAAAUUGAGUCAUUGACAACCCUGUAUUAUCGCCCACACCUUAAGCAGCUAACAACUGACAGGCAAUACGCAUAGCCUAGUGGUAACCAUGUUAAUCUUCCAAAAAGGAGAUCUCUGGUUCUAAUUCCCUGUUCCCCUAACUGUUGUCAAAAUCUAAGCUAUUCAACCAUGGAUAUUUGACUAGCAAGAAAAGAAUACUGAGACACUAAACUUACUGGUAGUUUUGAUGGAAAACAACCCAUCUGCGGCAGACGGAAGUCAAAUAAUCAUGAAACAUAAAUAUUUAUCGAGAUCUUUGUAUCUAGAAUCAAAUGAGCUCAUCAUCAUCAUCAGCCACUUACCCCACUUUUCCGUUGCACUUAAGGUCUUGAAACUCCUCCAAGCAACUACCGGUGCCCGUAUCUGAUACUGCUCAUUAAGAUACAAAAUAAAUAGAUUUUUCUAGAAACGGUAUCUAUCAUUUACAGUCUACAGAUUUACCUUGCAUGACCUAAUCAUUUUUAAAAGCUUAUUUAUGCUUUUGAUGAACUCAUUUGAAAGAAAACCAGCCAAGACCAUACCGUUUCAACUUCAAAAUGACAUGAUUUCAAUGCAUAUUUUCCAAUUUAGAUAUAACUUCCUAUUUUUCUGAAAGAUCGCGUCACAAAAAAUCAAAGUAAAUAAUUCUAAUUAUAGUGAGGCAAAAAUUAAAGGAAGAAUGAAAAGUAUUCACUUGAAUGAUUGGAGGAGAGCUCUUGAGAACGACUGAUAGUCGGCAAAGAUCUUCGGAUAAACGACAUCUUUGAACAGCAAAAGAAAUUAAUUGACAAUAAGAAAAACGAAAGGAAAUUAAAGAAGAAAAGGAGAUUAGAGUGGAUUAACAUAUUAUUAUUUGUUUUUUUUCCAAACCUAAGAUUGCUUAAGGUAUCUAUUAUUUGGUUCGUAAAAGUAUAUUGUGGAAAUUUUAUGGACUAAACACCAUUGUAAAUCACAUAUUCUAGUUUUGUUAAGUAAAAAUUAAAAAAAUAUAUAGAAGAAUUGAAAUAUCAAUCAAAACCCCAAUUUUCUAAUCACCCAACCAGCAUAACCCAUAAUUCAGAAGAAAAGAGAAAAUAAAUUACAAUAGAUCUAGAAAUUAAAAAAAAACACAAAAAUAAAAAGCCAAUAAGAAAAUUUAAAAAAAAGGAAGAAAUGAAGAAGAAUUGUCUUACCUGAGAUAAUGUCACCUUUUGCGGCGUUUUUACCACAAAGGCUGCUAUUUCUUACAUUAUUUUGUGGUGUUUUUAUCAUAUAUGCUACUAUUGCUUUACCUAUUGCAGCAUUUUUUCGUUAGCACUACUAGUGUAUAACAUUUGCGAUGUUUUUCGUCCAAACACCGCUAAAACCUUAAUUUCCUGUAGUGGACCCCUAUGUGAUGGCCUGAUGGUUAAAAGUGUUCAUCGUCCUAGGUGUUGUCUGGGUUCAAAUCGUGUUAGUUGCAUUUGUCGUUCGGGCUUUUCCCUGUUAUUGUAAUUCACCAAAAAAGAAAAAAGUUAAUAUUUUGUUUUUAGGUUUGUUAUAUUUGUUAAAAAAUACCAGUGACUAAAUGGCUUAGGGACAAUUAAACAAAGUUUAUAAUUUAUCGAGAUAUAUUCUAAAAUAAAAUAUAAAUAUUUAUUCAAUGUGUAAUUUAAUACGUAAAUUUUAAUUUUAUACAAUUAUAUAUAUGAUUUUUUUAAAGUGAGAUGAAUUUAUGAAUUUAUAGUAUUAAUUCCAUAUUAAACUAUUAUAAUUUACGUACAUUCAAAAAUAAUAAUAUUACUUUUGGCUCACAUGCAAUUUAGUUAGAUACGUUACGUUUACCUAACUCAAAAUUUUAAAAAGAAAAAUUAUAAAGGCAGAUUAUGUUUUUAUAGAUGUGAUUUAGUAAUACAAAUGUUUUAUUCUUUAUCUGAAAAAGAUGAGUUUUUUUUUAUAAUUUAAUUAAAAUUUACAAUUAUGAUUUAAUUUGGUGUAGCUUUUAGAGAUGACAAUGGAGUGGGGUGAGAGUAAAUAUUGUUAAAUUUAUUAUCGAUCAUCGCUCCAUCAUUUGCAUGUUGUAUACAUUCAUCCUCGACACACCCCAACCCACUUUGCUCCACUUCAAUUUAUUUUUUGAUAUUUGUUUUUGAUAUUUUCAAUCUUUUUAAAGUCAAGUAAAUAUUUAAAUGUAAUUCUUCAAAAAAUAUUUAAACAUAAAAUAUUUAAUUUUUUUUCUAUAUUACAUUUUUAUAUUUUUACCCUUAAAAUAGUUUAUAUAUACAAGGAUAAAAUAGUAAUUUUAUACAGUAGAGUGGGUCGGGGAAGGACAAACAAUUAUCGUAAUUACCGAAAAAAAUUCACCCUGUCCUGUCCUGCAUCCACUCUUUAAAAAAAAAAAAACAAAUGUUUCAUUCGAAGAGAAACAAUUCAAAAUCUAUUUGAUGGAUUGAGUUUUGCCAUACCUAAUAACUUCAAUCCGAGUUCAUAAUUGAAUGCUGAUGAGUUUAGAUGGUAAUUUGUUUUCCAAACUUUUUGAUGUCGUCUUCCUUCAACAUGCCUAUCAACUAUUUAAUCAUUUACCUCUUAGAAAACUACAAAUUGUUUUGGUGUAACACCCUUAACCCAUAUCCGUCUCCAAAUUAGGGUUACAAGGCAUUACUGAACAAAACACAACUCAGAACAGACGUUUAUUUGAAUUCAAAAAUUUUAACAUCUAUAUGAAAAUUUGUUUAACUCAAAUUGUACCUGAACUUAUCUACUUACUCUUUAUAACCUAUUAACAUUCAAUCUAAAUGACAUUCUACCUUAUGAAUAUUCGGCUAUUUGACUAAUUUCAAAUCUAAAUUAACUAUUUUAAAACAAAACAUAAACAUUGCAACGAUCUAAACCAUAAGGAAAUAAGGCAUUUUCACAUGGCUAAUAUUUACAUAAACAGUAUCUCAAAAUACAACAUACAAAAAUAAUGUCCAGCCUAUACAUGCCAUAAGUUAAGUUCUAACAUUUAAAUACCAAGAUAGUAGAUAGAGUUAUGAACUUUGCUAACGAUCCCCGAGCUUGAAGCUUGAAUUUUUAAGUCUAUAAAACAGAGAGACGUAAACGAACAAAGUAAGCUUAUAUAGCUUAGUAAGUCUAUAGCAUAACUAAAAUAUAUAUAAAAGUCAUAUAAUUUCCAAAUUAAAUUCACUGAAAUUGUAAAUAACACAAACAAUUAUAAUAUUAGCAUUUGUUGUCCUUAAACCAUUUUAUAUAUAACCAAAUAUAUGUACCUGUCGAAUGCAUACAUCUGAAUAUAUGUAUACAUAUACAUCAUGUGUAUAUAACCGAUCAUAUAUAUAUACUAAAUAAACAUUAUAACCGAAUGCAUAUAACCGAACAUGUAUAUAUAUACUAAACACAUAUUAUAUCUGAUUGUAUAUAUAUACUCGUCUUAAACUUAAAACCCAGUACAUAUCUAAAGCAUAUAACCGAAUGCAAAUAUAUUCAUCAAAUACUUAUAAACAAAUGUAUAUACACCUCAAAUACAUAUAUAGAUACUUAUCGAAUACAUUUGCCGAAUGUAUAUAUAUUUAUCAACUGCUUAGCAAAUGCAUAUACCUAAUGCAUAUAUAUUUAAUAUAUGCAUAUACCGAAUGCACAUAUAUAUAUUUAACAAAUGCUUAGACCGAAUAUAUAUAUGCUCAUCAAUUAAAUAUAACCAAAAUCAUAUAACUGAACAUUUGUAUACUCAUCAAAUACUUGUAACUGAAAUCAUAUACAUAUCCAAUGCAUGUAAUCACAUACUUUAAAUAGAUUCACCGACACUUAGCCUGCUAAGCUUGAAGCCUGAUUCUGUACACCGGCACUUAGCCUGCUAGACAUAUAGUCUGAAAUGUUUCACCGGCAUCAAGCCUGCUAGACGUAAAGUCUAAAUUAUUUCACUGACAAUAAACCUGAUAGGCACUGAGCCUGAAAAUCUCAAUUCACAGAAGUUGUAACUCUUAUUCGAACUAUAUUUGUAUAUAAUAUCCAUACAUAAAAAUUCAGCUCAAUAAUUUAUUAACUAUAUCUUUAAACCACAUAGAUAUAUAAAGAUCAAAUACCAAAUUCAGCUAAAUGACUUAAUUAUACAUCCGAACACUCACAUAUAUAUAAUUUAAUAAAUUAAAUUCUACUACUAAAAUCUUAUCAUUUAACUUAUAUCAUACCUUAAGUAACAUACAUUUACUAAUCGAAUCACUUAAAUACAUAUAUAUUUCAUAACAUUAAAAAUCAAUUCAAAGAAAAUAUAUCAUACAUUCGAACACCUUAUAAAUAAUGUAAGCUAACAAUUUCAUACCUUUAAAUAUAUUCAAGACUUAUUCAUAUACAUACAUAUAUGUUCCAACUCACAUAUACAUAUAUAUAACAUUCAUACUUUUAACCAAGUCCAAGGGUUUAUACAUGUAUAUACUUAUAUAUAUUCGGACCUUAUGUAUACAUAUAUAUUAUAUAUAUACCUUUGAUUAAAAACAAGAAUUUAUACAUAUAUAUAUAUAUAUUUUCGAACAUGAUACAUAUAUAUAUAUAUCAUUCAUACUUAAACCAAAUUCAAUCUAUAUACUUUCAAUUUCAGCACAUCAAAAUAUAAUAUAUAUACAUACAUAUAUACUGAUUUAAUAACAUCAAAUUGCUAAUAGACUUACCUCGGACAGUGUAAAAUCGAAACUGGACGAUUAGUCGACUACUUUAGCUUUUCCCCGAUUCAACUCCAAUUUCUUUAUUUCUUGAUCUAAAUAUAUUCAAAAUAAACUAGUUUAAAUAUUAUUACAUUCAAUUUAGUCCAAAAACACAUAAAUGAGAAAAUUACCAUUUUGCCCCUGACAUUUUACACUUUUUGCAAUUUAGUCCCUAUUGCAUAAAACACAAAAUACGCAAAAUUGCCCAACCUAUGCUAGGGCCGAAUGUUCAUAGGCUUCAUAAAAGUCCACACAUUUCAUUUAUUUCACAUUUUAGUCCCUCAAUAAAUUUAAUUUCACAAGUUAGCCCUAAUUACUCAAUUUCACCAAAAAUUCAAAGACAAAACAUAUUAAUCUUUCACCCAUCUUUCAUAUUUCAUCAUCAACUAUCAAAAAGCUCAAACAUUCAUCAAUGGCAUAUCUCAAAAUCACCAUCAAAUUCUAAAAUUAAAGCAUGGGUCUUGUAGUAUACACAAAGCAACGAUCUCAAAACGUAAAAAUUAUCAAAAAAUCGAAACAAAACUAACCUCAAUCAAGCUAUGAAAGUGCCAAACUUUAGAAAGCCAUAGUUGGGUUCUUCAUGCUUAACAUUCGGCUAAGAAAAGAUGAAAACAUUCAUCUUUUCAUCAUUUAUUUUUAAUUAUAAUGUUUAAUUUAACAAUUGACUAAAUUAACCUUAUUAUAAUAAAUAUAUAAAACAUAUAUAUUAAGGUUAAUUAUAUCAUAUGCCACCCACUAUCUACUAUAUGGUCUUAUUGCAUCAUAAAUCCUCCCAUUUAAAAAGAAAACAAAAAAUAGGUGCUUUUAUAUUUAACCUCUAAAUUUUUAUUUUACGCGAUUAAGCCCUUUUAUUAAAUCGGAUACUUAAACGACGAAAUUAAAACACGAAAAUUUCACACAAUAAAAUUCACACAUAAUAAACACACAAAAUAAUAUUAAAAUAUUUUUCUGACUCGAAUUUGUGGUCCCAAAACCAUUAUGUCCGAUUAGGGUCAAUAUUGGGCUGUUACAAAUGGUGCGUGUAUAACUAUGUUUUACAUUGCAUUUUAAAUUUUCCUUUUUUAAUAUCGGUUGGAAAAUAUGGACAUCACAUAUAUAUAAUAAGGGUAAUUACAUGUUUUUAUCUAUUAUCAUAAAAGGUUAGCCCAAAUUAAAAGUGAUCGAAUUUGGUUAAAUUUUAUUGGGCUUUAAUUAUUAAAUAAAGUAUAGGUUAAAUAUGUGUAGAUACUCUAGUAAUUAAUUUCUAAUCAAUAAUGGGUUAAUUAGAUAUUAGGUUAACGUGUAAAAGUUAUAUAUUAGGGUUAUGGUUAUCAAAUUACACAUAAAGUAACUUUUCUAAUAUUCCAUAUUUAGAAAAGAAAGAGUCACCUUCUCUGAAUUUCUUUUGUGCUAAUUUGGAAGAUCAAAACUCCAAUAUCCGUAGAUUUCAAGAAAUCAAUGAAUUAAGGUAUGCUUUCGCAUCUAGUUUUGUUCUUGAUGAUUUGAUACAUGAUAGAUCCUAGUUUACAGUUUUAAGUUUGUAUCCUAUUUUAUUUUACGGUUCUAACAAGUGGCAUCCGAGCCUCGUCAUGUUGAAUCAUUCUACUUCUAGCUAGAGCUUAUUCUCGUUGAUUUUCUUUUCUUUUAUUAUUUCUUUUUACUUUGUUUUAAUUUUUAUUUUAAUUUUUAAAUUUUAAACUCUUUAUAUUUUUAUUUUAAAAAUAAAAUUGUCACGGAUGUAUAUAAAUACAACAUUACCUAUUGCUAUCUACUCAUUUAUAUUUUUCAAUUAAAUUUUUGUUUUUAUAAAUCUCUACAUGCUUACAUUACUUCAAUACAACACCAAAAGAACCAAAUGUCAAACACCGACGCUUAUAAAUAAAAUUCUUGCAAAAGAAGCCGUUUUAUUUAUCAUAAAAUUAUACAUGGAAUAGCCAUACAUGGCGAUUACAUAAGCUUGAAUGCCUUAAAAAACACAGACAUUAUAUGAUAGUAAUAAGCAAACACACACACACAGACGAUAGUAAUAAGCAAACACACACACAGACGCAGUAAUGAAGGCUAACUUCAACUUCGUAGUAGUGCACAUCGAUCGAGCGCAUUAUUAUUUAGUUUAGAGUUUCGACCUCUAGUGAUCGAAAACCCUGGUUCAAAGCCGGCAGCUUACGCACCCGUAGUGGUGUUGGGUUGGUGGCCAAGAAAAGCUGCAUCAGCAUUCUCAUCACUGCAAUAAAGGCAAGGGUGCUGCUGCCCAAAUCCUAGGUUUAUUAUUUCAUUCCUGGCCUUCACCACAAGCUGUCUAUUGGUUAAUGCACCAUUGCUCUCCUUGAUGACCUUCAGAACUGUAUAGGUAAAGGCCCCAAACGCCUUUCCUCCAGUUUUGUCACUCGCUCGCAUAUCAAAUGAAAACUCAUUGGCUUGGCACCCACUUAACAGAAUUCCCUCAUCCUCCGUCAAUGACCUCAAAUUCAAAAUAUCACGUUCAUAAUGGGGUAGGAAUUUGAGACUCACAUUGUUCCCAAAGAGUGUGGUCAAAAGAGAGCCAAUACCCGUCAUAUUGUCUGUUCCAGUGUUGAUGGCAUUGGCAACUGCUGUUGUGUCCAAGAAGCUUUGUGUCGCGCUCACGACGUUGGCUGCUGUUUGUAGGCACUGGUAUAAGGUUUCAAUGGAAAUGCCCCUAGUCUUGUAAUCAACAGGUGGUGCUAUACCCCUUAGAGUACUAUGGGGUCCAAUUUGUUCUUUACUUUUAUCAAUCAGACCACCACUGUGGCAGGAAUCCGAAACCAUUGUGAAGCUUGAUCCACUUGGUAGUUGCUGAAUCAAUUGCCCCAAGUCCACGUCUGCACAACCAUGGCAACCACCAUAUGAUAUAAAUAAUAGUUUGCUUAGAUUGAGAGUAUUUUAAAAUUUUAAUUUACCAAGUUGAUUUCGUACCAAAAAUGGGAUUGAGAUCACAAGGCACAAUUGCUUCACCCCCGUUGGAAGGCUGGUAGGGGUCAAUGCAGUGCACAAGUCCAUGUCCACUAAAAUGGAAAAGCAGGACAUCUCCUUCUUUAGCCGCGACCACCAUCUUCUUGAGUUCAGCCAUAAUGUUUGCACGUGUAGGCUUAUACGUGGACUCUGGUUCAUCAGUUAGGAGCUCAACAUUUUCGGAAUCAAAGCCAAACCUGCUCACGAUCAUUUCUCUCAUGGCUUUCACAUCGUUUACGCAUCCGCUCAACUCGUUGAUGGUGUUGGGGUAGUUGCAUCCGACCAGAACGGCUCUCUUCUUACAUUCGGUGGCCAUCUUGCUUCUAUUUUGGGUCGCUUGUCUUGUCUUGUGCUUCGGACGUUGCACUAAACACCUAUAUAUAUACACCCAUACACACUGUAGUUUACACUAUGCUCACUGACCAUACUCUAAUAAAUAAGACAUCAUGUUGGUAGGUACAACUGUUUUAUUUUAUUAUUGUUUAUAAAAAUGCAUGGCAAAUCCAUAUACAUGCAAUUAGUUGUCUGUAUAAAAGUACCACUGUUAGAGUGUAUUUGGACUAAAAAUUUUAGAAUUAAUUUAAAAUAUUAAAAUUUGUAAUUGUUUUAUUUGGAUAAAUAAUUGAUUUAGGACAAAUUAAGUUAUUAGAAUUUUACAAAUUAAAAAUAGUUAUAAAAUAAAAAUUUUAUAUUACAAAAAAAAUUAAAAUUAACAUUAAAAUAAUUAUAAAAUAUUUUAUACACAAAAAUGAAUAAUUUGAAAAGCUUUCCAUAUUAUUAAGUCCAAAUUUGAUACCACACUUUUCCAAUUAAGCAAUUUUGAUAUAUUUGGCCUCUAAUAAGAAAUCAAGAAAUGGAAUGGGUGAUUAAUCCGAAUUGGGAGGAGGACAGGUGUUGUGAUGGACAAAGAGGAAGAUAAGGUAGGUAUUCCUUUUUGCAGACAAAUAAGAUAAAAGAUAGAAAAUAUACAGUGGUGGUCGAAGCUAGAGGAUUAUAACAGCACUGAUAUGAUCUGCUUCGCCUUCGUCCACCACCUCAUCUUUAUGUUUUUAUCUUGGUCGUGACUCACGUUGGCCUUCGUCUGCAAGUGCUGUCGGUCCUACUAUCGAGAUUCUGCUGCCUAGCUUUCGAUUUCUAUGGCCUUAUUUGGCAAUUGGCUCAUAAUGGGCAAAUUAUAAUUGUAUAAUGUUUAAGUUAUAAUUUUAUAGAUUUAAGAGAGAUCAAAAUAACAAUUUUUUAUUUUAUGGGUAUAAAGAGUAUUUUUCAUUUUAAGGGGGUCAUGGUUAGAUGUGAUUAUGGGUGGCGGUGUGCUCGAAAAGUGGGAGGGUUUAGGUAAAAAUAUAGGCAUGAAAAAUAGGUUUAGAUAAAAAAAAUACCCGUUUUCGAAACAGGUCGAGCCUUGAGUAAGAUUUUCUUUGUCCGGGCCCGGCCCGACCCAAAUUUGAUUAAAAAAAAAUUCUUGGUGUUGUUUAAUGUUGUUUUGCUACCAUUUUACUAUUAUAUUGCUACUAUUUUGUUGUUAUUAUUUGGAUGUUUUAUAACUUUGUUUUAUUAUUAAUUUUGCUACUAUUUUAGAAACAUUUGCUUGCUAAGUUGCUACUAUCUUAGUGUUAUUUAAAUAUAAAGAUUUUUUUUAAUGUAUUUUCAAUUUGUUGGGAAGUAUUUAUUUUAAUGUUUUUAGUUUAUUUGAUGCAUUAUAUAUUUACAUAAAAAAUUUUAAUACGGGUAGACCGGGUCAAGCUCAAGUUUAGCAUUUUUUAUCUGGUUUAAUCUUGGACAAAAUUUAGACCCAUUUUUCGGGUCGAUUUAGCCCAUGAUCAAGUCUAGCCACGACCCUUACCUGCUCUGGUCACUGCCUUUGGCAAUGAGAUUAAUUCCAGUGAGAUUGAAAAUAGCGAUGGCGGUGAGAUUAGUUACUAUAGUGAUGAGACUAAAAUUAAUACUAAAAUGUGUGUUAGGAUUCAAACACAACAGUGGUUUAUAGAUUUAUAGUAAGAAAGUAGAAUGACCAUUAUGGACAUUAAACUAAAGCAGUUUACACUCUUCAGUAUAUUUUUGUACAAUUAAUAUUUUAAUGAUAAUAACGUCAUAUUUCAUUUAUAUAACUCAUGUGUAUAAAAUUUAAUGUAAAUUUAAAAUGUUCAAACUAAUUGUUUUAUGUAAGAAUACUUUUAAUCGUUGAAUGAAUGUUAAUAUGUACAAUAUUUUAGAUUGUUAUGGUAGAAGUAUCGACUCAAUUUGAAAAUUUUUAUAUGCAUGAAAAGUACAAUAAUAUCAAUAAAUUCAAUGGUUGGAUUGUUAAAUUAAUAAUGAUACAAAUAUAUAUAUAUAUGAAAGCGUGUAAAAUUACUUUAGUUUCACUCUAGUGUAAGCAGAUCUCUCUCCUUUUAAUAUAUAAAAUUAAUUAUACAAUUUAAAUUUAUGUAUUGAAAUUAUUUAUAAAUAUAAGUAUAAAUAUAUUUCUUUAUACACCUAACUAAUGUAAAUAAAAUAUUAAAUGUUAUUUGCAAGUAAUGAAAUAAAACAAAUAUUAUAAAUAAACAACUCUCCGAAGGUUAAAUGGAAUUAAUGUAAACAUUUCCAAACACUUUGUGAAUGCCUCGAGCUUCUUGAAUCUGCACUCUAAACCUCCUCACCUAAUAAAUACACUAUGGACACUUUGUUGAUUGGCUCAGAGUGAUAGAUAGGAGUGAAUAAAACUCGAUUUGAUUUUUUAAAAAAAAUCAAAUUUUGAGUUAAUUGAAUUGAGUUAUUUAAGUUAUUUUUAUUUUUUUGGUCAACUCGAAUAAGUAAUUUGAGUUUCAAGUCGAGAUCGGGUUAAAUUUUACAAUUCGAAUAACUCAAAUAAUAAAUGUAACACCCUAUACCCAGCCUGGUCGUCGAGCCCGAAUAUCAGGAUGCCACACCAUCGUCUCAUGUCAUACACAACGAAUAAAAGCCCAUUUUAAAUGAAGACGUCUUCCACAAUAUCAUUCGUAAAGGUUUUAAGUCGAUCUUACUCUUUAGUUAUCAUCGUUACGUGCUAAUCAUACAUCAAAUAGUCUUACACUAAUAAUUAAACUUGCAUAGGGUUCAUUUAGCAAAAUUUUCCAAGCAAGUACGUAGGUAUCGAUAGUAGGACAAGGGUAUCAAUAUUUUCCUGGUACGGUAUUGAUGUCCUUUGUAAAAUUAGAACCAAAUCAGUAUUCUGUUUCUCAUCUAAAAUCAAAGUCUCAUAAAGUAUCAGUAACUUUGCAAAAGUAUAGAUGAAAUUACUUCGAGUAUCGAUACUCGUGAUAUGAUAUUGAUACCAAUCUACGAUUUUGACUUCCUACACAUUUCAAAAUCAUAGAUGUAUCAUUUUAAAAACAUGAAUAUCGAUACCUCUACUCCAAGCCAGAAAAAUACAACAUACUUGAGCACAAAAAAAUCAUUCUAACUUGUACUAAUUCAUCAUGCUAUCAUAUCACCAUCAAAUAAACAUCAAAAGGACAAUAUGAUAGUCUCAAACAUCGAAAGUAAGUCCGAGCAAUAAUCAACGUAAUACGAAAUGAAUCUCAUAAACUUAGGAACAAAUAAUCUAUGGAAGCAUCUAAAACAUCAUGGUAAAUACCAAUAGAAGUCUACCACAUUGCCUUUUUUCCAAAACAUAAACAAAUAACAAUAACACCUACUAAAUCACGGAAAUGAACUUACUUGGAUCACCCCUUGGAACCACACCGCUCACACCGGCACUUUAAGAAAGAAGUGGGUGAGCUUAACAAGCUCAGUGAAUGCCUAGAAUAACUACCAUGCAAACAAUUCAUCAAGCAUCAACGAAACAACCAUAUAGCACAACCUCAACAAUUCCAACACUAGUGUCAUAAUAUACUUACUCGUGCAUUAUUUUCUAUUUCUUUUACAUUGUAAACAUAUUCACUUUUAAACAUAUAUCUUGUUACACAUAUAAUCACCUAACAUCCAAACAUAUAUCACAAUACUCAUAUAAUCACAUAACAUUUAAGCAUAUAUCAAAAUAUUCAUAUAAUCACAUAACAUUUAAGCAUAUAUCACAAUACUCAUAUAAUCACAUAACAUUCAAGCAUAUAUCACAAUAUAUAUACAUAUAAUCACAUAACAUUCAAGCAUAUAUCACAAUAUACAUAUAAUCUCAUAACAUUUAAGCAUAUAUCACAAUACUCAAAACAUCUUUAUAGAUAAGUUAUGAAACGUAAAAGUGGGCACUAUCACCACUCAUCGGAUACACGGAUAUCCAGUACACCACAUAGACUCGUAGAGUCAAACAUGUCUCAAAAGUGAAGCAUAAAGCUAACACUCUCAUUAUUUCCCCUCACAUGCCCCAUUGAAUAGAGGCUAGCUCACAUUCCCUUAUCACUCCAACAUGUCCCAAGGCCUCAACGCCCAAAUCACUAUACAUAUAGAUGAGUACUCACAAUCCUAUGGCAUGCCUACUAUAUCCAACGGGUUCAAGAUCACAAGUCCAAAAUAUCCAAAAUUAAACACAUAUCACUUACCAACUAUCCGUGCACUAUCAUUGUAUAUUUGCUAUUUUUAGAAAAACAUUGUCACUAACAUUUAACAUAUACAUAACAUGUACACAUUUGCACUUUCACAACAGUUAUGAUAACCAUAUAUCACAUGUUAUAGCAUAUCAUCUCUGUUCACAUAUUCACAAACACAUAAGCACAUAGUUCACAAGAUAACAUAGGUAUGAGAAAGCUUACACUCGAAAUUUAGAGUAGGGGUUUAGGUCACAACUAAAUUCCAAAAUAACGCAUUGAAUCAUGUUCGCAAGUAAUUAUUCCAAGUCACCAAUUACACUUUCGUCGAAAAGCCAAACGCUCAAACUAGUUUUUCAUUGUCUUUAUAUCUACUCAAACUAGCUCAAACACUAAUCAAUUACUCAAUCUUUUUCCCUAAAAUCAGUUUCGUUCAUCUUAUAAUUUACCUACGACUAAUUCCCAACCUUUAAACUAGAAUAAAAUACUAAAUUCAUGGUAUUGACUUUUUCUACAUGUUUUAUGACUAUUUUCUGAAAAUUCAUUAAAACUCAAGAAUUUUUUAACGAAACUUCAAAGUAAGUUUAGAAACCUUCUAAUAAUGUUAAAACUAAUUGAAAAACACUUUAAAAUAUCGUUUUUAUGCAAAAUCUCAAAUUUCACCAUUAACGACCCAAUUUUCGAUUUUUAUUCAAAACAUGUGAUUUAAUGGCUAAAAACUUAGUUUUAAAGACUAAAUAACAUUUAAACAAAAAAAUCGAGCGUUUGAUGAAAAUCCCAAAAAAACCCACAAACUUGACAAUAGAGAAAUCUGUGGUGUUUUUGAGUGUUUUUCUUAGAUUUUAUGGAGAUAUUUGGCUUGGGUGAUGAUAGAAAUCAAGAGAAUUAAGGUUGAAGAUCAAAUAGUGGAAGAGAGGAGCUUUGAGAGCAAGGGGCGGCUAAAGCAUGAAAAUGGAGAAGACUAAGGUAAAAAUUAUAGGUGGGGAUGAUUUUAGGUUGAUUUUUAAAAUUUGUUUUAAUUGCCUCUUAAAAACUCACAAUUUUAACUCUUUUACAAAUCAAUCCUACUUUCAAAAUUAAAGAUAUUUAAAACUCAUUUUCAGAAAUUGAUUUAAUUUUAACCAUAGUAAAAAAAAUAUAUCGAUAAACCAAUUCAUAAAAUUCCGAACACUCUAAGGCUAAAAUUCCUAAAUUACCUCUAAACCCCUAGGUCCUAUUUUGGGAUGUUACAAUAAAUUGGUGUAAAUACACAUUUGGUCCCUGUCAAUUUUGAACAUGAGCAAAUUGAUCUUUCUCUCAACAAAAAUUACAAAAAAAAUUCAAAAUAUUUAUAAGAAUUUUAGAAUUUAAAACUUUUUUAAAUAUAUAUUAAAAAAUCUAAAGAAAUAUAAAAAAAUUAGAAAAAUCUAAUUAUCAUUUUUGGGACCUAAAUAAGUUAAUUAAUUAUUCAAGUUUAUCAUACUAUUUUUACUCUUUUUUUAAUGAAUUUUAAAAAAUAUAUGAUUUCAAAGAUAUGUGUUUUAGUAUAGAGUUAGUUAAAUUGUAAAAAUAUUUUAAUUUUUUCACUCGAUCCGAUCGAACGCUCACCUCUAGUGGUCGAUGUUCAUCGACAUAUAUCCUUUGUCUCCAACCGGAAAGGAUCUCUUCCAAAAUGAGAAUCUUAAAUUAGAGUGUGUCAUAUUUACCACAAGCCGUUUAUGAUAGAAUCAGACCCGUUUAAGCUUGAAAUCACUCACCUAAUGCAUGUUAUUUGGAAGGUUAUCGAUGAAGAUCGUUGCAACAACUAGAAGUUCGCCACUCCAUUUUUCUAUUGUCCGCCCUCCCUUGAUUAUAACAAUCCAGAACCUCCCUUACUCUAACUUAUAAAAUUAAAAAAACUCUAUAGGACAAAAUAAGACAAUAAAAGCUUUUAUUUAUUUAUUAAUACACUAGAAUUUCACACAUAGCAAAAGCACACUAUAUAAGGAGAUGCAUAGGAAAACAGCGGUAGGUAGAUAUAAGUCAACAGGCUGUCAAAUUUAUUCUAGUAAUAGUGUAAACAUAAGCACAUUAUUAUAGACGACACUGACAGCCUGAGCACCAGCAUUUUGAUCAGAAAUUUAAGCAAAGCCACCCAAGAAAAGUGUGUUUGUAUUCUCAUCACUGCAAUAAAGGCAAGGGUUCUGCUCAAAUCCAUUGUUCUUCAAAAUCUUGGCAGCCUCAACCAUAAGUUGUCUGUUGCUUAUUCCACCACCCAUGCACUGAUCGAGUACGCUAACCACUGCAUCGGUGAACGCCCCAAAGGCUCUAUUCCCCAAAACCAGGUCAUAUGAUGUCUCAUUGGCUUCACACCCACUUAAUAAUAUCCCUUCAUCCUCCUCCGGUGGAUCCAACACCAUUAACCCAUUUACGUAGUGAGGAUGGAAUUUGAGACUCACAUCUUUCCCGAAGAUUCCGAAAAUCUUUUGGCCAACAUUUGCUGCAUCGUGUAGGAUGCCUGCUGCUGUAUCUAUCGCACUGUGUAUGAUAUCAAAAGUAAGACUCUUAGCCUUAGCCUUAGACGGUUUAGGCUUGUUGGGAUUUACUGGAGUCAUCAUUUGCUGAGCACCAAAUUAUUCUUUCUCUUUUUCAAUGAGACCACCACUGUGGCACGAAUCUGAUAGGAUUGUGAAGCUUGCUCCUUCUGGUAGCCGGUUAACUAAAUGCCUGAAGUCCACAUCUGUAGAAACCAUGUAUAUAUAGGGUAUGAAUAUAUGUUGCUAAAAAAAUAUAUAAAUUCAAAUAAAAACCUACCGGUGACAAGAUUUAAAUCACAAGCCACGAUUGCUUUAUCUUGCUUGAAAGGCUGGCCAGGUUGAAAGAUUGGAAUGCGUGUUCCAUGUCCACUGAAGUAGAAAAAUAGGAUAUCUCCUGCUUUAGCCUUGUUCACCAUUCUAUUAAGUGCAUCCUUAAUGUUUGCACCCAUAGCCAGAACCGGCGACCCUGGUGCAUCGGUGAGAACAUUAACAUCGCUUUCCUUAAACCCAAAGUUCAGGAUCACACCUCUUAUGGCUUUCACAUCAUUGAUGCAUCCAUGCAAGUUGAAUUGGGUCUUGGGGUAGUUGCAUCCCACCAGAACUGCUCUCUUCGUACCCUUACUCAUCUUGCUUCGCUAAUUUGACUAUUUUGUGUUGCUUGUACCAUUGUAUUAAUGUGCUUCCACUAUCUCACUUAGAACCUAUAUAUAUACACACUAAUUUACAGCAUGUGUACUGACCAUAAAGAUGACGACAUGUAGGUAGGUAGGUAGGCAGGUACAACACUUUUGUUUGUCUUUCGUGUUUUGGAAAAUGCAUGCGAAAUCCCCUUUGGAGGGGUUUUUCCACGUUAAAUUUGUGUGUUCAUCUUCUCAAUUUCUUCUACUAGUUUUUACUUGUUCGUUGCUUAAUCGGGACAAUCCUAACAAAUGGUAUCAGAGCUAGUUCAAUUUUUAUAGAUCAGCCCGUUCAGAGAUGGCAACAACAAAGUUUGAAAUUGAGAAGUACGAUGGUGAGACAAAUUUCAAUCUAUGGCAAGUUCGGAUGAUGGCAAUUCUAGUUCAAAACGGCUUGAAAAGGUUGUUAUAGGGAAAAAGCCUGAGAAUCUAAAUCAAACAAAAUGGGAAGAGCUUGAUGAAAAGGCAUUGUCUGCAAUCCAUUUGUGCCUCGCGAAUACUGUAUUGUAGGAGGUAUUGAUGGAGAAGACCUCAUCUGUCUUAUGGAAAAGGUUAGAAACUCUUUAUGCGACUAAGUUUUUGGCUAACCGUUUAGUGUUGAAACAACGUCUAUUUACGUUUCGCAUGAAUGAAAGUAAGCUUCUUAGAGAUCACAUCAAUUAAUUCAUUACUCUUUUAAAUGAUUUAAGGAACGUUGAUAUUCAUAUUGACGAUGAAGAUCAAGCUAUGCUAUUAUUGUGCUCUUUACUACCUUCAUACAAGUCUUUCAGGGAGACCCUGAUUUAUGGUAGAGACAAACUCUCGUUCAAAGAUGUGAAGGGUCAUUUGUUGAGUAGAGACAAACUCGACAAUGAGUUUGGUUUGAAUAGCAAAGCAAAUAGGAAAGCUUCCGUUUUGGUAGUAUCAAAGAAACGAGACAAAAGGUGUCGCUAUUGUAAAAAGUUAGGUCAUGUCAAAGCAGAUUGUUAUAAACUGCGAAAUAAAAUAGUUGCUGAGAGUAACGAGGAAUAUGUAGCUGGUGCUAAUUUGGUCGAUGAAGGCGGUGAUGAUUUCUUGUUAGUGUCAACGAGAGAUAACUCUAAGCUUACGUCUGAGUGAAUCCUAGAUUCAGGAUGUUCUUUCCACAUGUGUCCCAAUAGAGAAUGGUUCUCCACAUACAGUUCAGUUGAAGGUGCAGUUGUGCACAUGGGAAACUAUUCAUCUAGUAAGAUAAUUGGUAUUGGUACUGUUAAAAUUAGGAUAGACGAUGGGACGAUUAGGACACUCUCAGAUGUCAGUUAUGUACGUAAUUUACGAAAAAAUCUCAUCUCCUCGAGUAUUUUAGACUUGAAAGGAUGUAGAAUCAACAUCGAGUCGAGUGACAUUAAAGUAUCUCGUGGAGCUCUCGUUUUGUUAAAAGGUAAAAGAACUGACAGUCUUUAUAUUUUGGAAGGUUCUACAGUGAUCGGUGAAAUCGGACAUCCCUCGUCCGUUACGGAGUCAAAGUUAACUCGUUUGGAGCGAAGGCAACCUGGUCAUAGGAGGGAAAAAGGUAUGACCGUUUCGUUGAAUAGAGGUUCUCUUUUGGAUGUAGGUUUUGAAAAGUUAGGGCACUAUGUUUGUGAAAAUCAGACUUGGGUUAGUUUUGAUUUGGCAGUGCACAAGUCGGAGGCUAGAAGUCUUCCAGCUUCUAAGUAUAGAUUUGACUCAGUUAAUUUCCUGCAUAGUUCAAGAUAGACCCGUGGCGGGUUUUGGCAAAGAUGGCGUUGAAAGAAUUCGUGUCAAGGUGGAGAUUGUUAAAGUUGUGUGACCCAAAUUCUAAGAGAUUGCUUGCAAGUCAAGUUAAACAAAAAUAAUUUUUUCUUUCUAGAAGAUUUAGUAUUUAUUUGUAUAAUAUAUUUAGCAUUUAUUAGCAUAGUUUAUUUUACUUACUAAUUUAGCCUAUAAAUAGGCUCUUUUACAAUCUUAGAAAAACACACCCAUUAGAUUAGAACUCAUAACAUAUUUAGAGAAUUUUGUGUUUAAGUUUUGAGAGUUCUUUAUUUUUCGAGUUUUCGGGGUUUAGUUUUUAUCUCCAUCUUUUAUACUCUUCGUUCUUUUGCCAUUAUAGUAAAAUUAUAUUUGCCCGUGGUUUUUUAUCCCCUUUGGAGGGGUUUUUCAACGUUAAAUUUGUGUGUUCAUCUUCUCAAUUUCUUCUACUAGUUUUUACUUGUUCGUUGCUUAAUCGGGACGAUCCUAACAGUUUAUUACGUACCAGCUUUGAAAAGCAACAUCAUCAGCCUUGGACAGCUUCUAGAAAAAUGAUAUAAAGUACAUAUGAAGGAUUGUAUGCUCGCCCUAAAAAAUAAGAGUGGUGAAUUAAUUAUCCAAGUUGAUAUUACGCCUAACCGUUUGCUUACUAUUGACAUUGAAUCUGGAGAGGUGAAAUGUAUGAAGAACGUAAUUAAAAAUGAUUCAUGGUUAUGGCAUUUAAGGUUCGGGCAUCUUGGAUUUUCUGGUCUGAAGCUAUUGUUAAAAGAAAAUAUGGUGAAUGGGCUGCCAUAAAUUAAUCUUUCUGAUCAACUGUGUGAAGCCUGCAUUAAAGGAAAACAACAUAGACAGAGUUUUGAAGUUGGAAAAACUCGACGAGCCAAGAGACCAUUGGAGAUCGUGCACUCUGACAUAGCAGGUCCUUUUAAUAUACCAUCACUUGGUGGAAACAAGUACUAUGUUACUUUUAUUAAUGAUUUUAGCAGAAAAAGUUGGAUAUAUCUUCUUAAAACAAAAUCAAAAGCAUUUGACAAGUUUAUCAAGUUCAAAGCCCUGGUAGAAAAACAGAGUGGACAUUUCAUUAAGAUACUUAGAAUUGAUAGAGACGGUUAGUAUACUUCAAAGCUAAUUGAAAGCUUCUGCAAGGAGCACGAAAUUAUUCACCAGUUGACAACUGCAUACACGCCACAACAAAAUGGAGUCAUUGAAAGAAAGAACCGCACUAUUCUUGAUAUGGCAAAAAGCAUGGUUAAAUGUAAGCAUUUACUAAGAGCUUUCUAGGCUGAAGCUGUUCAAUGUGCUGUUUAUUUGUUGAACCAGCAUCCAACAAAAAGUGUGAAAUACAAGAUGCCAAACGAAGCUUGGAACAAUUAGAAGCUAGGAGUCGAACAUUUCAAGAUUUUUGGAUGCAUCGUAUAUGCUUAUGUUACUGACCAGAUGAGAAAGAAGCUUGACGAUAAAUGAGUAAAAUGUAUUUUCAUUGGUUAUGAAAAGAGAAGCAAGACAUACAGGUUAUACAACACUCUCACCAAGAAAGUUAUUAUUUCAAGAGAUGUUGAAUUCGAUGAAGCUGAUUACUGGAGAUGGAACGAAAAAGAGAGGAAAAUUGAUGGAUUAUUUUUCAGUGAUCACAAAGACGACGACUUUAUUAAUCAAGAACAAGGCGACGAUGAAAGCCCUCCUGUAACACCCCUUACCCGAGACCAUCGUCGGAAUCGAGUACGAGAUGUUAUCCAAUUUAACCUACCAAUUUAGAGCAUAAAAAUUUGCUUUUAAAAUUAAAUUCACUGUUCACAACAAAACUGUCCACCUGCGCGACUGUCACUAAUUUACUUAUAACUCAAGUUACAAAACUCAAAAUUUAAAUCUGUAAAUUUUCCCUGAAACUAGACUCAUAUUCCUAAUUACCAUAUAAUUUUCAGAAUUUUUGACUUAGCCAAUUAGUACAUUUUAUUCAUUAAAGUAUCCCCUAUUUCACAGCUCGACAGAUCUGACCUCUUGCCACUAAAAAUCAAUUAUCUCAUUGUACAGAAUUCAUAUAAGGUUACCGUUUAUUUAUUUUGAAAAUAUACUCACUAAGGAAUCUAGAAAUAUAAAUUAUGACCCAUAAUUAUUCCUGUACAAUUUAUAAUGAUUUUCCAAAGUCAGAACAGGGGACUUCAAAAACCAUUCUGACCCUGUCUCACUAAAAUUCAAAUAUCUCAAAAUACAGAAUUCCUUUGCCUACACUGUUUCUUUCAUAUAAAAAUAGACUUGAUAAGCUUUAAUUCCAUAUAUAAUUAACUCUCUAAUUCCAUUUAUACUAUUUAUGGUGAUUUUUCACAUUCACGUCACUGCUGCUGUCAAAGAAACUGCUUCUUUGAAUUAGUUAACAUUUAACAUACAUAACACCCAAAACAUAAUUUUUACUAACCAUUUCAAUAGCUAAUCUUAGCCAUAUCAUAUGAACAUACUCAAAAUGAUUAACACUCUAUACAUGCCAUAGUUUUAAACAUUCUGAAAAGCACAUAAUACCGAGAUGAUUAUAAUAGUGUGAUACGAGCUCCGACGAUCCCCAAUUCGACCAAGUUCAAAUCACUAUAAAACAAAGGAAAAGAAGAAAGGUGUAAACUACUAAUAGCUUAGUAAGUUACAUGUAAAUAAUAAUUACUCAUUUAAUAAUUAACACUUUUAACAUAUAACUAAUCAAAACAUUUCUUAGCAAUUUCUAUCACUUAUACAUACACAAUCUUACCAAUUCACUUGCAUAUACAUUUUCACACUUAAUCUUUAUCACUAUGCUCAUUCUUUUCAAAUGUACCUGCAUACACACUUCAUUUCAUAUUCACUUUAACUCAUUAUUAAUCCCGUUGAACACUCGGAAUAUACACAGAUACGUAGAGAUUUAGCACAUAAGUGCAACACUGAUAUGUAGCCGAAGCUACCACUAUUAUAUAGCCAAAGCUACCACUGAAAUGUAGCCGAAGCUACCACUGUUAUGUAGCCGAAGCUACCACUGAAACGUAGCCGAAGCUACCACUGAUCAAUAACACUGGAAAUGUCCACAGGCCUGCUCACACAAGCUGUCAGGUGUCUGCAACACAUGCUAGAUCACCCAGCACCCGGGACUCACUGUAACACUGUAACACUGAUCUCUAGUGACAUGUCACUUGUAUCCACUUCUAUUCCUAAGUUCAACCGGGAAUUUACACUUAACACUUUAUUUUUAACACUUUAUUUUCAACACUUUAACACUUGAAUAAUUCAUGAAUAAUUUUCCUUCCACAUUGAAUAUUAAUUCACAUAUCAAAUAUAAUUCACAAUUUAUAAAAAUAUAACUAUUAUUUACACAUAACUUACCUCGGAUGCAAAACGACUAUUUUUGUAAUUUAGUCGAUAACUUUCUCUUUUCCCCGAUCACUUCCACUAUUUCUUCUUUCUUGAUCUAUAUUAACACAAUUUAAUACAUUUUAUCAACAUUUCAUUCAAAUAAAAUUCAUACACAACAUUUUGACAAAUUUACAUUUUUCCCCAAAACUUUUCAAAAAUUCCACUUUUGUCCCUAAGCUCGUAAAAAUAAAAUUCACUAAAUUUUUAAAUUUCAAACUUCACUAAAUCAUAUUUCAUGCUUAUAACAGCCCUCAAUUUCACCAAAUCACAACUUUAUGCACACUUUACCAUCUUUCACAAUUUAGCCCUUUUUCAAUAUUUUCAUCAAAAUUCAUCUAGUAAAACUUGUAAUUAACACUUCAAACAUUCAUUAUCUAACAUCACUAAUCAAUUUACAAUUAUAUCAUGAAUGGGUCAAUUUUUAAACUUUAAUUUCAUUUAAAUUAAAUAGUAGAAACAUGAAAUUCAAGCAUCAAUAAGCAUAAAAAUAUGAAAAUAGUUAAAAAUGGGGCAAGAAAUCACUUACAAUUGAGCUUAGAAAAAUCAAGAACCUUAGCUAUGGUAACAUGAAACUUUCGGCAGCAAGCUUCUGAUUUUGAAGAAGAUGGACACUUAUUUUCUCUUUAUUUUGUCUUUUUCUCAAUUUGGACAAAAAUGCCCUUGACCCAUUACUUAGAUAUUUUUCUAGAAUUACCCUUUUGUGUCCAUAACACUAAUUUAUGGUCUAAUUGUCACAUAAACACUUCCAAUUUCAUGCAAUAAUUCAAUUAAGUCAUUUAAUCACUAAUUAGACACACUUUGCAUUUUUUUCAAUUUAGUCCUAAAAAUUCAAUUAAGCACUAAAUCAUUAAAAUUUCCAAUCCAUAUUUUCACACAAUAUUUCAAUCAAUCAGUAACUUAUAAAAAUUUAUAAAAUAAAACUAUUUCACUUCGGAUUUGUGGUUACGAAACCACUAUUCCGAUUAGGCCCUAUUUCGGGCUAUCACACCUCCUUCAAGUCCUGUUGCAACAACUCUUACAGCAUCAUCAUCACCAACCAACAACAGUACCAGCAACUCAGAGGAAGCACCUGCAAUAAUGCGUAGUUUACGCGAUAUUUAUAAUGUUACAGAACCAUAGAAAUAACACUCGAUUAUUCAUUAUUCUAUAUAAUGACAGAAUGUGAUUCAAUAACAUAUAAAGAUGCAAUUGAAGAUGUUAGAUGGAAAAAGGCAAUGGAUGAAGAAAUUACAACAAUAAUAAGAAAUGACAUAUGAGAGCUAACAAGUCUACUAGAAGGACAUACUCCAAUUGGAAUCAAAUGGGUGUACAAGACGAAGACCAACAAAGAAGGAAAAAUAGAGAAAUCCAAAGCAAGACUAGUUGCAAAAGGCUACAAGCAAAGAUACGGUGUGGACUAUGAUGAAAUAUUUACUUCGGUCGCCAGAAUUGAUACUAUAAGACUUCUCAUGGCAAUUGCAGCACAAAAUAAAUGGAAAAUUUAUUAGAUGAACGUGAAGUCAGCAUUCCUUAAUGACUACCUGGAAGAAGAAGUCUAAAUUGAACAACCACCUGGAUAUAGGAAACAAGGACAAGAAGACAAAGUUUAUCACUUGAAGAAAGCUUUAAAUAGACUGAAGCAAGCCCUGAGAGCAUAGAACACAAGAAUAGAUGAAUACUUUUAGAAGAACGGGUUCAUGAAAAUCCCAUACGAGCAUGCUCUAUAUACAAAGAAAAAUAAAGUUGGUGACAUCAUGAUCGUGUGCUUAUAUGUGGAUGAUAUGAUUUUCAUGGGAAACAAUCCAGGUAUGUUCAAUGAAUUUAAGAAAGCUAUGACUAAAGAUUUUGAAGUGACAAAUAUUGGUGAAAUGUCAUACUUUCUUUGAGUCGAAGUGAACCAAAUGAAAGAUGGAAAAUUUGUGUCUCAAAAAAAAUAUGCAGAACAGAUUUUAAGAAAAUUCAGAAUGAAAGAUUGCAAGCAAGUAGCCACGCCCGUAGAACCAGGCAUGAAAUUAAGUGUUGGUUCAUCCGGAGAGUCGGUAAAUCCAAUGUUGAAUAAAAGUAUUGUUGGAAGUUUAAGGUACUUGACUAUCACAUGGCCAUACAUCAUGUACGUAGUGGGAACAGUUAGCAAAUACAUGGAGAAGCCAAAACAAGAUCACCUGAUUGCAGCAAAGAGAAUUUUGAGAUACAUCACAGGUACGAUGGAUCAUGGUUUAUUUUAUACACACUCACAGAGUUCAAAAUUGGUUGGUUAUUUAGAUAGUGAUUAUGGUAGUGGCUUUGAUGAUCGCAAAAACACAUCCAGAUAUUUAUUCCAUAUUGGCUUCGCGGCAUUUUCUUGGUCAUCGAAAAGUAACAAACAGUAGCUAUCUCAACAUGUGAGGCAAAAUUCAUGGAUGUUGCAACAUGCACGUCUCAAGCAAUUUGGUUGAAGAAUAUUUUAGGUGAAUUAACUAUUAUACAAGAAGGUCCAAUUAUAAUUUAUGUUGACAAGUCCACAAUAUCUCUUGUAAAGAAUUCAGUGUCUCAUAGUCGAAGCAAGCAUAUGGAUACAAUGUAUCAUUUUAUUCGAGAGCAAGUGAAAAAUAAAAAUGUAGAGUUAGUUUACUCCAAAUUAGAAGAUUAAUUGGCGAAUAUUUUUACGAAACCAUUGAAAACGGACAUAUUCUAUAAACUCAAAGAAAAGCUUGGAAUGAAAAGUUCAAGGGGAAGUGUUAAAAAACAAACCAACUUUCAAAGUCGGCAUAAAAAUUGCAGCCAAAGAAUUUCUAUCCAAAUUGGCUUGAAAUUGAAUUGCAAAAGUAGCUGCAACUUUGUAAAUUGGCCUGCACAAAUGAUAAAGGAUAAUGAUGACAGCAGCUUGAAUAGUCUUAGACGGCAAGGCUUGAUAAAGUUUAAGUCGGUUUACUAUGCUUAUAAAUAUGUAAGUAGAGUCUUAUGAAAUUAAAAUUAAAUGAGUGUGUGUGAAAACGUUAGUGAGCUUGAGAGGAAAAAAAGAAAGAAAGGUGUUGUGAGUUGUAUAAAAAGGAAAAACUAGCAGCAGCUAGUAGAGAGAGAAAAAAGAGUUUAUAUUUGUAUUGUGUUUAUUUGUGUGUAAUAAAAAAUUAGUACUUGAGUUAUUUUUAUUACCCUUCCAACAUAUUAUAUGUUCCAGUGUUGAUGGCAUUGGCAACUGAUGUUGUGUCCAAGAAGCUUGACGUCGUGCUCAUGACGUUGGCUGCUGUUUGCAGGCUCUAAUAUAAUGUUUCAAUGGAAAUGCCCCUAGUCCUGUAAUCAACAGAUGGUGCUAUACCACUUAGAGUACUAUGGGGUCCAAUUUGAGUAAACUCGAUUAAGUAAUUCUAGUUUCAGAUUGAAGUCGGGUUAAAUUUUACAAUUCGAAUAACUCAAAUAAUAGAUUGGUGUAAAUACACGUUUGGCCCCGGUCAAUUUUAAAAAUGAGCAGAUUGAUCUUUCUCUCAACAAAAAUUACAAAAAAAUUCUAAAUAUUUAUAAAAAUAAAAAAAAUCUAAAGAAUAUAUAAAAAAUUAAAAAAGAUUCUUAAAUAAUCAUUUUUGAGACCUAAAUAAGUAAAUUAAUUAUUCAAAAUUUUCAUACUAAAAUAUCUUUAUUUUCUCUUAUUUUUCUUUGAAUAAAUUUUCAAGAAUAUAUAAUUUUAAAUUUAUGUAAUCUAACAUAGAAUUGAUUAUAUUGUAAAAAAAAAUUUAAUGUUUUAGUCGAUUGGAACGGAUGCACAUCUCUACUGAUCAAAAUUGAUCCGCAUAUAUUUUUUUUCUCUAACUGAAAAGGAUCUCUUCCAAAUUAAUGAUCUUGGAUUGAAACAUGUCAAAUUUACCACAAAUCGUUUAUGAUAGAAUCGGACCCGUGUGACCUUGAAAUCACUCUCCUAAUACAUGUUAUUGAUGAAGAUUGUCGGACACCUUGAAUUUCUCCGCACCAUUUAAUGUUCGGCCCACUUGGCUAUAACAAUCCGAAACCUCCCUUAACCUAACUUAUAAGAUUAAAAAAACUCUAAAUAAGAGAAUAAAAACUUUUAUUUAUUUAUUUAUUUAUACACUAGAAUUUCACACUAUAUAAGAAGAUGCAUAAGAAAACAGCGGUAGGUAGAUAUAAGUCAACAGGCUGUCAAAUUUAUUCUAGUAGUAGUGCAAAACAUAAGCACAUUACUGACAGCCUGAGCACCAGCAUUUUGAUCAGAAAUUUAAGCAAAGCCACCCAAGAAAAGUGUGUUUGUAUUCUCAUCACUGCAAUAAAGGCAAGGGUUCUGCUCGAAUCCAUUGUUCUUCAAAAUCUUGGCAGCCUCAGCCACAAAGGCUUUAUUCUCCAAGACCAGGUCAUAUGAUGUCUCAUUGGCGGGUUUUUUACUAAAAUAUUAUAACAAAAAUAAAAAAUUAUCAAAAUGUUAUAACUUUUUUUUUAUUUACCAAAAUAUAUAUUUUUUUAUUUACUAAAAUAUAUAAAAAAACAAAAAAAACCUAAAAAAAAAUCUGACCGAUGUGACGGGUGUACCUUGGUCACGCCAAUGGGAUUGGCGGCACCGAAGGGGCCAAAGCCAUUGGCGGCACCAAUGGUGCCAAUACCAUUGGCGGCACCAAUGGUGCCGUAUUGAUUGGCGGCACUACUCGUAUUAUAAAAACGACCUUUGUCCAGCUGAAGAGAGAAAAAUCAAAAGAAAAAAAAAGAAGAAGAAGAGUUACUGCGUAAAAGAAGAGAAAAAGAGGAGAAAAAGAAUGUAUUUUUUAAAAAAUAAUUGAUUAUAUUGUUGUUAUUAUUUUGUAUAUUUUGUAAUAUUUUUUGUUUUACUUUAGUUAUUAAGAUUAAUAAAACUCAAAAUAAUAGUAUUAGUUAGUAUUAUUAUUAUUAUUAUUAUUAUUGUUGUUGUUGUUGUUGUUGUUGUUGUUGUUGUUGUUGUUGUUGUUAGUAUUAAGAUGUUAUUAAUGUAUUAAGAUGUAACUUAGUAAUAUUAUAGUUAGCAAAAAACUAGUAUUAUUAUUAUGGUUACUUAUUAUUUUUAUUUACGAAAAUAAACUAGUUAGUAAAAAACUAGUAUUAUUAUUAUAGUUAGUUAGUUAGUUAUUAUUUUUAGUAAAAUUAAUAAUUUUAGUGUGUAUCAUUUUGUAUAUUAUUUUGAGUAUAAAAUUUUUUUUAAGUAAUUUAGUUACCGUUCGAGAAUUUUUAUGAGAUUUUGUUUUUUUUGACAGAUUAAAUAUUGAAGAUGGAUGCUAAGUUUCUUGUAUGCGUUUAUUUCGAUUGAGUCAUCUUGACAACAAGUGUUGGAUGUGUAUUUGAAUGUCGGCAACAAAUAGCAAUGAGAUUUAAUAGAAAUGUAUCGUUCGAUGAAAUGAAGGUAAGGAUUAGUGCAAAAAUUCAUAGACGUUGUGGGAGAAGGAUAGCAAAAAUUUUCUACAAGUUUCCGGUUUCGACAAAUCCGGUCAAAUUCGUCGAGAUGGAACUUGUAGACGACGAAGACGUGGAGACAAUGGUCGAUCUCUACUGUGGGAAUGGGAGUGAGAAGAAUGCACCGAUUCACUUAUUUGCUGAGUUAGUCGGUAUGGAGCAAAAUGAAGAUGUUAAUGCAUCUGAUGAAGAAGACGGGGCUGAAGAACCGUGGAUGGUGACUCCAAUAUCAUACGUUGAUAGUGAAUCAACUAUGGGAGGGAUCGGUAUCAACCUGAAUAUUACACCCGAUGUUGACAUGGUUGGUGGUGAAGAAGAAGGUGCUGGCGAAGAAGAAGGUGGUGGCGAUCAUUGGGAUGAAGAGGUCGAUAGUGACGGUGAUCCCGAUGUUGACGAUGUACCUGAUGAUAUUGACGAUGAAGAUGUCAACAACGAUGAAGGCAUUAACGCUUCUUCGGUUGGGGAGCAGAUGCGGCGUAUUGUGAUACACAAUAAUCCUAAGCCACAUAUGUCGCUCAUAGACCCCGACGCAACGUAUGUAGCUGAGUUUCUGGAGUACCCUGAAAUAGUUCAUUCUCACGGGCUGCCCGUAACAUCUGAUGAUGAUGAGAUAUUCAUAGGCCAGAGAUUCAGCUGUAAAGAAGAGUGCGUAUAUGCCAUUAAACGGUACAGCAUGAAGAUAUCGGUGGAUUAUAAAGUAUCCGUGUCUACUCCGACAAUAUAUGUUGAGGCGUGUUGGAAGGCAGCGGAAGGCUGCAAUUGGCGGGUACGAGCUGCAUUCAUUAGAAGUUCUCAGCUGUGGGAGAUACGAAAAUUUGUUGGUCCUCAUACAUGCACAUCAACACGUAUGAUAGAAGAUCAUGGAAAACUUGAUUCAAAAACUAUUUGUGCGUGUAUCAUGCCAAUGGUGAAGGACAUGCCGACCAUUAAAGUUUCGAUACUCAUUGCGAAAAUCCAAGCACGAUUCCAGUAUCGAGUCUCAUAUCGGAAGGCAUGGAUAGCUAAACAGAUGGCGAUGGAGCAACUGUAUGGGGAUUACGAUUCGUCGUAUAACGAGCUUCAAGGUUCGAUAGCUGCUAUGUGGAAGUACGUACCGGGGACUGUGAUUGACUUGCAGAUAAGUCCAUAUUACGGCCCGGAUGACCAGUUACAGCCGGCAAAAAGGAUUUUCCAUCAGAUGUUCUAGACCUUCGAUCCAUGUGUGCGAGCAUUUUCCCACUGCAAGCCACUUGUGCAGGUGGAUGGGACAUGGCUAUUUGGAAAAUAUACACAGAUCCUACUUCUUGCAGUUGCUCAAGACGGUAACAGAAAUGUGCUCCCGAUAGCAUUUGCUAUCGUAGAUAAAGAGAACAUAGAGUCUUGGGAAUUCUUCCUCACAAAUCUGCGAAGGUAUGUUAUUAGGAACGAUAACAUUUGCAUCAUCUCCGAUAGAGGGAAGGGUUUAAUUGCAGCUAUUAGGCAUUCUGGUUUACCGUGGAGAUCCGUUUACUGCAUUCGUCACAUUGCGUCUAACUUCCAUAAAAAUUAUAAAAAUGCAGACUGGAAGAGACAAGUCGUGGCAAUGGGUAAAUGAUAACCUUAUCUUUUCACUAUAAGUUGUAAUGUUUGAUGUUAUCGACUUACUAGAACUUAUUUUUCGUUAAUAUGUAUGCAGCGUACGAGUUAAAGCCACAUAUUUUCCGGCAAAGAAUGAUCCGACUUGAGAGUGACAUGGAGGGGCAGACAAACACAUCUUUCCGAAAAUGGUUGCGCACAAUGGAGCCGUGGCAGUGGGCUCAAAGUUUUGACGAGGGCUUUCGUUACGGCCACAUGACCACAAACUUAGUCGAGUGGAUCAAUGCUGUCUUGUUGAAAACACGUCAUCUUCCGAUUGCAUCGGUAUUUCCUGCUACUUUCUACAGGCUGGCUACUUUGAUGCCAAGAAUGGGCUAGCAUUAAGUCGGCCAAAUUCAGGCGGGACAUGUGUUUGUCGAACAUGUAAGGGAUGCAAUGGUCGUAAACCGUCGGUUGGCGAGGUCAAUGAACAUGGAAAUAUAUUCACGACGACUGGAAACGUUUCGAGUUACUGAGAACAUCGGUCGUCGACCUAGGUCCUACGGAGUUGAUCUCCGGAACAGACAGUGCGAGUGCAGGAAGUUUGAAACAAUUCAUUAUCCCUGUGCACAUAUCGUGGCGGCGUGUGCUAAAGUCAACCUUGAUGUUGAACAAUAUGUCGAUGAUGUGUACACGCUGGAGCGCACAUUGCGUGUCUGGGAGAAUGAGUUCCCCGUCCUGCCGGACCUAUCUAUGUGGGAGGUGUCGCCGAUGACUUUCGAGCUGAUCCCAGACAGAGGGCUAAGGAGGAAUCCAAGGGGUCGUCUGCAGUCAAGCAGAAUCCGUAAUGAGAUGGACAUUAGGGAAAAAUUUGAUGGAAAGCGUUGUGGAAUAUACCGGUUAAGUGGUCAUAGCCGGAAUAAAUGUCUUAACCGAAACUUUCAUUUUGGUCAGUCGUCCGGAUCGGGGUGAAAUUGAUAUGCUUUGUAUUUUGUUAUAAACAUUAAUUUUAUUCAGCUUUGUACCAUGUGCGCACUUGGAAUUAUUAAGAUUAUAUCGAAAAUAGAGGCAUUCAUAAUUCGAUUGAGCUUUAAUAUAAUGAAAAAUAAUAAUAAUGGAUAUUUAUACAAAAAAAUCAGAAGUAAGGUCAAUUAAAAUACAAAUAUGGCUUUUUAUACAAAAAGUGCAUCAAAUCCCUAAAAUCAAUGUUUCGAUGGUGUUGUCCGGGGGGUAUACCUCUGCGGAGGUCGACGCUCACGGUCUGGGAGACGACCAACAUCCUCAUCGUCCGCAGGUGGGGGCGUGGAAAACAUAGAGGAAAGGUCCUGUGCCUCGUUCGCCGCCGACGAACUUGAACCAUAAUGCUGCGAAUACGUGUCGGACGGGCCGGGCAUGCCGUACUGCAGCCGGGGGAUCCAAACAGUUCAAACUCGUAGGCGUAUUCGCCGUCUGCGAAGCUCGGAUAAUAUUUAUCGCCCACCAAAUCCGGACGAUAGCCAUGUGAAUCCACAUUUGACUGUGAAUGUCCAGGAUCUGGCUGGGGGUCCUGCUCCGGCUCUGUCAGUUGCGGAGAACAAUAUGCCGUCGGAUCUGGAUCCAUCGGGCUCGGUUCGUCCGAUGCCCCAACUUGCUGUACGUACGGGGGGAUUAUAGUUCGAUUGUACUUCAAGUAAAUAUGGCUUCCUGCAACUAUGGUACCAUUGUGUAUACUCCAAUGAUGGUUGCAGGUCCGUAGCCAUAACCAUUUGAGGAAUUCGGCGAAAUCGAUCGUUCCACAGUGCGACGUAUUUUCGGUGCUUGAUUCCCAAGCCCAAUUGAACUCUUCCUCUCUUUGUCAAGCCGUGAUCAUCCUCCAACUGGGCCGGCGGAUCCGGGAUAGGUUGGAUGCACCCAAACUGUCGAAGCACGCGAUCGACGUGAUACCACUUGACGACGUUGAAAUUAAUAAUUGGUGUGUUAAUGCACCAUAUGUGGGAAUCAACGAGUGCGGACGAGGGUACGACAUUUGCAAUUUCCCGCCUCCGGUAUGGCAUCCAUAUAAACUGCAUGAGUAAUACCAUUGUAACGAGUUAGACCGAUAACAUGUGAUUAAGAUAUAGAAAUAGAAUAGAUGUCAUGAAUAUUAGAAUAGCAGCUUACCCCUUCCCGGGCAUGCUGUUCAAUCCUCAUGCGGUAUAUUGGGACAUCAGACGACUUCCUGAUGCCAGGACGGGUCAUCCACCUAUAAAAAAUAGUAUAGGGUAUAGGGUUGGUAACAUUACUCAAUAUAUUAUGACUACAAAUAAUGACAAUUUAGCGUCUUAUCACCUGAGUGGCAGUGGAUACAGAUAGGGUUGGUGACUAACGAGUGCCAAAAACGACAUCCGAUAAAGCGCCCACGACUGCAGCAGUAUGAGGCAUCCGCCGAUGUCUUUAACCUGCGGCUUUGUCGCCUGACAAAGCUCCCGGUAGAGCGUUGCUAGAACGGCGGAACCCUAGCUAUACCGCCUAGCAGUGGAGAAAUAAGCUAGCAGGGGCAGGUACGACAAAUGCACACUGUCGCCGUUUGCAUCAGGCAUGAGUACUGCCCCUAUCAUAUGCAUGAUGUACGCUCGGGCAACGCACAUCAACUCACCUUCAGUGGCGGUCACUGAUAAUUGUCUAAUUUUGGCUUUUAGCCAUGUAAAUUUGAUGCCGGAAAAAUAUUUGUCGCCGUCCUCUGGCGACUCUCCUAGGAGUUGAUAGCAAACUGCAACCGGAUCGGUGAAUGAUGAUACUCCCGUUACGGGAUUCCAGUCAAUUGGGAGCCCCAGCUGCACUGCAACAUCCUCCAAGGUCACUGUGCACUCCCCGCACGGAAAAUGGAAAGUAUGGGUCUCCGGACGCCACCGCUCCACUAGCGCAGAUAAUAAAUCAAAGCGCAAGUCGGACGACCGGAUGAAUGCUACUGACCCAAAUCUGGCUAGCUCCAGGUAUGGCAGCAAUCGAUCAUCCGGAGCUUUCUUUAAAACACUCACGCGGCCCCUUAAUACUCAGAACGAGUCCUGAUAGUGUUAAAUUACAGAAAAAUAUUACGAUAACAUAAUUUCUUUGUAUAUACUGCAUAUAUCCUUUUAAAAUAAAUAGAACUUCUGAUUAACAAAUAAUAAAUCAUACCGCGUUAUUAGUCGCAUCAGAUAUGUGUCUAAUAUUGCUUUGAAUCAAUCCAGCCAUUGCGAUGCCUGCAAGUUAGAAAAAAAAGUUAGAAAAAAAUUCUUACUUCAGCCAUUUAUUCGUAUUUUUUUUCUCCGCAUUUUAUUCCUUUAAAAAAUAUCAUAAUUUCUAAAUUUAUAAUUUUACAUUAUUCCAGUGCAUAAUGUUUGAAAUUUAUUAAUCUAGUGUGUUAUUUAAAUUAAUUUUCUGUAAAAAAUAACCCUUACCCCUGCCCUUUGCUCGUAUUAAUUUUCUGUAAAAAAAUAACCAUCACCCUUUUUUUUGCAGUUUUUUUUAUAUAUUUUGGUAAAUAAAUAUAUAUAUAUAUUUUGGUAAAUAAAAAAAACUUAUAACAUUUUGGUUAUUUUUAAUUUUUUUAAUAUAUUUGUAAAAACCCAUUAUUCUGGUAAAUAAAAAAAUUUUAUAAUAUUUUCGUAUUUUUUUCUAAUAUUUUGGUAAAAAACCCGAAAUAAACCCUUUCCCCUGCCCUUUGGUCGUAUUAUUAUUUUCCCGAUUUUUAUUACUUUCAAGAAAAAUAUAUUAUUUUCGUAUUUUAUUAUUUUAUAUUAUUUCAGUACAUUUUGUUUCAAUUAUUUGUAUAACUUAUUUCUGAAUUUUUAAAAAAAUUUACUAAUACACUCUUACUUCGGCCAUUUGUUCGUAUUUUUUUUCAGUAUUUUAUUAUUUUUAACAAUAUCGUAAUUUUUUAUUUUAUAAUUUUAUAUUAUUUCAAUUUAUUAUGUUUGAAAUUUAUUACAUGUACACUUUUUGCAUUUUUAUUCCCAUUUUAUUAUUUUCGAUAAAUAUACAAUUCCCAUUUUUUCUUUUCGUAUUUUAUGUUUUCUUAAACAUACUUCUUUGUCAUUUUUCUUUUAAUGCUAUUUUCCUAAAAUUUAAAUUUCAAAUUCCUAAAUAAAUUUCGUAAAAAAAAUCCUUAUUCAACAUACAAUGUACAUACCAUUAUUUUUUCAUUCUAAAUAUAUUUCAUAAAAUAUAUAUGCUAAACAAAAUAAUAAAAUAACUAUAAUGUACGUAACAUAAAUAUUAAAAAAAUUAAAUUUAUAAAAAAAAUACCUUUUCUUUUCUUUUCUUUUCUUUUUCCUUCCUUCCCUCUUCUUCUUCUUCUUUUUUUCUCUUCUCCUUUCUUUUUCUUUACUUCUUUCUUUCUUUUUUCUUAUCCUUUCCUUUUCUUCUUCUUUCUUUCUUUCUUUUUUUCUCUUCUCCUUUCCUUUUCUUUCCUUCUUUUUCUUUCUUUCAUCUCCUUUCUUUCUUUUUUUCUUUCUUUCUUUCUUUCCCUCUCCUUCUGGUCCCCCCACCACCGACCCCCCCCAUAAACAUUGGUGCCGCCAAUGGUAUUGGCACCAUUGGUGCCGCCAAUGGCUAUGGCACCUUUGGUGCCGCCAAUCCCAUUGGCGUGACCAAGGUACACCCGUCACAUCGGUUAGAUUUUUUUUUUCAUUGUUUUUUUUUUUGGUUUUUUAUAUAUUUUGGUAAAUAAAAAAUAUAUAAUUUGGUAAAUAAAAAAAAGUUAUAACAUUUUGGUAAUUUUUUAUUUUUGUUAUAAUAUUUUAGUAAAUAUCCCCUCAUUGGCUUCACACCCACUUAAUAAAAUCCCUUCAUCCUCCUCCGGUGGAUCCAACACCAUUAACCCAUCUACGUAGUGAGGUUGGAAUUUGAGACUCACAUCUUUCCCGAAGAUUCCGAAAAUCUUUUGGCCAACAUUUGCUGCGUCGUGUAGGAUGCCUGCUAAUGUAUCUAUCGCACUGUGUAUGAUAUCAAAAGUAAGACUCUUAGCCUUAGCCUUAGCCUUAGAUGGUUUAGGCUUGUUGGGUUUUACUGGAGUCAUCAUAUGCUCAGGACCAAAUUGUUCUUUCUCUUUUUCAAUGAGACCACCACUGUGGCACGAAUCUGAUAGGAUUGUGAAGCUUGCUCCUUCUGGUAGCCGGUUAACUAAACGGCUGAAGUCCACAUCUGCAGAAACCAUGUAUAUAUAGGGUAUGAAUAUAUGUUGCUAAAAAAAAUAUAUAAACUCAAACAAAAACCUACCGGUGACAAGAUUUAAAUCACAAGCCACGAUUGCUUCAUCUUGCUUGAAAGGCUGGCCAGGUUGAAAGAUUGGAAUGCGCGUUCCAUGUCUACUGAAGUAGAAAAAUAGGAUAUCUCCUGCUUUAGCCUUGUUCACCAUUCUAUUAAGUGCAUCCUUAAUGUUUGCACCCGUAGGCAGAACCGGCGACCCUGGCGCAUCGGUGAGGACAUUAACAUCGCUUUCCUUAAACCCAAUGUCCAGGAUCACACCUCUUAUGGCUUUCACAUCAUUGACGCAUCCAUGCACGCUGAAUUGGGUCUUGGGGUAGUUGCAUCCCACCAGAACUGCUCUCUUCGUACCCUUACUCAUCUUGCUUCGCUAAUUUGACUAUUUUGUGUAGCUUGUACCGUUGUAUUAAUGUGCUUCCACUGUCUCACUAAGAACCUAUAUAUAUACACAUUAAUUUACAGCAUGUGUACUGACCAUAAAGAUGACGGCAUGUAGGUAGGUAGGUAGGUAGGUAGGUAGGCAGGUACAACACUUUUGUUUGUCUUUUGUGUUUUUGAAAAUGCAUGCGAAAUCCAUGCAUAUGCAAACAUUUUGUGCAAGGAAUUUGCAUAUCAGUACUGCAUAAAAGAGUGACUCUGGAGUUAUGGAAUUAUUUGAUAAUAUCAAAUACGAAAUAAAUUAAAAAUAAAAGAGUGGGUGAUUAAUCCGAAUUGGGAGGAGGACAGGUGUUGUGAUGGACAAAGCGUAAGACAAGUUGGUUUCCGACUGAAGCAGGAAAGCUCUAGCAAAAGGCAGCUAGGUAUUCCUUUUUCAGACAAAAGACGAUAAAGGAUAGAAAAAUAUAGGGUGGUGGUCGAAGAUAAAUGAUUAGAUCUGCUUCGCCUUCGUCCAUCACCUCAUCUUUAGGUUUUUUUCUUGGUCGUGACUCACGUUGGCCGUCGUCUGCAAGUGCUGUCGGUCCUACUAUCGUCGUUGUGUUGUCUAGCUUCUGAUUUCUAUGUAUUAGGGUCUAUUUGAAUGUGAGGUUGGUGUAGGGGUGAGGUUACAAAAUGGAUUUUAAGGGUUAAAAGUUAAAUUAUGUAUCUAUAUAGAUUAAAGAAUUGUUAAAUCAAAAUUUUAUAUUUUUUUUGGGAAUAAAUUGUAAUUAUAUAAAGUUUAACUUAUAAUUUUAUUGAUUUGAGCGAGAUUUAAAUAAUAGCUUUCUAUUUCUAUAAAGAGUAAUUUUUAUUGUAAGGGGCACGAUUAGACUUGAUUAUGAGUUUGGUCACCCUCCAAGUCCGAUAGCCCUCCUGAAAAGUGAGAGUUUAGGCAAAAUAUAAGCUUGAAAAAUAGGCUUGGACAAAAAAUAAUGCCCAUUUUCUAAUACUAGUGACAAACUACAUAAUUCGUUUAUGUCGCAGUUUAUGUUUAUGUGGUGUGAAUGUGUGAUAUAGCUAAAAUGAAUCUCGCUAGGAUGAGUUUGUUAGUUAGAAUUUGGACUCCCUCGUUCUUAAUACUGCCGAUAAGUUAAAUCUAGGGCGUUGAGUUACAGGGUUAUUUAUCGAUUAGGAAAUAAUUUCAAACGAGUUUUCUCUUGGCUAUCGAACAAUGAGAGAUGGGUUGCCUUACACUGAGUCAACAACUAGAACUAAUUUAUUAAAGGUAUUGAAGUUAUUUUUGCAUUGAUGAUCGAAUCUUUGAAUCAAACAAAGAUUUUACUUCUAGCUAGAGUUUCUUCUCAUUAAUUUUCUUUUAUAAUUUAUUUUUACUUUGUUUUAAUUUUAAUUUUUAAUUUUAAAAUCUUUUUAUAUUUUUCAUGUAAGUUUUUGUUUUUAUAAAUCUCUACAUCCUUGCAUUACUUCAAUACAACACCAAAAGAACCAAAUGGCAAACACUAUAACUAAAAAUCUUGCAAAAGAGGCCGUUUUAUUUUAUCAUAAAAUUAUACAUGAAAUAGCCAUACAUGGCGAUUACAUAAGCUUGAAGGCCUUAAAACACAGACAUACGAUAGUAAUUAAUAAGCAAACACACACACAGACGCAGUAAUGAAGGCUAACUUCAACUUCGUAGUAGUGCACACCGAUGGAGCACAUUAUUAUUUAGUUUACAGUUUCGACCUCUAGUGAUCGAAAACCCUGGUUCAAAGCCGGCAGCUUAUGCACCCGUAGUGGUGUUGGGUUGGUGGCCAAGAAAAGCUGCAUCAGCAUUCUCAUCACUGCAAUAAAGGCAAGGGUGCUGCUGCCCAAUUCCUAGCUUUAUUAUUUCAUUCCUAGCCUUCACCACAAGCUGUCUAUUGGUUAAUGCACCUAAUUCGCUCUCCUUGAUGACCUUCAGAACUGAAUAGGUAAAGGCCCCAAACGCCUUUCCUCCGGUUUUCUCACUCGCUGGCAUAUCAAUUGAAAGCUCAUUGGCUUGGCACCCACUUAACAGAAUUCCCUCAUCCUCCGUCAGUGACCUCAAAUUCAAAAUAUCACGCUCAUAAUGGGGUAGGAAUUUGAGACUCACAUUGUUCCCAAAGAUUGUGGUCAAAAGAGAGCCAAUACCCGUCAUAUUAUCUGUUCCAGUGUUGAUGGCAUUCCCAAGUGCUCUUGUGGGAAAUAAGUCUUGUGUCGCGAUAAUGACGUUGGCCGCUGUUUGUAGGCACUGGAAUAAGGUUGCUAAGGAAAUGCCCCUAGUCUUGUAAUCAACAGGUGGUGCUAUACCCCUUAGAGUACUAUGGGGUCCAAUUUGUUCUUUACUUUUAUCAAUCAGACCACCACUGUGGCAGGAAUCCGAAACGAUUGUGAAGCUUGAUCCACUUGGUAGUAGCUGAAUCAAUUGCCCCAAGUCCACGUCUGCACACCCAUCGCAACCACAAUAUGAUAUAAAUAACAGUUUGCUUAGAUUGAGAGUAUUUUAAUAAUUUAAUUUACCGAGUUGAUUACGUACCAAAAAUGGGAUUGAGAUCACAAGGCACAAUUGCUUCACCCUCGUUGGGAGGCUGGUGGGGGUCAAUGCGGUGCACAAGUCCAUGUCCACUAAAGUGGAAAAGCAGGACAUCUCCUUCUUUAGCCGCGACCACCAUCUUCUUGAGUGCAGCCAUAAUGUUUGCACGUGUAGGCUUACACGUGGACUCUGGUUCAUCAGUUAGGAGCUCAACAUUUUCGGAAUCAAAGCCAAACCUGCUCACGAUCAUUUCUCUCAUGGCUUUCGCAUCGUUUACGCAUCCGCUCAACUUGUUGAUGGUGUUGGGGUAGUUGCAUCCGACCAGAACGGCUCUCUUCUUACAUUCGGUGGCCAUCUUGCUUCUGUUUUGGGUCGCUUGUCUUGUCUUGUGCUUCGGACGUUGCACUAAACACCUAUAUAUAUGCACACAUACACACUGUAGUUUACACUAUGCUCACUGACCAUACUCUAAUAAAUAAUACAUCAUGUUGGUAGGUACAACUGUUUUAUUUUAUUUUUUGUUUAGAAAAAAAAAGGGCUUUUUUUAUAAAAACAACCCAAAAAUAAUUAAUUACUUAAAUGACUUAUUUUUUUGAUAAAAUACGAAAAUAACCUGAAAUCUAUGGAAAAAGUUGGUGGAGCUAAAGUGUGCCACCAACAUGCCACGUCAGCAAUUUAUAUUAAAAAAUUAAUUUUUUAGUAGAGCCGCCACUUGUAUAAAUACUACGGAAAUAUUAUGAUUUUUUUCUUUUUAAGUUUUUUUUAUUUGUCCCUUAUAUAUUUUAUUUAUUUGUUUAUUAUUGAUUUUAUAAAAUCUCAAAUGUAUAUUUUAAAUGUUUUAUAAUAUUAUUUUUUAAAUAUUUUAAAUAUUUUUCUAAAUUUAAAUAUUAUUUUUUAAUUUUUAAAUAUUAUUUUUUAAUAUUAUAAAAUAUUUAAAAUAUAUUAUUUUUAGAAUUAUGAGCUUUCAAAUUUAUUAUUUGUUUUAUAAUAUUUUAAAUAUAUAUUUAAAAAUUUUUAAAUAUAUAUUUUUUAAAUUAUUUUUAAAGAUAUUCAAACAUUUUUUUUAAUUCUAUUUAAAAUUUAAAAAAUAAUAUGUGUUUUUAGAAUGGCUUCACCACUUUAUUACAAGUGUCAUUUUUUAAAAAUAUGUUUUUUAAAUAUAAAUAUUUAAUAUUUAAUAUUUUAUUUUGGUGGAGCCAUUCUUUAUGGCUCCACCUCUUGGUUCUCUAGCAUAUAUAGAAUGGUGAAAUUGUUGUGUUUAGUAGGAGAGUUCAAAAAUUCUGUUAAAGAUGAAUAAUGAGGUGUUUUGGUUUACGUUCUCUUUUAUGGCGAAAUUGUAGAAGGUGAUGUUGGUUGUAUAUUUCAAUGUCGGCAAAGAGUAGGGUUGCGAUUCAAAAAACUGUAAAGCUGGCAGAAAUGAAAAGGAAGAUUAGUGCAAAAAUAGCUAUUUGUUGUGGAAGGGCAAUGUCCAGAUUAUUUUACAAGUUUCCAAUCUCUACAGAUCUGUUCAAAUUUUGUGAGAUGCAACUGUUAGAUGAUGAUGACUUGGGCACUAUGAUGGAAAUAUGGUGGUCGACUGGAAGUGAGAAUCCCCAACCAGUUGAGUUAUUUACUGAGUUAGCAAACUCAGAGCCUGUUGAAAAUGUUAGUCCAAUAAGUCAACAUCGCGAAUUUGACUUUGGUCGUAAUGCCAGAUGGACAGACUAGUUAGAAUGCGGUGGGACAUUGCAGAUACCCGAAAAUCCAAAUUAUGGUGGGAGUUCGUAUAACAACCCUACCCCCGGUCCCCGUCUACAAAUACAUUCGGAGGUGAUAAUAAGCACAGAGGCAGAUAUCAAAGAAAUGACCAAUAAUGAUGAAGAUUCUGAUCAGGACGUUUACGAUUUUAGCGACCUCGAUGUUGAUAAGGUUCCGGACGAUAUCGUUGAUGAAGGCCCGGAGGAGGUGGAAGACGUUCACUGGCCUUCAUUCAAUAACCCGAGUCGUGGCAUUAUUUUACGAAAUGAACCUGGAGGUGACCUGUUGAAUCUAGAUCCAGAUGCAGUGCAUGCAUCCGAGUUCCCUGAGUACACUGAUAUAGUACAUGCUCAUAGAUUGACGUCAAUUUCGUAGUUGGAGGAGUUGUUCAUUGGGUAAUGGUUCGAGAACAAGGCGGGCUGUGUGUUUGCCAUCAAACAUUAAUUAUAGCAUGAAGUUAUCGAUUGAUUACAAGGUUGCCAAGUCUACACCGACAUUAUAUGUUAAGAAAUGCUGGAGAGCCGACGAUGGGUGUGCUUGACGGGUUCGGGUUGCAUUUAUACAGAAGACUCAAUAGUGGCAAAUACGAAAAUUAGAAUGGUGUCAUACAUGCACUGUCGUGCGUAUUCUCAAGAUCCCCAAAAAUUGGAUGCCAAAAUUAUUUGCAACUGCAUCAUGUCACUAAUGAAAGAUAGUCCAAUCAUUCUUGUGUCGACAUAUCAAAUGGAUCGGCACAUCAGGAGGAUCAGCAGCUGGAUCAAACAUGGAAUGAGGCGGAGUGUAUAAAUGUUAUUACCAAACAUAUCAAAUGAUAUCAGUGGUUGCUCUGGGUAAUAUGAACUCGAACCGCCCAUGUCCAGGUGAUAUGAACUGCUCUGUGACUCUUCACAAAAAGCAUCAACCUAUUGGUACGAUAUGUUUAAAGGUUGGUCCUCCGAGUCGGGCUCCGCCAUAUGUUGAUCCUCUAGCUCCCCCAUAGGUUGACUUACAUAUCUAUAGCUGUGUCCGGUACUAUUAUAUGUUGCCCACCAUAUAACUAAAUACGCCAUCGAGUCAUGUACCACUACAUGUAUUCAGUCAAAGGACUGAAGUCAAACAUGCAAAAGUGCAUCUCAGGCCGCUUGUUGUAUCGGGCAUUCCAUAGUACUACAUGUAUCUAUUCUGCUUAUCUGAUUAUGAUAAUUGCAUCUAAUAUGGACUUAGGUCUGAAUCUAUAUUUGACUGUAUAUGAGAUUUUGUGUAUGUACUGCAUGUCUAUUUAUGUUGGGUUAAACACUAAGUUUGCGAAAAUUCAGUUCUGCUUGUCUGUUAUGUUCAGGUAAUCCACAGUCUUAGGCAAAUCGGUGCGGCAGAGUUUCACGGUAACCACAAGUUUGUGAACUAAUUUUAAUUGGUGGUUUUUGUUUAGUUAUGGAUUAUUUCUGGGAGUUUUGUAAUUAAGGGACUCUCCGGACUGUUUGGUUUUAUUUUAGAUUUGGAUUUUCGAAUUAACUCUUCAUUUGCGACGGUUGGCUAAAACCGUGGUUUUUACUAAACAAAGGUUUUUUUGAAAAUGCAAACGGGAUUUUCAAAUAUAACGAUUUCUAAUAUUUCUGCUCAAAAUUAUGUUUUGGAAUAUGAAUUAAUUAAAUAAUGUUUUCAGUAUUAUUUAUAAAACUUGGUUGAUUUAUCGAAAUGGUUCUGAUUUCAAAACCCUUCAUCGCAGCAUUACCAAAUUUGGCGAUAAUGUCUAUGCUGGGUUUGAGGUGUUACACAAAUUGUCACAUAACUCGAUCGGUAUUAUACCACACAAUGGUUGAGAAGUUGAGCACUGGCAUGUUAAUACACCACACAUGGGCUUCUACGUGAACCCACUAAGGAAUAAGGGUUGCAAUGUUCGGUGCUGAAUACAACAUCCACAAGAACUGCACAAUAUAACAUAAUGAGUCAAGUCACAUCACAUACUGCAAGUGGAUAAGUUAAAUCAACGUUACUUAAACCAUGUUAAUAUGUAUUACUUUCUUUCCGACGGAUGCCUCUAUCAUUUGUUGGUAAAUGAUUAAUGUUUAGGUCGCACCAAUUCGCGGAGACGUGGCCCAUCUAAAACCGAAACAAACAUGUUAGCAAUUAAAUGUUAAGUAUAAUUUUGUUUUUACCUAUUUACAAGUGGCGACGAAUAUGGUUGGUGCCUAACAACCACUAGAAAUGGCAUCCUGUAUAGAGCCCAAGAUUGCAGCAGAUUUAGUCAACCAGCCAUGUUACUAACCCCAUGUUUUGUUGCUCGGCAAAGCUCAUGGUACAAUUUGGCCAACACUGCCGAUCCCCAGCUGUAAUUAUCGACACGAGAGAAGUCCUCACAUAGAGGCAAGUACUUUAAGUGGACCCUAUUAGACGUGUUGUUCGACAUAAGUACCCCCGAUUAGCUGCAUAAUAUAUGCUCAAGUGGCACACAUCACCUCGUGCUCAGUGGCAAUGCUUGAUAACUACUUAAAAUUUAGUUUCAACCAUGCCAAUGUCAAGCAUGUGAAAUUAUGUUCCCCACCACUAGGGGACCGUCCAAGCAAUCUGUGGCAUAGUAUUGAAGGUUCCAACACUUUUCUUUGGCCCGUGACCACAACAAUAUCAACUUAUAACCCAAGUUACAUAGCAACAUCUUCCAAUGUGAUAGUACACUCCCCGCACGGCAUAAUGAAGGUGUGGGUCUUCAUACACCACUGCUCAACCAAGACGGAUAUUAAGUUCACCCUCAGGCCAAACCUUCAGAUCAAUGCAACGUCCCCAAAUCCCGCCAAUUGUAAGUAUGGCAUGACUCGCUCGUCCGGAUUGUGCUUGGGAAAAUGAAACCGCAACCUCAGAACCCGAUACCCAUCCUGUAUGGUAAAUUUUUUAUAAAAAUAUGAUAACUCAAUUAUCUAAAGAGUUUUUCAUUUUAGAUUUUAGAGAGGCUUAAAUAAUAGUUUUUCAUUUUAGGAGGUCUAAAAAGUACUUUUCUUUUUAAAGGAGCCACGACCCCUGCCUAGUUUGGUCACCUUCUGUGGUGACGAGAUUCAUUCCAAUGAGAUUAAAAACAGCAGUGAUGAUGAGAUUAAUUACUAUAAUAAUGAGAUUAUUAAAAUCAGUGGUGAGAUGUGUUUUAGAAUUCGAACACAACAAUGGCAGUGAGAUAGAUUAUAGAUUUAUAGUAAAAAGGAAAAAUGACCAUUAUAGACACUAAACUAAAAUUAAACUAAGGAAGUUUACACCAUUCCGUAUAUUUUUGUACGAUUAAUAUUUUAGCGAUAAAAACACCAUAUUUCAUAUUUCAUGUUUUAUGUAAAAUACUUUUAAUCUUUGAAUGAAUGUUAAUACAUGCAAUAUUUUAGAUCGAUAGAUAAAAAUAUAGAAUCAAUUGAGAAUUUACAAUAAUAUCAACAAAUUCAAUGAUUGGAUUGUUAAGUUAAGAAUCAUGCAAAAAUAUAUGAAAUCGUGUAAAAUUACUUUAGUUUCGCACUAGUAUAAGCGAAUUCUUUUUUUUUUAAUAUAAAAAAUUAAUUAUAUAAUUUAAAUUUAUGUAUUUAACAUUAUUUAUAAAUAUAUUUCAUUAUUUAUAAAUAUAUUAUUUGAAAGUAAUGAAAUAAAAUAAAUAUUAUAAAUAAAAUUAUUGAAAUAUAGUAUCUAUUAUUGAAUUAAAUUAACCAUUCUUUAAAAAAAGAGUGAAAAUUAUUUUUUUAAAAUGCAUAGGGUUUUAUUUUUAAAAAAAUUUAAGAUUUAGGUGUAAAAGAUAAUCAAUCAUAAAGUGCAUAGGGCUUUAUUUUUUAUUUUUUAAAUAAUAUUGUUUUUGGCUCACAUGCAGUUUAUUGAGUUAGGUUAAGUAUACCUAACUCAAAAUUUAUAAAAAUGAUAAAAGGCAUGUGAUUUAGUAAUACAAAUAUUUUAUUCUUAAUUUUAAUUCAAUUUUUUUAUUUAAAACAGUAAAGGAUGUAGAUACCUUUAUAAAUUUGCACCUUUUAUUUUAUAGUUCAGUCAUUUCUUAAUUUCAUUUAGAGAUUUAUUGUAUACAGUGACGGAGCAUAGUGGAGAUCCAGGUAGCAUGGCAUCCCUUAAAAUGGUAAAUUUUUUAUUCAAGCCCUUUAUAAUUUAUAAAAUAUUAAAUUAGUAAUGGUAAAAUUGUAUUUUAACCCCCCUAAAGAUGAUAAAGUUUUGAUUUAACCCUUUAAAAAUUACAAAUUACAAUUUAAUUCCAACCCAAAAAAAUUUAGGCUCCGCCACUUAAAUAAUUAUAUCAAAUUCGAUAAAAAUUUUAAACUUCACAGGUAGAAUUGAAAAAAUAUGUGCUUUAUUUAAUAAUAAUACUUUUGAAUGGGUUGAAUUUGGUUGAAUUGGCAAGAGAUAAGGUGUGGAUAAAAUAAUAAAUUUAGUAGAUUAUAUGCAGAACUUGGUCAUAUCAGACUCAGUGCCAUGAACUUCACUAGCAAGCUUGCUAACACAGCUGCAGCAUAAGCUAUUAACUGCUUAAUCACUAUUUUUAUUACAACACUCAAAGAUGAAGAAGAAGAUUCUAUAUUUAAUUUCUUAAUGUUAACCUUGCAUUUGCAUUUCCUUGAUGGCGCUUCUAUACCAACUUUCAAGGAGAAUAAAACAAAAUAAUAAUAACUUUUUAGUUAAUUUGAUGGCAUAAUUGGUAAGGUUUUUUUUUAUUUUUUUAUUUGGGGUCGAUUUUGCAACGAUAUAGACAGGUAGGUAGGCACAUUUUAUUCUGUUGAAUAACUAGUUAUAUGGUAUAAGAGUGGUACCUAAUUGAUUAUUAAUGUCUUAAGGUCGAAUAUCGAAAAAAAAAACAAUUCCCCUUUAGAAAAAUAUUUAUUGGAAUUUAUUAUUUUGAAAACUAAAAAAUUUAAUCAUCUUGCUUCAAUGAAGAAAUCGAAACCCUGUAAGUUAGGGUAUGAUUCUUUGAAGUUCCGAUAACAACAUGAAUUUGCCUUUAUUAGAAAACUUCAUCUCGAGAUAAUAAAAUGUCAUAUCCAAUUAUUUAGGACCCAACGUUUUGAAUCCUCGAGAUAAGCUUUAAUUUUGGAAUUUUUACGUUCUUCGGAAAGAAGGAUACAGGGUUACCUAAAUUCAUCGAGGAAAAUUGAAACCCAGUAAGUUAGGGCACAAUCUUCUCGAGAAUCUUGGAUACCGAGUAUUGUGUUAUUUUGAAAACCUUUGAAUAAAACAAUUUAAUUACUUUAAUUAAGCAUAAUCCUUUAAGAAAAAAAACGAUGGAAUGAUAAUGUAUAACGGGAAAGGAUAGUUUGUAAACUAAAGUGCACACUAAUGAGCGACAAAUAAAUACAAAUAAGCAAUACAAUACACAUGAGAGCAAUCAUCUUUAUACAAAUACUAACUUUAAAAGCUAAUGAAUCAAAAGUCUAUUUUGAAAGAAAUACGAAGCAAAUUAACACAAAUAAAAUGUAACAAAUUUUAAAACAACUAAAAAAACAAAUGACAUGAAAGAAGGGGAAUUAUGUAAAUUUAAAAUAAUAUAUACAUAUAUCAAAGUUUGAAAUAAAUCAAAAACAUAGUUCGAAAUAAAUACUACAUAAAAUAAUAGUAUCCAAAUAAAUUUUAAAAUAAAUAUUAUAUAAGAAGAAAAUCAAAACACACAAAAUAAUAUACAUAUAUUAAUUUAAAAAAGUAAUACAUAUGGAAUGAAAAACUUCAUAAUAAUAUAUAAUAAAUUUAAAAAUAAUAAUAAUGCAUGAAAAGCUUAGAAAAAUAAUACAUAUAAAAUUAAAAUAAUAAUAUACAAUAAAUUUAAACAAUGUUAAUAAUAAAUUUAAAAUAAUAUUAAUUUUAAAAUUAAAUACAUUAAAAAUAAGGGAAUAAUAGAUGCUUAAAUAAAAUUUUAAAAAAAAAUCAAGCACAGUAAAUUAGUAGGGAUUAAAUUGAACUCAAAAUAGAAUUAAAAGGGAAAAAAGUAAAACAAAAUGAAGGGCCAGAGCAUAACGCGCGAAUAACAUGAGGGCCAAACAGGAAAUAUUGCCUUCUCUCAAAACGCUGCAUUUUGAUGUGGACCAAAAUGAUACAAAAAGAAAAUGUCAAGCAAAAUUUAAAAGCCAUUAAAGAAUUGAUUUGAAUACGUUAUAAACGUGGGGGACCAUUUGCACAAAUUCCCCAUGCGCUACAAAAUGCGCGGAUCUUUCCCCGGGUCGGGUCACUACGCGGGUAUACAUGGCGGUAUGGCGUCGUUUUGGAGUCAUUAAAACAGACCCCAAAUGGCGCCGUUUCUUUUAUCAUAUACAAACCAAUUUUAACCCUAAAAUUAGCAGCCAUUUAUGAUUUAAAAAUCAAUCCCUAAAAAAAACUUGUCUCACCCUCUCCGAGCGCCGUUCAACAAUUAGGCCGUUCAAAGGUCCUCCGCCCUUCGCCCGCCUCCGAUUGCGAUGUAGCGAACCAAGGUUCGACUACCAGGUAACCGACUCUUAACUGUUUCUUUUUUCUUCAUUCACGAUAAAUAAAUAAAAAGAUUCAAGAACAGAAAAAAAUUAUUGAGAGAGGAAAAAAAAUGAAAAUCACCUCUGGAUUUCUGUCUUUUAGCAAUUUUUAUUUCUUUUCGUAUCCCCCAUUUACAAAUUUUCAAUGGCUUUUUAUAGCCGAAAUGAAACAAGAAAAUAAAAUAAAAAGAAAUCUAUUCUGUCAUCUGAUGGUCUUGAUUUGCGAUUUUUUAUUUUCUUACUAUUUUUUCCUACCUCUGCUGUUUGUUCCCAUUUUUGUUGUGCAGGUACAACCUCGGAGGGGCGCACGUGCGCGGAGGAGCAACAUGCGCGGGGGGCCUAGGUUCGGCUGCAGCGCAAAGGCAGAAAGCUACUAUUGCUGCUAAGGUUUCUGUUUCGUGGUCUAGGGCUAGGCAUUGGGCCUCUGUAAUUGGGCCACUAUUUAUUUGGUUAAGGAUUUAGAUUGGGUCUUAGUGUAUUUUGUAAUCGAGUUUGGGUUUGGGUUGGCAAUUGGACUGUAUUUGGACUUUGAAUUUUUAUUUGGUAUUUGGUUUUAUUUAUUUACAUACGGGCCAGGCAAAUUGGGCCAAUUAUAGCUGCCCCUCUUUGCUCGUUCUCGUGUAACAGGAACGGAGCAAAGAAUUUAGCAAUGGCCAAUUUUUAUUUCUUUUCGUAUCCCCCAUUUACAAAUUUUCAAUGGCUUUUUAUAGCAAAAAUGAAACAAGAAAAUAACAUAAAAAGAAAUCUAUUAUGUUAUCUGACGGCCUUGAUUUGUGAUUUUUGAUUUUCUUACUAUUUUUUCCUACAUGUGCUGUUUGUUGCCAUUUUUGUUGUGCAAGUACAAGCUCGGAGGGGCGCACGCGUGGGGGGCCUGGGUUCGGCUGUAGCGCAAAGGCAAAAAGCAUCUAUUGCUACUAAGGUUUUUGUCUCGUGGUCUAGGGCUAGGCAUUGGGCCUCUGUAAUUGAGCCACUGUUUAUUGGGUUAGGGAUUUAGAUUGGGUCUUAGUGUAUUUUGAAAUCGGGUUUGGGUUUGGGCUAGCAAUUGGACUGUAUUUGGACUUUGAAUUUUUAUUUGGUAUUUGGUUUUAUUUAUUUACAUGCGGGCUGGGUAAAUUAGUCCAAUUAGAACGUGUUAAGAACUUUCUUAAUGAACAAAGUAAUGCUAUAUUGAUCAAGAAAAUAGGUGAUUUCCCUUCCUCUACCAUUUCACAAUAAUAGAGUACAUGAGUUAGCUAUUAUUUAUAAUUGCUGCUAACAAAUUAAUAGAUUGAUGAGAAUAAAAAAACUAAAUGUUGCCUAUCAAUACUAACAGCUAUUAUUUUAUAUUUUAACAUUAACUUAUCUUUCCGACGGGUAACACCUGAAGAAGACUUUGAAACCGAGCGAAAGAUGAAACAGAUAAAGGCUUAGUAAGAAUGUCAGAAAUUUGAUCGCACGCAAGUAUUUCACCCACAACUAAAGACCUAGCAGCAAAUCUUUCACAAAUAAAGAACAAAUCAAGCUCCACGUGUUUAAACUUAGAAUGUAAAACCGGAUUCACAGCAACUGCAACUGCACUUGAGUUGUCAUACCAUAUAGUAAGGAAAUCAUUAGACUGAAGUUCUAAUUCUUUUAAUAAUGAAGUCAGCAAAAGGACAUCACUCGUUACUGCAGUAAGACUCUGAUAUUUAGCUUCGACUGUGGAAUGAGACACAACUUGUUGUUUCUUUGAACACUAUGACACUAAGUUGUGACCAAAAUAUACACAAUAGCCAGUUGUGGAUCAACUAUCAUCAAGAUCCAGCCCCCAAUUUGCAUCGGCAUAACCAACUAAAGAGAGUUGAGUAGACGAACGAAACACAAUCCCAUAGUCUAGAGUACCACACAAAUACCGCAAUAUGCAUUUUAAAGCAACCAGAUGUAUAGUAGUGGGUGUAUCCAUAAAUUGGCAGAUGCGAUUUACUGCGUAGGCAAUAUCAGGUCGAGUUAGAACCACAUACUAUAGCGCCCCUGCAACACUUCUGUAUUCAGUGGGAUCAAAAAGUCAUUCCCCGCCAUCCUUAGACAAAGAUGAUGAGCUAAUCAUAGGAGUAUGAACACUCUUUGCAUGAGUCAUACAACACCUGUUAAGCAAAUCACGAACGUACUUUUGCUGGCAUUGAUGGAUACAUCCAUCAGAGGAACGAGUCACCUCAACUCCAAAAAAGUAAUAAAGAUCACCCAUAUCUUUAAGAGAAAACUCCUUAUGCAAUUUCUGAACAAAACUUUCAAUACAUGUAGGUACACUUCCAGUAACAAUAAUAUCAUCCAUACACAAGAACAUAUAGAGUGACAGAAGGUAUGACUUGAAUAAAUAAGGACGAACUCGACUUGGAUAUAUGAAAUCCAAUUGAAAGUAGGAAACACUUUAACUUUUUAAACCAAACACGUGGAGCCUGUCACAGUCCAUACAAUGCCUUCUUAAGACGACACACCAAAGGUUCACCAUUAGGACUAAACUGAACAUACCCUGGAGGUUACUGCAUAAACACUUAAUCAGUAAGAUUGCCAUUUAAAAAAAACAUUAUUAACGUCUUGAGACAGAGACUGAUAGUAUAACUCGAAUAGUAGCAUGCUUGACCCCCGGACUAAACGUUUCCUUAAAAUCACAUCCAAGUACCUGAGAACAUCCUUUAGCCACUAACCGAGCUAUCCGACUUGCAAUCGUUCCAUCCAAAUUUUUUUUACUUUGAAGAGCCAUUUACACCUGAUUACCUUUCGACCGCUUGGUGACAGAAUAAGUUUCUAGGUGGAAUUAUGUGUAUUUUGGAAAUACGCCCAUCUCGUGUUGUUCAAAAAGGCAACAAGUUAUUUCUCGAUCAACAGCAGAAGUAGAAUAUUGAACUCUUACUGCCGCCACCAGUGAUAUAAUAUGGUUAGUCUCUCUGCUAACGGAGUUACAACUUCAUUCUGCUGACUCUCCUACUAUUUGGUGUGACAAUUCUAGUGCAGUAGCGAUUGCUGGCAAUCUGGUUUUACACUUCAAGUUUAAACAUGUUGAACUUGACCUUUUCUUUGUCCGUGAAAAGGUUGCUAACAGUUCACUCGUUGUUGGUGAGGUACCAGCCUGUACCAAGUUGCUAACAUUUUAAGGAAACCAUUGUCUGUCUCUUUGUUUACUCAGUUUUGUAAUUUCCUUCGGAUCUUACCUAUUGAGAAGCUGGGUAAAUGUUAGAGUAUGUGAAUGUAUUAGGCUAUUAGUCUGUUAUCAAGACUGGUAUAUUGUUAGUAGGUUAGUUAGUAGUAGUUAGAUCAAGUCUCAUGCAUAUAAGUAUUAUCUCUAUACUGAUAGAAAAAGGUUAACAAUACAAACAAUUUAAUUAGUCUUUUCUUUCAAUAUUUUUCAGUAUUAUAGAGUUAGUAACAUGUUCAUAUUAUUUGUUCCAGUGUUGAUGGUAUUGGCAACUACUGUUUUGUCCAAAAAGCUUGACGUCAUGCUCAUGACGUUGGCUACUGUUUGUAGGCUCCGAUAUAAGGUUUCAAUGGAAAUUCCCCUAGUCCUGUAAUCAAUAGAUGGUGGUAUAGCCCUUAGAGUACUAUGGGGUCCAAUUUGUUCUUUAGUUUUAUCAAUCAGACCACCACUGUGGCAGGAAUCAGAAAUAAUUAUGAAGCUUAAUCCACUUGGUAGUCGUUGAAUCAAGUGCCCCAAGUCGACGUCUGCACAACCAUCGCAACCACCAUAUGACAUGAAUAAUAGUUCGCUUAGAUUGAGGGUGUUUCAAUAAUGUGAUAUAUUUGGCCUCUAAUAAGAAAUCAACAUAUAGAGUGGGUGAUUAAUCCGAAUUGGGAGGAGGACAGGUGUUGUGAUGGACAAAGCGUAAGACAAGGUGGUUUCCGACUGAAGCAAGAAAGCUCUAGCAAAAGGCAGCUAGGUAUUCCUUUUUCACACAAAGACGAAGAUAAAUGAUUAUAACAGCAUGAUAUGAUCUGCUUCGCCUUCGUCCACUACCUCAUCUUUAUGUUUUUGUUUUGGUCGUUACUCACGUCGGCUUUUGUCUGCAAGUGCUGCAUGUCGGUCCUACUAUCGUGAUUGUGUUGCCUAGCUUCUGAUUUCUAUGUAUUAAUAGGGUCUAUUUGAAUGUGCGGUUUGCAGAGGUAAAAUUAGAAAUUUGUUUUUAAGUGUUAAACUUUGUAUCUAUAUAGAUUUAAGAAGUGUUAAAUCAAAAUUUUAUAUUUUUUUACGAUAAAUUGUAUUUAUACAAUGUUUAACUUAUAAAUUUAUUGAUAUUACAGAGGUUUAAAUAAUAGUUUUCCAUUUUAGGGGUAUAAAGAGUAAUUUUCAUUUUAAGGGCGCUACGAUUAGACUUGAUUAUGAGUUGGGUCACCCGUCCAAGUCUAAUGGUUCUCUUGACAAGUGAGAGAGAUUGGGCUAAAAUAUAGCCCAAAAAAACAGACUUGGACAAAAAAUAAUAUCCAUAUUCCAAAGGGGCCGAGCCUCGGGUAAGAUUUUUUUGCUUGGGCCCAACCCGACCCAAAUUUGCUUAAAAAAUUUUCCUUGCUACUGUUAACUAUUGUUUGCUAUUAUAUUGUUACUAUAUUGUUGCUAUUAUUUGUAUAUUGUAUAAUUAUUGUUUUAUUGUUAAUUUUGCUACUAUUUUCAAUUAGUUGGGAAACAUUUAUUUCAACAUUUUUAGUGUAUUUGAUGUAUUAUAUUUUUUAAAAUAAAAAAGUAUAAAAUAUUUUAAUAUAGGCGGGCCGGGCAAGGCUCAGGUUUGGCAUUGUUUAUCUGGGUCAGGCUUGAUAAAAAAUUUAGGCCCAUUUUUUGGUCGGGUAGGGCUUGAGCCUAGAAAACGAGCCUAGAAUCCCAACCCGAUUGAGCCCAUGAUCAAGUCUAGCCACGACCCCUAUCCGCUAUGGUCACCGCCUUUGGAGACAAGAUUAAUUCUUGUGAGAUUGAGAAUAGGGAUGGCGAUGAGAUUAAUUACUAUAGCAGUGAGAUUAGUUACUACAGUGAUGAUGUUAAAAUUAGUGGUGAGAUGCGGAUUCAAACACAAGAAUGGCGGGAAGAUAGAUAAUAGAUUUAUAGUAAGAAAGGAAAAUGACCAUUAUAGACAUUAAAAUAAAUUAGUUUUCACCUUUCCGUAUAUUUUUCUAUGAUUAUUAUUUUAAUGAUAAAAAUGACAUAUUUAAUAUUUCAUUUAAACACAUCGUGCAUAUUUUUAACAUAAAUUAAAAAUUUCUAACUAUUUGUUUUAUUUAAGAAUAUUUUUAAUCGUUUAAUAAAUGUUAAUAUAUAUAAUAUUUUAGAUAGCUAUGACAGAAAUAUCGAAUCAAUUUAAAAUUUUACAUACAUGAAAAGUACAACAAUAUUGAUAAAUUCAAUGGUGGGUGUCACAUCACAAAAUCAGGGUUAAAAAAAUUAGAUUAGCGAAACCAAGUGUGGUCGUGUUCAGUUUUGAUUUGAAGUUGUGAAAAUUAAAAACCAAGAGUACGUUAACCACCGCAUCCCCAAAUAGUCAUAUGAUGUCUCAUAGGCUUCACACCCUCUUAAUAAAAUCCCAUCAUCCUCCUUCAGUGGAUCCAACACCAUUAACCCAUCUACGUAGCGAGUAUUGGGAAUUAUCCAUAUUUAUGGAAAAUCAAAGAUAUGGGUAUCAAAUAAUAGAAAGUCAAAGAUAUGGGUAUCAAAUAUUGGAAAGUCAAAGAUAUGGGUAUCAAAUAUUGGAAAGUCAAAGAUAUGGGUAUCGAGAUAUUGGCAUAAUAAAAUCUGAGAUAUUUGCAAUAUAUGGUCCCUAAUUGUAAAGUGACUUUGCAAGUUGAUCCCUGAACCUCAACUAUAAAUAGGUGCCAUCUCUCAUUCUGUAUCUCAAACUUGCCAUUCUCUACUUAAGGCAUUGUUUUUUCUCUCUCUCUCUUUGUAAAUUCUCACUUGUAUUUUGGAGUGAAAUAUAUUUGGUAGUGCCCGAGGACGUAGGCAAAAUUUGCUGAACCUCGUUAAAUUCUUGUGUUCUUUAUUGUAUUAUUCUGCAUGAAUUGUGUGUGUGAUUGUAGUAAUUUAUUGUGCUAUUAAAUUACGACUGAAGGAUAUUCUGGCUAGGAAAGACCUGGUACUUAAGCGAUCCUUGUGAUCCACCUCUCUUUCCUGGGAAUUGAACUUAGUGUGAUUUUUUAGUACAAUAAUUUUACUCUUUUACACGCUUCCGCACAACAAUUGGUAUCAGAGCUAGAUUCGUACUUGGGGAAUACGAUCGUUCACGGUACUGUUCACGUACUGUAGUUGGGAUUGAGGAGAAAAAAAUGGAAAAGUCAUCGUCAAAGACUACUGUGACCAAUGCGAAAUUUGAAGUAGAGAAAUUUGAUGGUACCAAUAAUUUUGGUAUGUGGCAAUGUGAGAUCCUGGAUGUCUUAUGUCAGCAAGAGUUGGAUAUAGCCCUUGAAGAAAAACCUGACAAGAUGGAUGACAAGGAGUGGGCCAAGAUCAAUAGACAGGCAUGUGGAACAAUUCGCCUAUGUUUGGCCAAAGAGCAGGAGUACUCUGUCAUGAGGGAGUCAUCAGCGAAGAAGUUGUGGGAUACACGGGAAGAAAAGUUUCUAACAAAAAGUCUUGAAAAUAGGCUUUAUAUGAAAAAGAAACUUUAUCGAUUCACGUAUGCACCCGGUAUGUCGAUGAAUGACCAUGUGAACUCAUUCAAUAAAAUUUUAGCAGACUUGCUAAAUUUGGAUGAGAAAUUUGAAGAUGAAGACAAGGCAUUACUGUUGUUGAAUUCUCUUCCUGAUGAAUAUGAUCAUCUUACCACCACAUUGCUUCAUGGGAAGGAUACAAUCACAUUUGAUGCAGUCUGUAGUGCGUUGUAUAGAUCUGAGACUCGAAAGAAAGAUAAAAAAGAUCACAGAGACUACAGAAGUCUUAACAGUAAGAAGUCGUUCGCACAGCAACAAAUCUGGUAGAAGGAGUAAGUCCAAAAAGAGACCUGCCAAAGAUGAAUGUGCUUUUUGUCGUGAGAAAGGGCAUUGGAAAAAGAAUUGUCCUAAGUUACAAAAGGGUAAAGCUAUUUCUGAUGCAUGUGUAGCGGAGCAUGAUGAGGAGUCAGACUUUAGCUUGGUUGGCAUGGCAAUGGCAUGUCAUACAGAUGAGUGGAUUUUUGAUUCGGGAUGUACUUACCAUAUGUGUCCUAAUAAGGACUGGUUUUCUAGUCUUAAAGAACUAGAAGGUGGAGUUGUUUUUAUGGGCAAUGAUAGCGCUUGUAAGACAAUGGGAGUAGGUACAAUCCAAUUGAAGAAUCACGACGGCUCAAUUCAAGUCUUGACAGAUGUUCGCUACAUACCUAUCUUGAAGAAAAAUCUUAUCUCAUUAGGGGUCCUAGAAUCUAAAGGGCUCACAAUCACUUUGAGAGAUGGAUUACUAAAGGUAGUAGCUGGGGUAUUGACGGUGAUGAAAGGCACAAGAAGGAAUAAUCUGUACUAUUUAAAUGGAAGUACAGUUAUUGGAUCAACAUCAACAGCUUUUACGAAAGAUGCAGAUUCAGAGGCUACCAGGUUAUGGCAUAUGCGAUUGGGACAUGCUGGUGAAAAAGCUUUGCAGAGUUUGGCGAAGCUAGGCUUGUUGAAAGGUGCAAAUUCUUGCAAAUUGGAAUUCUGUGAACAUUGUGUUCUGGGCAAGCAGACAAGGAUAAAAUUUGGUUCAGCAAUUCACAAUACAAAAGAAAUUCUGGACUACGUUCAGAGUGACGUGUGGGGACCUACUAAAGUGGCUUCUUUGGGAGGUAUGCACUAUUUUGUUACUUUUGUUGAUGAUUAUUCAAGAAAAGUAUGGGUGUAUCUAAUGAAAAGGAAAAAUAAAGUUUUGGAUGUAUUUCUUAAAUGAAAGAAGAUGGUGGAGACCCAGGCUGGUCGAAAAGUCAAACGACUUCGAUCAGACAAUGGUACUGAGUACAAGAAUGAUCCAUUUCUACAAGUAUGUCACGAUGAAGGUAUUGUACGACACUUCACUGUUCGAGAUACACCACAACAGAAUAGGGUGGCAGAACGUAUGAAUCGGACUAUACUGGAGAAAGUUCGAUGUAUGUUGUCCAAUGCUGGAUUGGGCAAAGAAUUUUGGGCUGAGGCAGUUACAUAUGCGUGCCAUCUAAUUAAUCGGUUGCCAUCAACUGCAAUAAAUGAAAAAACUCCUAUGGAGAGGUGGGCUGGUAAACCUGCUACUGAUUAUGAUUCUUUACAUAUUUUUGGUUCCACUGCAUAUUAUCAUGUAAAAGAAUCUAAGUUAGACCCAAGAGCAAAGAAAGCAUUAUUCAUGGGUAUAACUGGUGGAGUAAAAGGAUACCGUUUCUGGUGUCCUGAUACAAGGAAAAUAAUUUUCAGUAGAGAUGUGACUUUUGAUGAAUCAACCAUGAUGAAGAACAAUGAUUCACAAAAGGAUAACACAACCAGUGGCACUUUGCAGCAGGUGGAGCUUGAAAAGGUUAAUGAUGAUCCAGCUAAUAUUGAAGGAACAAAUGAUGAAGAAGUUUCGACCCAAGAACUUCUACAGCAACAUGAUUCAAUUGCAUAUAGAAGGCCAAGAAGAGAGAUUCGUAUGCCUGCUCGCUUUGAUGAUAUGGUGGCCUAUGCACUUCCAAUUGCAGAUGAUGAUGUUCCUUCUACUUACACAGAAGCAAGAAGUAACUCUGAUAGUGUAAAGUGGAAGCAAGCUAUGAAUGAAGAAAUGCAGUCUCUUCAUAAAAAUAGGACUUGGGAGUUGGUGACACUACCUAAAGGAAAGAAGGCAAUUGGAUGCAAAUGGGUAUAUGCAAAGAAGGAAGGAUUUCCUGAUAAAAAUGAAGUUCGAUACAAGGCUAGAUUGGUAGCAAAGGGUUACGCUCAGAAAGAAGGAAUAGACUACAAUGAAGUAUUUUCUCCAGUUGUGAAGCAUUCGUCUAUUCGGAUUUUGCUAGCCUUGGUUGCGCAAUAUGAUCUUAAACUAGUUCAGCUCGAUGUGAAGACCGCAUUUUUACAGGGUGAUUUGGAAGAGGAAAUCUAUAUGACUCAGCCAGAUGGAUUCAAGGUUGCUGAUAAAGAAAAUUGGGUUUGCAAACUGACAAAGUCGCUUUAUGGAUUGAAACAAUCUCCAAGGCAGUGGUACAAGCGAUUUGAUCAGUUCAUGAAAGGGCAAAGGUAUACAAGAAGUAAAUUUGAUCAUUGCGUGUAUUUUCAGAAGCUACAAGAAGGAUUUUUCGUAUACUUGCUAUUAUAUGUUGAUGAUAUGUUGAUAGCAUCUAAGAGUAAAGUUGAAAUUGAGAGAUUGAAGACUCAACUCAACCUUGAGUUUGAGAUGAAAGAUCUAGGUGAAGCUAAGAAGAUCCUUGGCAUGGAAAUAUGUAGGGAUAGAGCUCAUGGCAGAGUUAGUUUAUCUCAGAAGCAAUAUUUAAAGAAGAUACUACAGAAGUUUGGCAUGAACGAGUAGACUAAAGCUGUAAGUACCCCGUUGGCUUCUCAUUUCAAGCUUUCUGCACAACUAUCUCCUUCGACAAAUACGGAACAAGAAUACAUGUUACAAGUUCCGUAUUCUAAUGCAGUAGGUAGCUUGAUGUAUGCAAUGGUGUGUACAAGACCCGACAUUUCACAGGCAGUUAGUAUAGUGAGCAGGUAUAUGCAUAAUCCUGGAAAAGGACAUUGGCAAGCUGUGAAAUGGAUUCUACGGUAUAUUCAUAAGACCAUGGAUAUUGGAUUCCUGUUCAAGCAGGAUACUACACUUGGUAAAGGUGUUGUUGGGUACGUUGAUUCUGAUUAUGCCGGUGAUUUGGACAAACGAAGAUCAACCACUGGUUAUGUGUUUACUCUUGCUGGAGGACCAAUAAGUUGGAAGUCUACACUGCAGUCUACAGUUGCGUUGUCAACCACAGAAGCUGAAUACAUGGCUGUAACAGAGGCUGUAAAGGAAGCUAUUUGGUUACAAGGUAUGGUUAAAACCUUGGGAUUGAUCCAAGAGCAUAUUAAUGUGUAUUGUGAUAGUCAAAGUGCUAUUCAUUUAGCAAAGAAUCAAGUCUAUCAUGCACGUACAAAGCAUAUCGACGUACGUUUCCGCUUUGUGCGGGAAAUUAUUGAUGAGGGGAAAAUUCACCUUCAGAAGAUUAAGACUGCAGAUAAUCCCGCAGAUAUGAUGACCAAGGUGGUAACAACAAUCAAGUUCGAACAUUGUUUGAACUUGAUCAAUAUUCUGCAUGUUUAACAGUUGAAGAAGGCACUAUCAAGUGUUGUUGACAAAGGCAGAGAGAAUUGUGUGAAGAUAAGAUUACUCGAAUUAAAUCUUCAAGGUGGAGAUUAUUGAGAAUUAUCCAUAUUUAUGGAAAAUCAAAGAUAUGGGUAUCAAAUAAUAGAAAGUCAAAGAUAUGGGUAUCAAAUAUUGAAAAGUCAAAGAUAUGGGUAUCAAAUAUUGGAAAGUCAAAGAUAUGGGUAUCGAGAUAUUGGCAUAAUAAAAUCUGAGAUAUUUGCAAUAUAUGGUCCCUAAUUGUAAAGUGACUUUGCAAGUUGAUCCCUGAACCUCAACUAUAAAUAGGCAUAACCAUUUCUCAUUCUGUAUCUCAAACUUGCCAUUCUCUACUUAAGGCAUUGUUUUCUCUCUCUCUCUUUGUAAAUUCUCACUUGUAUUUUGGAGUGAAAUAUAUUUGGUAGUGCCCGAGGACGUAGGCAAAAUUUGCUGAACCUCGUUAAAUUCUUGUGUUCUUUAUUGUAUUAUUCUGCAUGAAUUGUGUGUGUGAUUGUAGUGAUUUAUUGUGCUAUUAAAUUACGAUUGAGGGAUAUUCUGACUAGGAAAGACCUGGUACUUAAGCGAUCCUUGUGAUCCACCUCUCUUUCCUGGGAAUUGAACUUAGUGUGAUUUUUUAGUACAAUAAUUUUACUCUUUUACACGCUUCCGCACAACAGUGAGGAUGGAAUUUGAGGCUCACAUCUUUCCCGAAGAUUCCGAAAAUCUUUUGGCCAAUAUUUACUGCGUCGUGUAGGAGGCCUGCUGCUGUAUCUAUCGCACCAUGUAUGAUAUCAAAAGGAAGACUCUUAACCUUGACCUUAGACGGUUUAGGCAUGUUGGGAUUUACUGGUGUCGUCAUAUGCUCAACACCAAAUUGUUCUUUCUCUUUUUCAAUGAGACCACCACUGUGGCACGAAUCUGAUAGGAUUGUGAAGCUUGCUCCUUCUGGUAGCCGGUUAACUAAACGGCUGAAGUCCAUAUCUGCAGAAACCAUGUAUAUAUAGGGUAUGAAUAUAUAUUGCUAAAAUAAAUAUUUAAAUUCAAACAAAAACCUACCCGUGACAAGAUUUAAAUCACAAGCCACGAUUGCUUCAUCUUGUUUGAAAGGCUGGCCAGGUUGAAAGAUUGGAAUGCGUGUUCCAUGUCCACUGAAGUAGAAAAAUAGGACAUCUCCUGCUUUAGCAUUGCACGCCAUUCUAUUAAGUGCAUCCCUAAUGUUUGCGCCGGUAGGCAGAACCGACGACCCUGGCGCACCGGUGAGGACAUUAAUAUCACUUUCCUUGAACCCAAAGUUCAGGAUCCCAUCUCCUAUGGUUUUCACAUCAUUGAUGCGUCCAUGCAAGCCGAAUUGGGUCUCGGGGUAGUUGCAUCCCACCAGAACUGCUCUCUCGUACCCUUACCCAUCUUGCUUUGCUAAUUUGACUAUUUUGUGUUGCUUGUACCCUUGUAUUAAUGUGCUUCCACCGUCUCACUAAGACCCUAUAUAUAUACACACUAAUUUACGGCCUGUGUACUGUCGAUUAAGAUGAUCAUAAAGUGGAUAGGGUUUUACUUGUUUUUUCUUUUUAACAAACUAAUAUUAUUUUUGGCUAACAUCCAAUUUAUUUAAAUACGUUAAGUAUACCUAACAUAAAUUUUUUAAAAAUGAUAAAGGCAGAUUAUGUUUUCAUAGAUGUAAUUUAGUCAUACAAAUAUUAAUAAUUAAUAAUAAUUAAUAAACACGUUCAUUUCAAUUAAUUGUAUACUCUACUAAAUGGUAAGAUGUGGCUUAUUAAAUUAAAAAAUUAAGUCUGACUUCCUCUCAACACUAUUCACACACCCUUGUUAUUUAUAUUUUUGCUCUAUAAAAAAUAAGGAUUUUGUGAUAUUUUUUCCUCUUAAAUGAUUUUAUUUAUAUUUUUAAUUAUAUUAAUUAUAUUUUAUAUUAGUUAUUAUUGAUUUAGAGAAUAAUUGGAGAAAAAAAAGAGCUUAAAGUUUAUUUUUGACACGUUUUGCGGGUUGGACUUUCAAUAUUUACAAUACAGUUUAAGUAUUUUGGUAAUAACUUAAGCUACAGGUUUUAGUUUUGGGCUCAUAAUAUACAGAUUUGAAGAAAAUUGACAUAACUAACUAAAUUUGUUUCGCGGAUGAAGCCCAAAAACAUCAAGAAGACAUCAAAAAAUGUCCUGGAAGUUUGUCCGAAAAAUUGCCAAAAUAUCUUGAAAACUUUUGCUUUAUAUAAUUAAUGGUACUUUUGUACUUUCUCUAUUAUAUUAUUUUUCUCUAUAAAUGGACAUUAUUAGGUUAAGACGAGGGGAGACCUAGACCUAGGCGUUCUUAGUUUUAUUUUGUUUUUUUAGUUUGUGGCUUUUUAAACUCUCCAUCUAGUCGAAGGUUUUAUCAGAUUUUGAUUUAAUAAAUUUGUGAGACUUAAUUUUUGCUUUAAUUUUUCUUUGUUCUUUGGUAUUCAUGCAUUUUUUGUUUUAAUUACAACUUUUCAAGUUUAUUGAAUGUUCAGUCGGUAUUUGAUAGCUUAGAAUGAUUGUUUUGUCAAUUAGAAUUCUUAAAUCCAUAAUUGUAUAAUUCAUUCUAAUACUAGUGACAAACUACAUAAUUCGUUUAUGUCGCAGUUUAUAUUUAUGUGGUGUGAAUGUGUGAUAUAGCUAAAAUGAAUCUCGCUAGGAUGAGUUUGUUAGUUAGAAUUUGGACUCUCUCGUUCUUAAUACUGCCGAUAAGUUAAAUCUAGGGCGUUGAGUUACAGGGUUAUUUAUCGAUUAGGAAAUAAUUUCAAACGAGUUUUCUCUUGGCUAUCGAACAAUGAGAGAUGGGUUGCCUUACACUGAGUCAACAACUAGAACUAAUUUAUUAAAGGUAUUGAAGUUAUUUUUGCAUUGAUGAUCGAAUCUUUGAAUCAAACAAAGAUUUUACUUCUAGCUAGAGUUUCUUCUCAUUAAUUUUCUUUUAUAAUUUAUUUUUACUUUGUUUUAAUUUUAAUUUUUAAUUUUAAAAUCUUUUUAUAUUUUUCAUGUAAGUUUUUGUUUUUAUAAAUCUCUACAUCCUUGCAUUACUUCAAUACAACACCAAAAGAACCAAAUGGCAAACACUAUAACUAAAAAUCUUGCAAAAGAGGCCGUUUUAUUUUAUCAUAAAAUUAUACAUGAAAUAGCCAUACAUGGCGAUUACAUAAGCUUGAAGGCCUUAAAACACAGACAUACGAUAGUAAUUAAUAAGCAAACACACACACAGACGCAGUAAUGAAGGCUAACUUCAACUUCGUAGUAGUGCACACCGAUGGAGCACAUUAUUAUUUAGUUUACAGUUUCGACCUCUAGUGAUCGAAAACCCUGGUUCAAAGCCGGCAGCUUAUGCACCCGUAGUGGUGUUGGGUUGGUGGCCAAGAAAAGCUGCAUCAGCAUUCUCAUCACUGCAAUAAAGGCAAGGGUGCUGCUGCCCAAUUCCUAGCUUUAUUAUUUCAUUCCUAGCCUUCACCACAAGCUGUCUAUUGGUUAAUGCACCUAAUUCGCUCUCCUUGAUGACCUUCAGAACUGAAUAGGUAAAGGCCCCAAACGCCUUUCCUCCGGUUUUCUCACUCGCUGGCAUAUCAAUUGAAAGCUCAUUGGCUUGGCACCCACUUAACAGAAUUCCCUCAUCCUCCGUCAGUGACCUCAAAUUCAAAAUAUCACGCUCAUAAUGGGGUAGGAAUUUGAGACUCACAUUGUUCCCAAAGAUUGUGGUCAAAAGAGAGCCAAUACCCGUCAUAUUAUCUGUUCCAGUGUUGAUGGCAUUCCCAAGUGCUCUUGUGGGAAAUAAGUCUUGUGUCGCGAUUAUGACGUUGGCCGCUGUUUGUAGGCACUGGAAUAAGGUUGCUAAGGAAAUGCCCCUAGUCUUGUAAUCAACAGGUGGUGCUAUACCCCUUAGAGUACUAUGGGGUCCAAUUUGUUCUUUACUUUUAUCAAUCAGACCACCACUGUGGCAGGAAUCCGAAACGAUUGUGAAGCUUGAUCCACUUGGUAGUAGCUGAAUCAAUUGCCCCAAGUCCACGUCUGCACACCCAUCGCAACCACAAUAUGAUAUAAAUAACAGUUUGCUUAGAUUGAGAGUAUUUUAAUAAUUUAGUUUACCGAGUUGAUUACGUACCAAAAAUGGGAUUGAGAUCACAAGGCACAAUUGCUUCACCCUCGUUGGGAGGCUGGUGGGGGUCAAUGCGGUGCACAAGUCCAUGUCCACUAAAGUGGAAAAGCAGGACAUCUCCUUCUUUAGCCGCGACCACCAUCUUCUUGAGUGCAGCCAUAAUGUUUGCACGUGUAGGCUUACACGUGGACUCUGGUUCAUCAGUUAGGAGCUCAACAUUUUCGGAAUCAAAGCCAAACCUGCUCACGAUCAUUUCUCUCAUGGCUUUCGCAUCGUUUACGCAUCCGCUCAACUUGUUGAUGGUGUUGGGGUAGUUGCAUCCGACCAGAACGGCUCUCUUCUUACAUUCGGUGGCCAUCUUGCUUCUGUUUUGGGUCGCUUGUCUUGUCUUGUGCUUCGGACGUUGCACUAAACACCUAUAUAUGCACACAUACACACUGUAGUUUACACUAUGCUCACUGACCAUACUCUAAUAAAUAAUACAUCAUGUUGGUAGGUACAACUGUUUUAUUUUAUUUUUUGUUUAGAAAAAAAAGGGCUUUUUUUUAUAAAAACAACCCAAAAAUAAUUAAUUACUUAAAUGACUUAUUUUUUUUGAUAAAAUACGAAAAUAACCUGAAAUCUAUGGAAAAAGUUGGUAGAGCCAAAGUGUGCCACCAACAUGCCAUGUCAGCAAUUUAUAUUAAAAAAUUAAUUUUUGAGUAGAGCUGCCACUUGUAUAAAUACUACGGAAAUAUUAUGAUUUUUUUUCUUUUUAAGUUUUUUUGAUUUGUCCCUUAUAUAUUUUAUUUAUUUGUUUAUUAUUGGUUUUAUAAAAUCUCAAAUGUAUAUUUUAAAUGUUUUAUAAUAUUAUUUUUUAAAAAUUUUAAAUAUAUUUUUCUAAAUUUAAAUAUUAUUUUUUAAUUUUUAAAUAUUAUUUUUUAAUAUUAUAAAAUAUUUAAAAUAUAUUAUUUUUAAAAAUAUGACCUUUCAAAUUUAUUAUUUGUUUUAUAAUAUUUUAAAUAUAUAUUUAAAAAUUUUUAAAUAUAUUUUUUAAAAUUUUAAAUAUAUAUUUUUUAAAUUAUUUUUAAAGAUAUUCAAACAUUUUUUUUAAUUCUAUUUAAAAUCUAAAAAAUAAUAUGUGUUUUUAGAAUGGCUUCACCACUUUAUUACAAGUGUCAUUUUUAAAAAAAUAUGUUUUUUAAAUAUAAAUAUUUAAUAUUUAAUAUUUUAUUUUGGUGGAGCCAUUCUUUAUGGCUCCACCUCUUGGUUCUCUAGCAUAUAUAGAAUGGUGAAAUUGUUGUGUUUAGUAGGAGAGUUCAAAAAUUCUGUUAAAGAUGAAUAAUGAGGUGUUUUGGUUUACGUUCUCUUUUAUGGCGAAAUUGUAGAAGGUGAUGUUGGUUGUGUAUUUCAAUGUCGGCAAAGAGUAGGGUUGCGAUUCAAAAAACUGUAAAGCUGGCAGAAAUGAAAAGGAAGAUUAGUACAAAAAUAGCUAUUUGUUGUGGAAGGGCAAUGUCCAGAUUAUUUUACAAGUUUCCAAUCUCUACAGAUCCGUUCAAAUCUGUUCCACUGCAACGUCAGUGAAAUAACAUCCGUUGGCUUCAGUCUUAACGCAAGGGUGAUAAGACUGGUGUCUUCAAUCCACUCCACUGUAACUUCAGGGAGAUAGGAUUUGUGGUUUCACCGAUCUGUUUUCUAGGGAACAUGACCUGUAGAAUCCUUUUUAUGGGCCUAUUUAUGCCUAGUGAUUAGGAUGUUAUGAUCGGAAUGAAUUAAAAUCUCCUAAUCAAAUAUGCAUGCAUGAAUACAAAAUGUCAUGAAAAUAAUCCCCUAAUGUUUGAGUUGUUAUUGUUCAUUGUUCAUUAAGGAUUUAUUACCAACACAUCAGAACGCCAUCUUGUUCGGCUAGUAAAACUCAUAUCUUACUUAACCAGAUUGCGUCCACUAUAAUCUUCAAGGUUCAAUCCAUUGUAAUCUUCAAGGUUCAAUCCACUGUGCUUUUAGGACAUAAAAUUUAAACUAUCUUCCUCCCACUAUAAUUUAGGAAUAUAAGAUCUGGCUCUUUCUCAAUCCUCUCAUCCUGCAAUUCAAGGAUACAAGACCUGAAUCUCUUUGGUCUAUUACACUUUCCUAGAGUGUCAUACCAAAUGUUUAUGCACAAUUGUAGAACUUUCUUCUCCAAGAAAACAUAUUCUUAUCACUGGGUGAUCAUUGCUUGUUUGUUCAUUGAAGCUUUGUCACCAACACGGCAUCUUGUCAUUUUGUUCAAUCAACAUUUUGACAACAAAAUUUGAAGGGAUAGUCUUAAUUUAGACUUUUCCUUCUUAGAUAUUUCAACCUUUAAACUUGGUGCGUUCUAAACAAUAGUCCUGUUUUAGGUUCUUGUAUUAUUUAGAAACUUCUAGAGUAAUAUGCAAAACUUCCUUUGAGAAAGUAUUAUUAGUCCAUUAAUCAUCAUUCCAAUGCCACAUGCUUGCAAAAGAUCAUACCAAUGGAUAAAAAUAGAAUUGAUUUGGGAGCACGGUUCGAAAUGAAUAAAUUAUCAAAGAUAGUAAAAUAAAAGAGGAAUUAAGUAGGAACAUGUAUCUUGAAAAAUAAUGAAGUAUUCUAAGAACAACAAAUUCAAUAUAAAUAGUAUGAAGACUAGAUGCCCCAAAUAUCGUAGCUUGAGUUUCUCUGUACAAACUUUCUAAAGACCAUUCCGAGUUUGACAUGUGUUUAGGAGAUCUAUAGUACUUUGUCGCUGCCCCAAUAUGUCGCCUACCCUUUCUUGUUGAUUCAGGUAUAAGAAGAUCACCACAUGCCCCAAUUUGAUCAAAAUUUCAGCUGUUCUGAUCACCUCAUGUCCCAUUCUAAUAAAAGAUUUGAGCUGCCCUUUUUGAGUUUUCAACUCAAAUCCCCUUGGGUCUCAAUGCGCCCUUUGCAGGUUUUUACCUUGGCCUCUCCUUUUUCUUUUUUCUUUAUUAUUAUUAUUAUUUUUUAUGACUCAAAGCACCCUUUGUGGGUUUUCACCUUGAUCUCUCUUUUUUUUUAGAACUUAAGGCGCCCUUUGUGGGUUUUCACCUUAGUCCUUUUUAGGACUCAAAGCGCCCUUUGCGAGUUUUUGCCUUUGUCCCUUCUCUUUUUUUCAAGUGAAGUGUGUCUUGAUUGAGUCUAAGUUUACAAGAUUUGACAAGUUUUUACCAUCCAUCUUACUCAAAAUCAAAGCUCCUCCGGAAAAGGCUUUCUUUACAACAUAAGGUCUUUCCCAAUUUGGCAUCCAUUUCCCUCUAAAAUCUUUUUGUAGAGGGAGAAUCCUCUUCAACAUUAGGUCGCCCUCAUUGUAACACCCCUAACCCGUGACCGUCGCUGGAUUGGGUUUAUGAGGCAUUACCGAACCAAAAGCUUAAUUCUAAUUUUAAUUAAUAAAUGGUAAAUCCAAAACAAAAUGAAUCAUGCACUAUGUUAUAUAUAUAUAUAUAGCAUAGCAUAGCAAAAUCAAAUAUAAAAUUCAAGUAAACCAAAUUUGCAUGCUUAACAAUCAAGUGGAAUACAUAGACUAUCCAUUCAAAUAUAGUAAAGGUGUACAUUUAUCAGAUUUGAAUAAAAUUGAUAUUUCACUAUAUUUAUUCAAAUAUAUAAUCUUACCAUUUCCAAGAAACAUUAUAUAUAUUCAUUAAGAUAAUAUAACACUCACUCAAAUUUCAUAGUCAACCACACUUUUUUGGAAUUAAACAUGAACCAAAUAAUCUAUCUGUAUAUACAAUAUUUCCUAUUACCUAUUUAAUAAAUCUCAAAAUCUUAUUCAAAUAUUACAUAAAUUAAUCAAAUACAAUUACAACUUGAAUAACAAAUUAGGUUCUUAUACUAAUAAAUAUAAUAAAUAACAUGAAUUUAACCUUUAACCGAAUAUACAUGGCUUAUAAUAAAAUCAUAUGAUCAAACUAAUUUGUCCUAUUUAAAACCGAAUGCAAACCCAUGCAUAGCAAAUUUUCUUUACUAAAUAAUUAAAUUGAAGUGGCCAAAGUAAUACCAAUUCGUCUAGCGCAUAAUAUGCCUAAAUUAAAUCUAACAUCAAUCUAACCAAAUUGAUCAUCCAAUACCAAAGCAUAUAAAUCAUAUCAUUUACCUGUUUAAAUACAUAUAAUUGAACUAUCUAUAUAAAUGCAUGCGCAUAAAUGCUCAUGCUUAAACCAUUUCCAAAAUAUAUAUUUCAUUACAUUACCUUACAAAACUAAGCAUUUCAUUACCAGUUAUAUAUAUAUAUAUAUAUAUAUAUAUUAUAUGCUAUAAAAUAAAUAUCAAAUUAUAACUAUCGGCAAUUACAUUAAUUAAUCAAACAUAUACACCUAUAAUAUCAUUUAACAUCAAUUCCCAUGAAUUAAACAUACCAUUUGCAAUUUCAUAUCCAAACAAAUCACACAUAACAUUCACAUAUAUAAUACCAUCCAUAAAAUGCUUAAUCAUAAUCAAAAUAUGCCUAAACCAUAAUUCACCCAAACCGAUCACAACAAUCUAAUUAAGCCAUUUUCGCAUGGCUUUAAUUUAUACAUUUAGCAUAUGUAAGUCGAAUAUUUUACUACUAGAAUACAAGUAUAUUCAUCAUCAUCAUCAUAUAUAUAUCACAAUUAUGAUAAUAAGCCAAAAUCACUCAUAAUUUCAAACAUAUUUACACAUUAUAGACUUACUAAAUAAUCUUGAAUCAUCAAUUCAAUAUAAAACUUACCUUAAUUUCUUAACAUGGUAAUAAUACAUACCUGAACUUUUAAAUUUGUUUUCACAUUUGUUCUUAAAUUAACGAUGCCCGUUGAGCCGUUCUGCAUUGAAAAGGAUAUGCAAAUAGUCGGAAAGCUCGUACAAUGCCAACGUCCUAGAUGUGGUCUUACAUGUAUUUACAAAUUGAUGCCACUGUGCAAGACAGGGUCAUACACAUAAACACAAGUCGAUGCCAACAUCCCAGACGUGGCCUUACACGUAAUCACAAGUCGAUGUCAACGUCCCAGACGUGGUCUUACACAAAAUCACAUAUUGGAAAUCCUAUCUAUUCCUAAGGCUCGUACGGGGCUUCUGAUUAUUGAACCUAAUCAAAUCAAACUCAAAAAUACAUAUUUCUAGCUUAAUCAUAUUCGGCCAUCAUCAAAUAAAAUUCAUAAAAUUGAAUUUAUUAUGUGACCUAUGUAUAUAAUUAAAUUUAACAACAUUUAUAUGCUUACAGACUUACCUCGGAUGUCGUCGAAUAAUAAAUCGGCUACUCGACCACUUUUGUCUUUCCCCGAUCCAAAUCCGAUUUCUUUAAUUCUUGAUCUAAACAUAUUUAAAUUAAGCUUAUUUAAACACGAUUCUAUUCAAUUUAGCCUAAAAACACAUGAAUGGACAAAUUACAAUUUUACCCCUAACAUUUCCCACUUUUUACAAUUUAACCCUUUUUGCUCAAAACACAAAAUACACAAAAUUUGACUACACUCUUUAAGGGUCGAAUAUUCCUAGUGUCCACACAACUCCAUAUUUUUCAUUUAUUUAGCAUUUGACCCCUCAAUUUACGCUUUUCUUAAUUUAGUCCUUAAUACACAUUUUUAUCAAAAAAAUUACUAAUUAAAACAUGAAAAUCUAACUACAUAUAUUUAUUUUCCAUCAUCUAAAAACAAAAACAACAAGUUCUCUUCAAUGGCAUCUUACAAAAUACACAACAAAUACAAAAUUUCAAGCAUGGGCUUUAUAGUACUCGAAACAACGAUAUUAAAAACAUAAAAAUUAUCAAAAAUCGAAACAAAAUCUAACCUUAAUUAAGACUUGUAAUUGCCGAAUGUUCAAAGCUUUUUCUUUCUUUAUUUCUUUUGUAGUUUCGGUGAAAACAAAGAUGAACAAUAGCAUGGUUUUCUUAUUUUAUGUUUUAUUUUAUUAACAUAUAAUAAUAACAAACUAUUAUGUUACCAAAAUAACCUUUAAUAAAGAAUAUACAAAACAUAUAAUAUAAGGUCAUUCUUGACCAUUGCCAUCCACUAACUUAUAUAAUGUGCUAAUUGCAUCAUAGUAUAAAGACAACAACAAUUAGACACUUUCAUAUUUAACCACUAAAUUUUCAUUUUACGCGAUUAAAUCCUUUUUCUCAAAUUAAGCACUCAAACAAUAAAAUUAAUUCACGAAACUUUCACACAUGUAAAUUCACACAUAAUAAACACAGAAUAAAAAUAUUAAAAUAUUUUUUAGACUCGGAUGUCUGGUCCCGAAACCACUGUUCCGAUUAGGGUCAAAAUCGGGUUGUUACAACUCUCUCCCUUUAGGGAUUUUCGUCCUCGAAAAUCUUACCGGUGAAUAGCUGUGGGUAACAUUCUUUCAUUGCAUCCUCUGGCUCCCAGGUUGCUUCCUCAACUCUGUGCUUAUGUCACAGUACUUUGACUAACGGAAUUUUCUUAUUUCGUAAUUCUUUAACCUCACGAGCCAGAAUAUUAAUCGAUUCUUUUUCAUAUGACAUAUCAGACUUAAUUUCAAUCUCGGUAGGACUAAUCACAUGCAAAGAACCGGAUCUAUACCUAUGAAGCAUCGAAACAUGGAAUACAUUGUGAAUCUUUUCUAACUCAGGUGGCAGCAGCAAUCAAUAAGCAACUGGCCCGACACGCUUUAUAAUCUCAUACGGUCCAAUGAAUCUCGGACUCAAUUUGACUUUACGACCGAAUCUGAGUAUUUUCUUCCACGAUGAUACUUUUAAAAAAACUUUAUCUCCAAUCUGAAACUCUAUAUAUUUUCUUUUCAAGUCUGCAUAUGAUUUCUGACGAUCCGAUGAUGUUUUCAGAUUAUCGCGAGUCACUUUCACUUUCUAUUCAGUUUCUUUAAUCAAAUCGACCCUGUGUAUCUUAUUUUCACUGAGUUCAGUCCAAUACAAUGGUGUACGACAUUUACGACCGUAUAAAGCCUCGUAAGGUUGCAUUUUGAUACUAGAUUGAAAGCUAUUAUUAUAUGACAAUUCAAUCAAAGGUAAGUAUUGUUCCCACGUACCUUCAAACUCAAGAAUGCAACUUCUCAACAUAUCCUCAAGUAUCUGAAUGAUUCGUUCGACUGUUUCUGGAUGGAAAGCUGUGCUAAAAUGUAGUUUCGUACCUAAAGCAUCUUGUAGUUUCUUUCAAAACCGCGAUGUGAACCUCGGGUCUCUGUCCGAAACAAUAGAAAUAGGCACACCAUGCAACCUCACAAUUUGAGAAAUGUAUAAUUCAGCAAGUUUAUCAAGUGAAUAAUCAGUAUGGACUGGAACAAAGUGAGCUAAUUUUGUCAAUCUAUCAAUAAUAACCCAGAUUGCAUCUUUCUUGCUCGGUGUCAACGAUAAACCAGAUACAAAAUCCAUCGUGACUCGGUCUCAUUUCCAUUCAGGUAUCAUGAUCAGCUGAAGCAACCCAAAAGGUAACUGAUGCUCGGCUUUUACUUGUUGACAUAUUAAACAUUGUGAAACAAAGUCAGAAAUAUCUCGCUUCAUACCGCGCAACCAAUAGUGCUAUUUUAGAUCAUUAUACAUUUUCGUGCUACCCGGAUGAAUAGAUAAUCGACUAUUAUGAGCUUCAUUCAAGAUCAUAUGAAUUAAGUCUGAAUUUUUCAGAACACAUAGUCGGUUUCUGAAUCUCAAACAAUCCUCAGCAUCAACUAGAAACUCUGAAUCAACAUUCAAAUCACACUGAGCCCGUUUUGCAAUUAAAUCAUUAUCAUCUUUCUGAGCUUCACAAAUAUAUUGAACAAAUAGCGGUUUUACUUUCAACUCAGCUACCAUUGCACCAUCAUCAGACAUAGCUAUAUGCGCGUUCAUUGCACGCAAAGCAAAUAAUGAUUUUUGACUUAAGGCAUUCACAACAACAUUAGCCUUUCCCGAAUGAUAAUCAAUCACAAGCUUAAAAUCUUUUAGCAACUCUAACCACCGUCGCUGUCUCAAAUUUAGGUCCUUCUGAGUCAUCAAAUAUUUCAAGAUUUUGUGAUCAAAAUAAGCAUGACAUUUUUCACCGAAUAAAUAGUGGCGCCACAUUUUCAAACCAAACACAAUAACGGCCAAUUUGAGAUCAUGCGUCGGAUAGUUCUUUUCAUGUGGCUUCAACUGUCUCGAGGCAUAAGCUACAACUUUGCCUUCCUGCAUCAAAAUAUAGCCCAAACCGUUCAAAGAUGCAUCACUAAAAAUAACAAAUUCUUUACCUGUCUCUAGCUGAACUAGUACUGGAGCUUCGGUCAAAAGGACUUUCAACUGAUCAAAUCUUUUCUGACACUUUUCUGACCACUCGAACUUAACAUCUUUUUGUAGCAACUUCGUCAUCAGGGUCGCAAUCAUAGAAAAACCUUUCACGAACUGUCUAUAAUAACCAACGAGUCCCAAAAGACUUCAAACUUCAGAGACAUUUCUCGGAGGUUUCCAAUCAAGUAUAGCUAAAAUUUUACUUACAUCAACCCGAAUACCCGAUGCUAAUACAAAAUGGCCCAAAAAACUGACUUCGCAUAACUAGAACUUACAUUUACUAAACUUUGCAUACAAUUGUUUAUCUCGCAAAGUUUGUAACACAAGUCUUAGAUGUUCAGCAUGUUUGAUUUCAUCACGAGAGUAGAUCAAAAUGUCAUCUAUGAAUACUACCACAAACUGAUCCAGAUACUAUCUAAAGAUUCGAUUCAUCAAAUCCAUGAAAACAGCAGGUGCAUUAGUAAGCCUGAAAGGCAUAACCAGGAAUUCGUAAUGUCCGUACCUCGUUCAGAAAGCUGUCUUUGGCACAUUAGAGUCUUUAACUCACAACUGAUAGUAACCCAAUCUCAAAUCUAUCUUCGAAAACAUUGAAGCCCUUUUUAGCUGAUCGAACAAAUCGUUAAUACGUUGCAAUGGAUAUUUAUUAUUUAUAGUCACCUUAUUGAGCUGCCGGUAAUCAAUACACAUUCUCAUCGUUCCAUCUUUCUUUCUCACAAAUAGUACUGGUGCACCUCAAGGAGAGAAACUCGGUCGUGCGAAACCUUUAUCUGUCAACUCUUACAACUAUUCUUUCAUCUCUUUUAAUUCAGUCGGUGCCAUACGGUACGGAGCUGUCAAAAUUGAAGUCGUCCCUGGUACUAAAUCAAUACCAAACUCUACCUCUCGAAUAGGUGGCAAACCCGACAAUUCUUUGGGAAACACAUAUGAAUAGUCACACACAAUCGGCAAGGAUUCAAUCUUUUUUCAGUCACUUUACUAUCAAGAAUAUAUGCAAGGUAAGCUUUACAACCUUUUCUCACAUACUUUUGAGCCAACAUCGAGGAUAUUACUGCUGGUAAACCAUUUAGAUCUUUAGAUUCAAUCUAAAUAAUCUCGUCGUUCUGGCAUCUUAAAUCGAUAGUCUUUCUUUUACAGUUAACCACAGCAUCGUGUAAAGUCAACCAGUCCAUACCCAAAAUAGUAUCGAACUCGUCAAAUGGCAACAACAUCAAAACAGCCGUAAAACGUAAAUCUCGAAUCAUCAACGGACAAUUCUUACACACUUUAUCAACCAAAACACACCGGCCCAAGGGAUUUGAUACUCUAAUCACAAACUCAGUAGACUCAACAAGCAAAGUCUUACUAGAUACUAAAGUCUCACACACAUAUGAAUGAGUCAAACCAAGAUCAAUCAGUCCAAUAACAUUAGUAUCAUAGAGAGUGAAAGCACAGUAAUAACGUUUGGGAAUGAAGCCUCUUUACGAGCGCGUAUAGCAUAUGCUCUGGCAGGUGCGUUAGCCUCAGAUCUAACAGUUGUAUCUUUGGUCCCCCUCUGACUGCCACUCAUAUUACCUGUGUUUCUGGGUGGUCUACCUCUAGCUGCAGUGUUACCCGAUCUCGUAUUUUGUACCGAAUUUUGAUCCACUAACUCUGGGCAUUCACGAAUGAAAUGAUCCCUCGAUCUACAUUUAAAAUAGGCUCGAUCAUGUAAUCUCUAACUACCAGAAUGUCGUUUACCACAAUGUUCACACUCGGAUUGAUUUGACCUGACAUUACCCACACUCGCUACUGAAGUAGCUCUCGAGCUCACAGGUGGUCUAUCCAAAUCCCAUCGUGAAUACCCCACAACAGUCUUUGAACGGCUAGUAUCAUCUCGAAACUUCUUUGAGGUCGACUGAAAUGGCUUACAAAAUAACCUUUUACAAAAAUCUCUGGCUUCAAAGUCAGCUUUUCUCUUCUCUUUCCCGAGUUAUUCGGCUUUGUAAGCUCGUUUAACAAGUACCACAAACUAUUUUAUCUCAAGUAUGCCAACUAACAGUUUAACAUCUUCAUUCAGCCCAUCUUCAAAUCUUUUACACAUAAUAGCUUCAGUCGAAACACACUCUCGGGCAUACCUACUGAGUCUCACAAAUUUCCGCUCAUAUUCUGUCACUGUCAUCCGACCCUGUUUCAAUUCAAGAAAUUCCUUGCGUUUCUGAUCAAUGAAUCUCUGGCUGAUGUAUUUCUUACGGAACUCAGACUGAAAGAAUUCGCAGGUCACUUGCUCUUUCGGACCCACUGAUACUAGUGUAUUCCACCAGUGAUAUGCAGUGUCCCGUAGCAAAGAUAUGACACAUUUUAAGCACUUGUCAGGGAUGCAAGAUAACUCGUCAAACACUCGAAUAGUAUUAUUUAGCCAGAAUUUAGCUCGCUGAGCAUCAUCAUCAUCAGUGGCUCUGAACUCUUUGGCCCCGUGUUUUCGGAUUUUAUCAACAGGAGGCUUUAGUAAUCUCAACGAAUCACUCACUUGAGGUAUAACAGGAAUCAAAGAUGGAUUAAUCGAGGGUGGAGGGCAAUCAUAUAACUACAAAAAAUACAUAAAACAAAAAAAAUAAUGUCCUAAAAAAACAUAGGUGGUAUAGGUAAUAUAAAUAAAAAAAAGACUUAUUUUUAUUGAAUCAAUAUCUAUAAUAAUAUAUAGAGUUUUACAUAUAAUAUAAACUAGGCAUAUUCAAACUCAAAAUUUUAUCUACAUAUGAGAACUUUUAUAAAAAAAAAUAUAUUCACUCAUUAAAGACAAAUGUAAAUUUUUUGUACCCCACAAAUGGAACUAAGCACAAUAACAAUGCAAAAUUAAGCAGAAAGGUCGUCAUAUUAACAAAAUUAAUAUAUAAAUUUAUGAAUGUGUCAUAAAUUUAAAAUAUAUAUAGCUAACAGGAAAAGAUCAAUUUCAUGCAAAAAAACAGUUAAAAAGGGAUAAUAACAACCAAAUAGAGAUCAGUUUCAUGCAAUCAAAAUGAUUUCUUAUUUAAUUUAUAAUUAAUUUAAAUGUUUCAUUGAUACUCGAUGAAGUGUAAUCCGUAUUUGCUCCAGAAAGCAUUUUGAUAUCUGCAUAAUUUAAAAAAAUUACAUAAAAUAAAUAUAAUUAAUUACUAUAUUACAAUAACUAUAAAAUAUAAAAUUACAAAAUAAAAACUAUAAAUAACUUACUUUUUUUUUCUCUUUUCUUCCUUCCUUUUACAAAAUAUUUGAAGGGGCGACCAAACCCCACCUUCUUAAAUAGAAUGUUCUUCUUCUUAAAUAAUGUUCUUCUUCUCUUUUUUUCUUUUUUAACUAACAAUUAAGCUAAUGACUAGUCACAUCGCUAAUGUCACUUAGAGGUGUGCAAAAUUUGGGUAAAAUCGAAAAAAUUCGAUUAAUCUAUCGAAUUCGGUUAAUCGGUCGGUUAACCGAAUUUUUUCGGUCGAGGCUCGAUUAAUUAUUUUUUAAUUUUUCAGUUAACGGUUAAUUCGGUUCAAAACCGGUCGGUUAACCAAAUUUUUUCAGUUUAACCGAAAAAAUUAAUAAAUAAAAUUAUAAUAUAUAAAUAAGCCCACUAUUCACCUAAAUCCAAUCCAAACCCAAGUAUCCAACCUAACCCAAUUACCCAAUCAUAAAAAUUACAAAUAAAUUAAUAAAUAAAAAUAAAAAAAUAUAAUUUUCGGGUAAUUCGGGUAAUUCGGUUAAUUCGGUUAAUUUUUAACCAAAAAUAAAAAUAUAUAUAAUUUCGGUUAACCGACCGAAUUAACCGAAAAAUUUUGGUUUGAUUUAUAUUUUUGAAUAAAUUUCGAUUCGGUUAAUGUUAUUUUAGGUCAGUUAACCGACUGAACACCCCUAAUGCCACUGACACGAUGUGACCAGUUAAAAUAUAUAUUUUUUUAUUUUCUAAUAUAUAAAAAAUUUCUAAUAUAUAUUUUUAAUCCUUUUUUAACCAAUAAAUUAUUUUUUUAUUUUUUCCAAUCAAUUCAAUUUUCACUUUUUUAAAUAAAAUAUUUUUUAAAAAAAUUUAAAUAGAAUUUUAGAAAAACGUUUGAAUAUCUUUAAAAAUAAUUUUAAAAAUCAUAAUUUUAAAAAAUAAUUUUAAAAAAUAUAUAUUUAAAAUUAAAAAUUAUAUUUAAAAUUUUUAAAAUAUGCAUUUAAAAUAUUAUAAAAUAAAUAAUAAAUUUGAAAGAUCAUAUCUUUAAAAAUAAUAUAUUUUAAAUAUUUUAUAAUAUUAAAAAAUAAUAUUUAAAAUUAAAAAUAAUAUAUAGUUUUAAAAAAAUAAUAUUAUAAAACAUUUCAAAUAUACAUUUCAAAUUUUAUAAAACCAAUAAUAAAUAAAACAAAUAAAAUAAAUAAAUAAAGGACAAAUAAAAAACUUAAAAAGUAAAUAAAUAAAAAGUUUAAAAAGAAAAAUGAAAAAGGACAAAGAAUCAGAGAAAAAGAAGUAACGAAUGAAAAAAAAAUAUUUAGGUUGUUUCAAUAGGACAAGGAACCCGCUAGUAUCUUAGAAUUUGGUAGCAUAAAUUUAUUUGGAUCACCAGAAAAGGAUAAAAUUGCUUAAAUAUUUUACUUUUAAAAAUUAUAAUAUUUCUCUAAUAUUUAUACAAGUUGUGUUAUUUUACAUGGCUCCACUAAAAAAAAUGAUUUAUUAAUGUAGAUUGCUGACGUGCAAAACACUUUGGCUCCUCUAACUUGUACCGUAAAUUUUUUAUUAUUUUCAAUUUUUAUGAAAAAAGGGUUAUUUAAGUAAUUAAUUAAAUUUUUGAGUUAUUUUUAUAAAAAAAGAGCAUAGUAAUUAAUUAAGCUAGGUAUUCCUUUUUCACACAAAGAAGAAAAAUGAUAGAAAAUAUAGGGUUGUGGUCGUAGAUAAAUGAUUAUAACGUGAUAUGAUCUGCUUCGCAUUAGUCCAUCACCUUAUCUUUAUGUUUUUGUCUUGGUCAUGAAUCACUUUGGCCUUUGUCUGCAAGUACUGUCUGUCCUACUAUCCUGCAUCUGAUUUUCUCUGUCUUUUGGGUCUAUUUGAAUCAUGCUGAAGUAAGAAAACUGUUUUUAAAGUAUAAAAGUUGAUAAUUAUAUUAGUUUAUUUCUUUAUAAUUUUUUAAAUUUUUAGAGAUAAUAAAUUAAAAUUUUAUAUUUUUGAGGAUAAACUAGAAUUUUAUAAUGGCUUAAAUAAUAGGUUUUCAUUUUAGGAGGUCUAAAGAGUAUUUUUCUUUUUAAAGGAGCCACAACCCUUGCUUACUUUGGUCACCUUCUAUGGUGACCAGAUUCAUUCCAGUGAGAUUAAAAACAAUAGUGGUGGUGAGAUUAAUUACUAUAAUAAUGAGAUUAUUAAAAUGAGAUAGAUUAUAGAUUUAUAGUAAAAAGGAAAAAUGACCAUUAUAGACAUUAAACUAAAAUUAAACUAAAGAAGUUUACACCAUUCCGUAUAUUUUUGUACGAUUAAUAUUUUAAAGAUAAAAACACCAUAUUUCAUAUUUCAUUUAUAUAAAUCAUGCAUGUGAAAUUUCACGUAAAUUAAAAAAAUUUAACUAGUUGUUUUAUGUAAAAUACUUUUAAUCUUUGAAUGAAUGUUAAUACAUACAAUAUUUUAGAUGGAUAGAUAAAAAUAUCGAAUCAAUUGAGAAUUUACAAUAAUAUCAACAAAUUCAAUGAUUGGAUUGUUAAGUUAAGAAUCAUGUAAAAAUAUAUGAAAGCGUGUAAAAUUACUUUAAUUUCGCAGUAGUAUAAGCAAAUUCUUUUUUUAAUAUAUAAAAUUAAUUAUAUAAUUUAAAUUUAUGUAUUUAACAUUAUUUAUAAAUAUAUUAUUUGAAAGUAAUGAAAUAAAAUAAAUAUUAUAAAUAAAAUUAUUAAAAAAUAGUAUCUAUUAUUGAAUUAAAUUAACCAUUCUUUAAAAAAGAGUGAAAAUUAUUUUUUUAAAUGCAUAGGGUUUUAUUUUUAAAAAAAUUUAAGAUUUAGGUAUAAAAGAUAAACAUAAAGUGCAUAGGGCUUUAUUUUUUAUUUUUUAAAUAAUAUUGUUUUCGGCUCACAUGCAGUUUAUUUAGUUAGGUGAAGUAUACCUAACUCAAAUUUUAUAAAAAUGAUAAAAGGCAUGUGAUUUAGUAACACAAAUAUUUUAUUCUCAAUUUUAAUUCGGUUUUUUUAUUUAAAAUAGUAAAGGAUGUAGAUACCUUUAUAAAUUUGCACCUUUUAUUUUAUACUUUAGUCCUUUCUUAAUUUCAUUUAGUGAUUUAUUGUAUACAGUGACGGAGCAUAGUGAAGAUUAGGUAGCAUGACAUCCUUUAAAAUGGUAAAUUUUUUUUAUUUAAGCUCUUUAUAAUUUAUAAAAUUUUAAAUUAGUAAUGGUAAAAUUGUACUUUAACCCUCCAAAGAUGAUAAAAAUUUGAUUUAACCCUUUAAAAAUUACAAAUAUAUAGACUAUUAAAAAUUACAAAUUACAAUUUAAUCCCAACCUCCAAAAACAGUUAGGCUCCGCCAGUUAAUUAAUUAUAUUAAAUUCGAUAAAAAUUUUAAGUAGAAUUGAAAAAAUAUGUGUUUUAUUUAAUAAUAAUACUUUUGAAUGGGUUGAAUUGGCAAGAGUUAAGGUGUGGACACUACACCAAAACAGGUCUUUAGCGGCAUAUUUUGUGGCGCUUGGACGAAAAACGCCGCUAAAAACCGAUCAUUAGCGGCGCAAAGACCUAAACGCCAUAAAAGAACAUCAUUAGCGGCGUUUACCACAAUGCGCCGCGAAAUCUCUUAACCAAAACGCUGUGUUUUCGUCUUGAUGUAUCUUAAAAUUAGUGGCGUUUACGCGAAACGCCAUUAAAGGACAGUAAUAGCGGCGCUUUCUGGAAACGCCGCAAAAUAGCUUAACCAAAACGCAGAGUUUGGUCUUGAGGUAUCUUAGAAUUAGUGGCGUUUAUAGGAAAACGCCGUUAAAGUACAGUAAUAGCGACGCUUUAUGGAAGCGCCGCAAACUAUCUUAAGCGAAACACAUCGUUUUGGUCUUGAUUUAUACUAGAACUAGUGGCGCAUAUGGUCAAACGCCGCUAAAGAAUAGUAUUAGCGGCGAUUUGUAGCUAGCGCCACAAAAUAUCUUAACAAAAACGCAGCGUUUUGAUCUUAAUGUAUAUAAAAUUAGUGGCGCUUACGGUAAACCGCCGCUAAAGAAUAUUAAUAGCGGCGCUUUGUGAGAAGCGCCGCAAAAUAUCUUAACCAAAACGCAUAAUUUUGGCCUCGAUGUAUAGUAGAAUUAGUGGCGCUUAGUGAAACGCCGUUAAAGCAUAGUAUUAGCGGCGAUUUGUAGCUAGCGCCGCAAAAUAUCUUAACAAAAACGCAGUGUUUUGAUCUUAAUGUAUAUAAAAUUAGUGGCGCUUACGGUAAACCGCCGCUAAAGAAUAUUAAUAGCAGCAAAAUAUCUUAACCAAAACGCAUAAUUUUGGCCUCGAUGUAUAGUAGAAUUAGUGGCGCUUAGUGAAACGCCGUUAAAGCAUAGUAUUAGCGGCGCUUGGAUAAAAGCGCCACCAAGUAUCUGAACCAAAACGCAUCGUUUUGGUCUUGAUGUAUACUUGAUUUAGUGGCGAUUUCGGUAAAACGCCGCUAAAGCAUAGUAUUAGCGGCGAUUUGUUGAUAGCGCCGCGACUUACCAUAAACAAAACGCAACGUUUUGGUCUUAAUUUAUACUAAAAUUAGUGUCGCUUUGUUGAAAGUGCCGCAAAAUAUCUUAACAGAUUUUUGGGUUUUAACCAUGCAUUAUGUAAUGUAGGUUACUAUAUAUUUAGUUUAUCAUAUUUGGUUUAGGUAUAGGGUAUUAGGGUUCAUUAUAUAAUGUUUAGUAUUUUUGGAUUACAGUGUAAAGUUUAAAGUUUAGGGUUUACGAUGUAGGUUUAAGGUUAGGGUAUUAGGGUGUUUAGGGUUUAAGGUUUAGGAGUCUGGGGUAUAAGGUUUAAAGUUUGGGGUUUAGGCUACUUUAGUCAUGUUAAUAGGUUAAUAUUGUUUCGGAUUUUGGGGUCUGGUUGUUGGUUUUAGAGUUUAGGGUUUAACGAUUUAGUAGCUUAAGAUUUUAGGGUUUAAAAGUUUAGAGGUUUAGGGUUAAAUCCUAAAAGCGUGCAUGAACAACAGUUUAAUGUUCAAUUGUAUACAUGAACUUUAAUUUGAUCUAAAUAUUGUAAAAUAUUAACACAAUUAUUGAUAUAAUUAACAUCAUUUUAAUUUACGUAUAUUGCAUACAUAAAUAUUUAUAUUUAUUCAAUAUAAAAAUAUAUUUUGAUGUAAAAUUUUUUAUAGAUCAUGAAAUAAAUUUUUAAAAAUGCAUUAUUCUCCCAUUUUUUAUUAAUUGAUAAUUUCAUUUUAUAAAUUUUGUUUUAAUUUUGGAUCAAUUUGGCUUGAAUCUUGGAUGAAGGCAUUAGCGGCGCUUGAGCAAAAGACGCCGCUAAAGGUGAUGUAUUACCGGCGUUUUAUGAAGAAACGCCGCCCAUUUCCUUAAGUGUAACAAAGACACGGUGCCGUUUUUUGUUUUCAUUUAGUGGCGCAUUUGGAAAACGCCACAAAAAUUUAUAACGAGUUGAGGAAACGGCGUCGUUUCCUAUUUUUAUUAGUGGCGCUUUUGCUAAUGCGCCGCAAAAAUGUUACGGUAUAUAAGUGAAAACGGCACUGUUUUAUUCUGAACUUGGAAUUUUAGUGUCGUUUUUAUUUAAAACGCCGCAAGUGUGGACUCAAUAACGGCGUUUGUUCUCAACGCGCCGCAAAUCUGACUUAAAAAUUUCUUAAACGGCGUCGUUUCUUAAGGGGACAUUUAACUUAAUACCCUUCUCUCGUCCUCCAAAAACAGAAAGAGUGAAUUUGCAGACCUCAAGUGUCGAAAGGGAACAAAUUUCAGACUUCUUACAAAGGAAAAAAGAAGGUUGGGGUCGGUCUUGAAAGAAGUUUGGCACAGCUGCGAGAUUUUUCGAUUAAAUAGGUAAGGCGUUUCUGUUAUUUUUGGAUUAAAUUUUUAGGGUUUUAGGUCAGUCAUAGUUAUUUGGGGUUUUAGGGUUUCGAUUAAACAACUUCAACAAUGUACUAUUCCGAUUAAAUAUGUAAGGCGUUUCUGUUAAAUAGGUAAGGCGUUUCUGUUAUUACAGCCACUUAUGGAUUUGAGUUUCAUAUUCUGAUUUCUGGUAUUGAUUUGUGGUAUUGAAAAAAUUUAUAUUACAGCCACAAUAUUGAUUUGUGGUAUCAAUUUACUAUUCUGAUUUAGAUUAUAGCACAUGAGAGGGUGGCAAAAUUUAUAUUCCGAUUUAGAUUAUAGCACAUGAAUUGGAAGGGAUGGAUAAAAAUAAAUAAAUGAAUUGCUAUGGAUUCUCUUGAGGAUGUAAAAUCCGAAUUGGUUGGUCAAUUAGAAUUAGAUUAUGUUGUUAUGUGCAGAAAUAAUUGAGUGGAUUUGAAAUAAUUUGUUUUUGAUUAUGUUGUUAUGUUCUGAAAUAUGCUUUGGAUUUGAAAUAAUUUCUGAGUCUGAAAUAAUUUGUUUUUGAUUAUGUUGUUAUGUUCUGAAAUAUGCUUUGGAUUUGAAAUAAUUUUUGAGUCUGAAAUAAUUUGUUUUUGAUUAUGUUGUUAUGUUCUGAAUUAUGCUUUGGUUCUGAAAUCUGGAUCUGGUUUUUGUCUGCGUUGCUUUCUUAGCUUGCUGGGUUGGAGCUCGUUUCAUUGCUGCCAAAUUUGGAUAUUCUUUGGCGUGGAGGUAAAUUUUGUAAAGGCAAAUUUUAUGUUGCAAAUAAAAGGUUUUUAGUUAAUCAUCUUUAGUUAAUCAUCUUGCUGUUCGUGGUAGUUAUAUACCCGUUGCAUUUUGGUCAGCCUGUCAUGUAUUAUGCAAAUCCCGAAAUGGUUUUAAGCAAGUGGACUUUGUUUAUUUAGUUAUGCACAUAAUACUUUCAUAUUUUAUUUGUUGUAGAAGUUGGUAUCUCACAGUUUCUCAUCAAAUGUAUGCGAGUAGUAUCGAAUGCAAAUUGUUUUAACAGCCAUUUGAUCAAUUGUUCUGUUUUUUUCUAAUAUUCCUUUAUAACAUAUUGGAAGAUAUGUUAUGUUUUAACUUAAUAUAUUUGAAACAUAAUAUCUUAUGCCUCACAAAAUCCAAUUUUUGAUGAUUGUCUUAUUUUAAAUAAUGCUUCCAAUCAAUGGUAUGUGUAUUAUUUAAACAAAAUCCACGAAAUAAAAAUUACUUACUAAAACUUGUAAUUCAAAAUUUAAUUUCAAGUCCAAAUUAAUAUUUUACUUAAAUAUAUUACUUACAAUUUAAUUUAACUUAUUAAAUAUAUAUAUUGUUAAGUAAUAAUUUUUUGAAAUUUAUAUCUUAGAUUACUUAAAUAUAUAUUUUUAAGUAUAUUUUACAUGACUUACAUUACUUACUAAAACAUAUUUUUUACUAAAAUUUACUUGAAUAUAUUAAUUAAAUAAAUUACUAAUAAAGAUUGCUUAUGUAAGCUAUAUUUAAAUUUUAAAUUUAAUAAAUUAUUUAUAACAAUUAUUUAAAUUUAAUAAAUAAUUUAAAAAUUAUUUAAAUUUUAUUAAUAAUAAAUUUAUAACUUAAAUAAGUAUUACUAUUUUUUUAAUAUUAUACAUAUAUUCAUUUAGGUAUGUAAGCUAUAUUUAAAUUUUAUUAAUAAUAUUUAAACAUAUUUUGUUGUCAAAUUAGUGACACAUAUACCUCUCCACGAAUUAUUCAGUGGAAGAUUAGUUUAAAAGCAAAGAUUGCUUAUAUAAGCUAUAUUUAAAUUUUAUUAAUAAUAAAUUUAUAACUUAAAUAAGUAUUACUAUAUUUUUAAUAUUAUACAUAUAUUCAUUUACAUAACACAUAACUUACAUAACUUUCAUAAUACACAACUUACGCAUCUUACAUAAGACAUAACUUACAUGUGUAAAUAAUACAAAAAUUACAUAACUAACAUAAGACAUAACUUACAUAAGUUUCAUAAUACACAUCUUACGCAACUUACACAACUUACAUAACUUACAUAAGUUUCAUAAUACACAUCUUACGCAACUUACACAACUUACAUAACUUACAUAAUGUAUAUCUUGUUGUCAAAUCCUAAACCCGUGCAAUUUAUUGUCAACGUCAGACUUCAAGAAUUAAAAAAUGGACCGGUCUUGGAUGAAUUUGUCAAGGGUAAGCGACGGUUAUCGAAAUGGGGUGCAGAGUUUUCUAAAUUUUGCAUUUCAAUAUGCAAGCCAAGAGAACAUGAUUCUUUGCCCGUGCAAGAAGUGUGUCAACAUAAAUUGGCAUUAUCGUGAGGUUGUAUACGAGCAUCUAAUUGUUGAUGGGUUUGUUCGGGGUUAUAAACAAUGGUUAUUUCAUGGUGAAUGCCCGCGUAGUACUUCCUCUUCAAGUAUGGAUGUAACUUAUCCUGAUACUGCUUACCAUCAGUCUGGUAGAGGGGAUGACAUGGAAGGUAUGUUGCGGGAUGCAUUUAAUAUGCACAAUCAUGGUGUUGAAUCAUUCCCAGCGGACUUUAUGGCCUCUGAUGAUUGUAAUAUUGGUGGAAAUACUUUUACCGAACCGGGAAGUAGUGUACGUCAUGAAGAGCCGAAUGGAGAAGCGGCGAAGUUCUACGCGCUACUUAAUGACAUGAACGAAGAACUGUAUGAGGGAUCAAAAUUUUCAAAGAUGUCCUUCUGUGUUCGUCUUUUUCAAUUAAAGUGUUUGGGAGGGUGGACGGGAAACUCGUUGACGAUGCUGUUAGAGUUUUUGAGAGAAAUGUUCCCGCUUGCAAAAAUCCCUCGGUCCUGCAAAGAUAUGAAGAAGAUGAUAAAAGAUUUAGGCCUUGGGUAUAACAAAAUCCAUAGUUGCCCAAAUGACUGCAUGUUGUAUUGGGGCGAUCGGAGAAACCAACAGUGCUGUCAUGUAUGCGGCCACUCUCGUUGGACAAGUAGAAACACAGAAGAUGGGAACGACGAUGAAAAUGAUGCACAGUCACGGAAGAAGCCAGCCAAGAUUUUACGGUAUUUUCCGUUGAUACCAAGGCUUCAAAGGCUUUUUUUAUUGUCGAAGACAGCGGAGUCAAUGACAUGGCACCAUGAUGGACGAACCGUUGAUGGAUUACUAAGUCAUCCGGCAGAUUCUUUAGCUUGGAAAUCAUUUGACAAUAAAUUUACAAGCUUCGCAAGCGAUCCUAGGAGUGUGAGGCUUGGGCUAGCAUCUGAUGGAUUUAAUCCUUUCAAGAUCAUGAGUACAAACAAAUAUUGAGAUCUCGUUUGCGCUCCCGAAGAACACAACAUCGAGAUAUCAAUAAGUUGUUUACAGAAUCAUUUUAUGAAUGGUUAAGCCAAAUGGUAUGCAGUUCGAGCUUCCGCUUACAAAUAAUAAUAUUUUCUCAUAACAAAUGAAUUACUCAGUUUACUUUCCAUUCAAUAGGUUUGGAGCGGGAAGAACAUAAACGACGAUGUUAAAUGGCUCUCCCAAGGUCCAAAUCGAGUGGUUAAAAGAUAUAGUGCGUUCCUCAUCAACGGAUUCAGAUUUCAUACAAAAUAUCGCGAGAGGUUGAGGAGAACGCAAAAUUGUGGAAUUGUUGUCAAUUCUGCAAUUACGAGUUAUGCUAGUGCUAGGGACAAUAAUCCUGUCGAGGGAAAUGUGGAAUAUUUCGGACAACUUACUGACAUAAUUGAGUUGGAUUACUACGGCAAAUGGAAAGUUGUCUUAUUUCGUGGUGAUUGGGCCGAUGUUAAUACAGCUCGUGGAAUUAAGCAAGAUCAAUUUGGUUUUACAAUGGUGAACUUUGACCGAUUGAUUCACACAGGACAACAACUGAUAGAUGAGCCGUAUGUAUUCUCAUCUCAAGUCAAACAAGUUUUUUACUCAAAAGAUCCAACUGAUGAGGGUUGGUACGUUGUACUCCGUAACAUCCCUAGAGACUUGUUUGAUAUGGGCAGUGGAAGUAGAGAUAACAUCGAAGAUAGAUCAGUAACUUUACCCUUUCCAGAACUAAACUUAAACGAUAAUAUCCCUAGUACUAGUGCACAAUUUGGAUGGGUUCGUCAGGAUACCGAUGAAGAUAUUUACGAAUAAUGAUGUAGACACAUUUUACGAUUGUUUAAUUAUAUAUAAUAUCAUAAUUUAAAUCUUCGUCUUAUUAUAUGUUUCAACUGUUUUAUAUGUGCUGUUAUUGUUGUAAUUAGCUAUUAAGUUAUUAACUAUUUUAUGUGUAUUGUAGAUAAAAUGCCUAGAAGAAAAAUUCUAAGGGGAAGCAUUGUUCAAAAUAAUCCAAACUCGACAGAAACUAAUAGUACUGAACAACAGACAGCAGUUGGAUCUUCAAAUGUUCCGAUUACAGCUGAGGAUCCUACAGAAGUUCAAAGUAAUUUUUCAUUUAAUUUACAUGCGUGUUUCUGUUAUAGUUGAUUUAUUUUUCAAAUUCUUAUAUUAUAAUAUACCAUUUGUAGCUGAAAAUGGUGGGACGCGCAGAGGUCGAGGACGUACGCUACUUAGAGAGUUGUACGAGUUAGAUUCAGUCGAGCGUGUCAAAGUUGGACGAAACAGUUUUGGUCAGCCUGUUGGAUCAGAAGCUCGACUUUUAGCUGGAUACAUGGGCAUUUUAGCACGAAAUCCGAAUAUGUUACCUAUAAACUACGAGUCAUGGCAUCAAAUGCCCGAUAGCAACAAAAACCAAGCCCUCGAUAAUAUUAAGGUAACAAAAUGUUAAUGUCAUCUAUAAUGCUUGGGAAAUAGUUUCAUUUAUAUUUAUUUUAUUAACUUGUGUUUUUUGUUUUUUGCAGGCGAGGUUUGCUUUAGAGGUCUCGGAUGCUUAUGUAAAGAAGGCAUUGGGAAAAAGAUGGAGAGACAACAAAAGUACUUUGAAGAAAAAUUAUUAUAAGACAAAAACAACCCUCGAUGAGAAAUUGCAAAAUGUCCCGCUGGGUAUGUUGAGGUACCAAUGGGAAGAUGCGGUUAGAUUUUGGCAUUCGAAUAAAGGCGAGGUCUUCUAAACUAUUGUAAUUAUUUUGGUUUAUAGUAUUUUCUAUUUACGUACUAAAAAAUUUCAUAAUGUAGGAUCGUGAUCAAGUUGGAAUAAGCAGCAGGCAGAAACAAAAAUUCACCCACACAGCCGGGUCGAGAAGUUUCGCAUGUGUAGCUGAGGCGGAGGUAUUUUUAAAUUUUUUAAUAUUGUCGAAUAUGUAUAACUUUCUAUUAAAUAAUAUUUAUACUACUAUAUUGUAGGAACGGUCGUCCGGUCAAAAAGUUGGACGCCUUCAACUUUUUGAAAUUACACAUAGGAAGAAAGAUGGAUCUCCCAUGACUCCUGAAGCUGCUGAAAUAAUGGUACGUUUACUUAAUACGAUUUGACUUAUUUUAGUUAUUUAUAGUGUUUAUUUUCUAAUGGUUUAAUUCAUUGCAGUUAAUGCGACUAUUGUUAUGUUGCAUAUGUUUUUCAAUAUAUAAUAUUGUGUUCCUAACUAUGUGAUAUAUUUAUUAGGAAAAACUAAAUGAUAAAAAGGCGGAGUACGAAGCAAUUGCUUCUAGUGAUAGUUCGGUUCAUCUUGAAGAUAUUGAUAAUCGGAUUAUUACUGAAGUUUUGGGUCCUGAAAGGUAUGGUCGGGUUCGAUUUCAAGGAUCUUUUGUUAGCCCAACCCAAUAUUUUGGAUCCAGCUCCCACAAAUACAUGGCUUCGGGGAGUCAGGCUCAAGCUGAAGUUCAGAGGUUAAAAGACCAAAUGGCUCAGAUGCAAGCGACUACAAUUGAGGUUCAAAGGAAAUAUGAAGAACUCCAGCUACAACUUAAAGCAGAGGCGGAAGCGAGGGAAGCAGCGACUGCAGCGAGGGAAGCAGAGGCUGCAGCAAGAGAAGCAGAGCAGAGCAAAAAGUACGACGAACUUCAGCAGCAGCUUCAGAUUAUGAUGAAGAUGUUUAAGUCGCAACUUCCACCUUCAUAGUGUAUGACAUAAAUAUUUUUAUCAUUUUAACAUUUAACAUUUAACAUUUUUUGCAAAAACAAUAUGAAUUCACUUUUAUUUAUUGAUAUUAAUAUUAUUUUAUUCCCUUAUGUUGAAAUAUUAUAUAAAUUUAUUGCUAUUGGUUGCUUUUGAAAUGUUGCUUUUGAAUUUUUGCUACAGGAGGGCAGAAAAAAUGAAAAAUUUAAUAAAAAAAAAUCCCCAAAAUAGUGGCGUUUUUGUAUAAAAGCGCCACUAAAGAACAUGUUCUUUUGCGGCGUUUUUAAAAAAUGCCACUAAAGAACAUGUUCUUUAGCGGCGAUUAGAAAAAAAACGCCGCUAAAGAACAUGAUCUUUAGCGGCGUUUUCCCUUAAGCGCCGCUAAAGAACAUGUUCUUUAGCGACGUUUUUUCCUAAGCGCCGCUAAAGAACAUGGUCUUUAGCGGCGUUUUUUCCUAAGCGCCGCUAAAGAACAUGGUCUUUAGCGGCGUUUUUUCUAAGCGCCGCUAAAGAACAUGAUCUUUAGCGGCAUUUUUUUCUAAGCGCCGCUAAAGAACAUGGUAUUUAACGGCGUUUUUGUUUGUAAACGCUGCAAACAUUUGCGACGUUUUCGUUAGCGGCAUUUUUUUCCGGCGCUUGAAGAAGCGCCGCAAAUAUCUUUAGUGGCGUUAAAAAGCACCGCUAAAGGCCUAAAAAAACGCCGCUAAAAACCUGUUUUGGUGUAGUGUCCUAAAAUAAUAAAUUUAGUAGAUUAUAUGCAGAACUCGGUUAUAUCAGACUCAGUGCCAUGAACUUCACUAGCAAGCUUGCUAUCACAGCUGCAGCAUAAGCUAUUAACUGCUUAAUCACCAUUUUUCUUACAACACUCAAAGAUGAAGAAGAAGAUUCUAUAUUCAAUUUCUUAAUGUUAACCUUGCAUUUGCAUUUCCUCGAUAGGGUUUUUAUACCAAAUUUCAAGGAGAAUAAAACAAAAUAAUAAUAACUUUUUAGUUAAUUUGAUGGCAUAAUUGGAUAAGGUUUUUUUUGGGGGGGGCGAUUUUGCAACGAUAUAUACAGGUAGGUAGGCACAUUUUGUUUUGUUGAAUAACUAGUUAUAUGGUAUAAAAUAUUUGGCUCGUGGUCGAUUUUUAAUUUAUUUAAAACUCAACAUGCAUGAUUUAUAAGAAUGGAAUAUUAAAUAUGAUGAUAGGAUUAUUAAAAUAUUAAUUAUAUAAAGAAUUACAGAAGUACAUAAAAACCACUUUAAUUUUGUAAGUAUUUUGGCAAGGCAACAAUGGAAAGGGCUCUUGCGAUGAAAGAAGUGAUUAAGGGCUACGAAAGCAUGUCUGGACAGAUGGUGAAUUUUAACGAAUCCCUGAUUUAUUUUAGCAUAAAUACAAGUGAGGAAGACAAUGUGCAAAUUGGGAGUUAGAAUGUCUAAUAAUCCAGAGAAGUAUCUUGGGUUACUAACGAUGGUCAGAAGAACAAAGAAGAACGCAUUCGUCAAUUUAAAGGAAAGGUUCAUUAAUAUAAUAAAAGCAUGGAGUGUACGCAAUCUAUCAAUAGGGGGAAGGAGGUAUUUAUCAAAUCCACUUUACAAGUCAUUCCAAUUUAUGCAAUGCAGUGUUUUUUUAUGCCAAUUUCUUUAUGUUGAGAAUUAAGAGAUUAUGAUGUGCAAAUUCUAGAUACGCAAUUCGAAAACAAAUAAAGGAAUUCAUUGGUGCAAUUGGCGUUCUAUAUAUAUGUACCCCAAAGGCACAAGGGGGAAUUGGUUUUAGAGAUCUUUCAAUUUUUAAUAAAACCCUUUUAGCGAAGUAGGGUUGGAAACUAAUUACCAAUUCUACCAGUUUACUUGCACGAGUAAUGAAAGGUAAGUAUUAUCCAAGGAGUGAGUUUAUGAAUGCAGGUUUAGGAUAUCACCCUUCUUUUACCUAGCGAAGCAUUUGGGGUGCUCGUAGCAUUUUGGAAGAUGGUACUGGCUGGAGAAUUGGGAAUGGCAUGACAAUGAAUAUAUAGAAGAUGCUUGGAUUCCAGGACCUGGAGACAGAAAGGUAAAAAUUAAGAAUAUUGACAUUAGAUGCUCGAAGGUUGCAGACGUCAUUAAUAGUGAAACUAAUACCUGGAAAAUGGAUCCAGUAGAAAGAUUGUUCAUGAAGAAGCAAGCCGAGUUGAUUUUAACCAUCCCACUGGUGAACAACUCUUAUCAAAUGCUUUAAUCUUAAAGGGUGAUAAUACGGGAGAAUACUCGGUCAAAAGCAAGUACAAGUGGUGCAUUUCUGGUGGCCAAGACGGGACAGAGGACGAUAAUAAUUUACAAGACAUUGCUACAAAAAAAACUAUUACACAAAGCUCUGGAACCUCAAAAUUCCAAACAAAAUCAUAAUACGCCUAUGGAAGGUUUCUAAAUAAUUUUCUUCCUUUGCUAAGUAAUCUAAAGUAUCGAAGACUAAGGGAGGAGGCCCUCUACUCGAUCUGUAAGAAGGAAGACGAAAUGGUGGACCAUCUCUUUCGAGACUAUGCUUUUAUGAAACAAGUGCUUCAGGAGAUAGGAAUGGUACCCUUGCACACAAACACAAAUCAAGGAUGGAAAAUUUGGUUUGUGUAUGUUUUCGGAAACUGUAACAUUUUGCAAAACAUAAACAUAACCAUUGCAUAUUAGGCCAUUUGGCAUAAUAGAAACAAGUUAUAUCAUGAAGGUAAAAGAGAAAGAGUAUGUGAAGUUGUCAGUUUCAUUAAGGCAUACAUUGUCGAGUUAAAACAGUUAAGAGGAAAUCUCACUGAUCCGAAAUAAUAUUGAAGAAAUACAGUGGAAACCUCCAAAGGGAGAUCAAAUGAAAGUUAAUUUUGAUGCCUCUUUCCAACAGCAGUGUUGGUGCAAGAGGCAGCAGCAAGCUUGUUUCUACUUUGCUUGGACAGCAAGUGUCGAGCCUUGCUGAAGAAACUAUCGAAGAAGAAAGGAAGAAAAAAAAGAAAUUUGCAAUGGAAAACAGAAAAGAAAGAGAUAAAUUUGAAUGAAAAUGAGUUGAAUUUUCAUUAACCACUUCACAAGGCAUAAUGCCAAUACAUAUAUGAGAUAACAACAGCAAAACAAACAAGUUACCACCUAAUAACAUACCUAACACCACUAAAUUGCCUAGUAACUUGGUAAACUUGUUUGAACAUAUAAGCAACUACCUAAACUUGUCAUUCAGGACCUAAUUACAUCAAAAUGCAGCUACCAACUAAGUUCAAAACAAACUAAAAUACAAAAUGUUCAUUUGAGUAACCAAAUGAAACAAUGCAGUUUCGGUUUGAUGUUGAAGCACGUUCCCUGCAUGCCCACCUUGCAUGGCCACCUUGGCUGCUGCAUGGGGGCUGACUUCAACACUCCUCCUCAGCUUCUAUGCAGUAGACUCCUAGUUGCUUCCUUAGGUUUAGAAAUCUCGAUGUACCAAGUGAUUUUGUGAAGAUAUCGGUAAUCUGAUUUUCUGAGCUGCAAUGAAUCAGCUCGAUCUCUCAAGCUUGUUCCAUUUCUCUUAUCACAUGCAGUUUAAUGUUGAAAUGUUUUGUCCUGCCAUGGAAGAUAGAAUUUUUAGCAAUAGCAACUGCUGACUUGUUGUCAUAAUGUAUCACAGCUGCUUCAUUCUGCUGUAGGUUCAAAUCGCUCAAAAUUUUUCUCAGCCACAUAGCUUGAUUAAGAGCAUUGGCAGCUGCUACAUACUCAGCUUCAGCUGUCGACUGAGCCACCAUUGUUUGUUUUCUUGAACUCCAACAAAUCAUAGCUGAGCCAAGUGUAAAAGAAUAACCAGAGGUGCUCUUCAUGUCAUCUUUUGAACCAGCCCAAUCGCUGUCAGUGUAGCCAAUCAGUUUCAAUUCUUUAGCCCUACUGAAAUGUAUUCCAUGGCUCAAAGUGCCUUUGAUAUAUCUCAGCACCCGUUUUCUAGCUUUGUAAUGCUGCUGGUUGCAGCAAUGCAUGAAUCUUGAUAGCAUGCUCAUAGCAAACAGAAUAUCAGGUCUUGUUGCUGUCAGAUACAGCAAACAACCAACAAGGCUUCUGUAAUCAGUUUCACAGACAGAUUCAUGGUCUUCUUGGCUCGAUAGCUUCAUGCCAACAGCCAUAGGUGUGCUGGUUGGUUUACAAUUCUCUAUUGAGAAUUUGGCUAGAACUUUCAAGGCAAAUGAUUUUUGUCUCAAGAAGAUUCCUCCUUCUACUUGAUUUACUUCCAUUCCUAGGAAAUAUGUCAUCAAUCCCAGGUCUGACAUCUCAAACAUUUCCUUCAUUUUUGUUUUGAAAUCAGCUAACAUGAACUUGUCUCCUCCAGUCACUAGAAGAUCAUCAACAUAGAGUGAGACAAUGAGCUAUGUUUCAGCUCGAUUUCUUUUAACAUAAAGUGUUGGCUCACUAGCACUCCUUUAAAAUCCCAAACUGACCAGGUAUGAGUCAAUCCGAGCAUACCAGGCUCGAGGGGCUUGUUUUAGGCCAUACAAGGCCUUUCUUAGCCUAUACACCAAAUGUUCCUUACCAGGCAUUAUGAAUCCUAGAGGUUGCUCGAUGUAUAUCUCUUCUUCCAAGAAUCCAUUGAGGAAUGCAGACUUGACAUCCAUUUGAUGGAUUGUCCACUGGUUCUGAGCAGCUACAGCAACCAGCAAUCUGAUUGUAUCGAGUCUGGCUACUGGAGCAAAUGUUUCCAUGUAGUCCAGACCAUAUCUCUGACUAAAGCCCUUCACAACUAGCAUGGCUUUCUACUUGUUUAAACCUCCAUCUACAUUAUGCUUCAUUCGAUAGACCCAUUUUACACCAAUGGUCUUUAUGUUAGUUGGCUUUUCAACCAACUCUCAUGUUUGGUUCUUCUCAAUCAUGUUGAUUUCAUCAACCAUAGCCUGUUUCCAACCCUCAUUUGCCUUAGCCUCUUCAAAAUAGGUAGGUUCAGCUAUAGCAACCUGUGCCCUUUCAUAAAUCUCACCUAGGGGCCUUGUGCCUCUCACAGGCACAUCAUCAACAUCCAUCUCAGGACCAAGCUGCUCGAGUUCAGCUUGAUCAGGCACCAGGUCUUUUGAAGCAGCUUCUGGUUCACUCUUUUCCCAAUUCUAGCAAGCUUUUUCAUAAAAAAUGACAUCUGUGCUCACCUGGACUGUGCUUGUCAAGGGAUCCAAAACCCUGUAGCCCUUCUUGACUGAGCUAUAACCCACUAGGACACCUGGUUGAGCCCUUUCAGAUAGCUUAUCCCUCUUUGCUGCUGGUAUUUGUGCAUAGCACAGGCAACCAAACACCUUCAGAUAUGCCAAGGAAGGCUUGAAUCUAAACCAAGCCUCGAAAGGUGUCUUGGAUGCAAGAGCUUUGGUAGGAAGCCUAUUCUGAAGGUAGACAGCAGUGUUUACUGCCUCAGCCCACAUGGUCUUGGGAAAUUUCUUCUCAAACAGGAGACAUCUGGCCAUAUCCAUCAGACUUCUGUUCUUUCUUUUAGCUACCCUAUUCUGCUGAGGUGUGUAGACAUUUGUAAGCUGGUGUUUGAUGCUAGCAUCAUUGCAAAUAGCUUGAAACUGAGCUGAAGUGUACUCAGUGCCAUUGUCUGACCUUAUCGAUUUCAGCUUGCAACCUGUUUCUGUCUCAACAGCCAUUUUAAACUUCACAAACACUUGAGCUACCUCAAACUUGUGUUUCAGAAAGAAAAUCUAGCAAAACCUUGUAAAAUCAUCAAUAAAGAGAAUGAAAUACCUAUUUUUGCUGAGUGAUUCAGUUCUCAUAGGUCCACAUACAUCAGAGUGCACCAGCUGCAGUCUUUCAGUGGCUCUCCAUACUGAGUUUGUAGGAAAUGGCAGCCUUGCCUGUUUUCCCAUUUGGCACACUUCACACACAUCAUCAUGCUCCAUUGAGCUGGUGAAGUUCUCUACCAAGCCUUCUUUGGCCAUUCGAGCCAUUGAUCUGAAGUUGGCAUGCCCGAACCUUUGAUGCCAAAGGUUAGAAUCAUCAACAGAGGCUGUGUAUGCUAACUUUAAGUCAUUUGGCCAAUGAACCUCAAAGCAUUUGUCAGUCAUUAUGACUGUCAUAAGGCUUGAUCCACUUGGAUCAGUAAUGUGGCACUGUUUUUCAUUGAACACAAUAGAGUAGCCUUUCUCGAGCAAUUGAGCUAUGCUGAGAAGGUUUCUAUCAAUCUCAGGCACCAAUAGCACAUUUGGAAUGAUCUUGUUGCCUGUAGGAGUACAUAUCAGCACCUCUCCUCUUCCUUCAGCCCUUAUGAAUUGACCAUUUCCAACCUUGGCCUUGGUUUUGCAACUUCUAUCCAAGGUUUUAAACAAGGAGGCAUCUGGUGACAUGUGGUUAGUGCAGCCACUGUCCAAUAACCAGUCUUUUGAACAUUUCUUCUCAGCAGCUAAGCAAGAAACAGCAAAGACCUGCUCUUCUUGGUCACUACUGUCCUCAGCUACUCGAGCUUCAACCUUUGGUUGUUGAAAUUGACUCUGCCUCGGCUUGGUUUUGUUUUUGCAAACCCUUUCAACAUGGCCUUUCUUCUUGCAGUGUUGACAUACUGCAUCUAGCCUGAACCAGCAUCUGUCUUCUUGAUGACCUGGCCUCUUGCAAGGUCUGCAGGGCUGGUCAUUGCUCCUUGCAGCAUCAGGCUUAGGCCUGCUUUUCUAAGGCUUUUUGCCUCUUUGAGCAUUGAUGCUCGACACUUCUCUGGCCUUGGCAUGAAAUGCACCUUCCUGGUGAUCUUCAGCUCUGCUAGCUCUUCUUUGUUCCUGAGCAUAAAAAGUGUUAAUAAGCUCGGUCAAAGAGAUGCUAGCUAGGUCUCUUGAAUCCUCUAGGGAGGAUAUCUUGGCCUCAUAUCUCUCAGGCAAACUGGAGAGGACUUUCUCCACUAUUCUUGCCUCAUCAAAGUGCUUACCAAAGAGCCUUAUAUUGUUAACCACUACCAUGAUUCUAUCUGCAUACUGCUUCACUGUUUCUUCUUCCUUCAUCUUCAGAUUCUCAAAAUCCCUUCUCAAAUUCAACAGCUGUUGUUGCCUUGUCCUCUCAGUGCCUUGAAACUCCUCCUUAAGCUUGUCUUAGGCCUGUUUUGGAGUCUCACAGGCCAUAAUUCUGGUAAAGAUGACAUCUGACACAUAGUUCUGAAUGUAGGACAUGGCUUUGUGCCUUUUGGUCCUCUCAUCAGCAUGUUGCCUGAUCUGAGCUACUGUGGGAUUGGCCCUCAGUGGUGCUGGCUCAACAUCUGUGUUGACAACUUCCCACAGAUCAAAGGCCUGUUGGUAAGUCUUCAUCUUUACCAGCCAUAUGUGAAAGCCUUCUCCAUUGAAGACUGGUGGGGUUGCUGGUGAAAAUCCUAAAGAAGCCAUCAGGUUCCUUGGUUUGAAGCAACAGGUCCACUAAGACAAGGGCUCUAGAUACCAAUUGUUGGUGCAAGAGGCAGCAACAAGCUUGUUUCUGCUUUUCUUGGACAGCAAGUGUCGAGCAUUGCUGAAGAAACUAUCGAAGAAGAAAGGAAGAAAAAAAAAGAAAUUUGUAUUGGAAAACAGAAAAGAAAGAGAUAAAUUUGAAUGAAAAUGAGUUGAAUUUUCAUUAACCACUUCACAAGGCGUAAUGCCAAUACAUAUAUGAGAUAACAACAGCAAAACAAACAAGUUACCACCUAAUAACAUACCUAACACCACUAAAUUGCCUAGUAACUUGGUAAACUUGUUUGAACACAUAAGCAACUACCUAAACUUGUCAUUCAGCACCUAAUUACAUCAAAAUGCAGCUACCAACUAAGUUUAAAACAAACUAAAAUACAAAAUGUUCAUUUGAGUAACCAAAUGAAACAAUGCAGUUUCGGUUUGAUGUUGAAGCACGUUCCCUGCAUGGCCACCUUGCAUAGCCACCUUGGCUGCUGCAUGAGGGCUGACUUCAACAAGCAGACUCACAAAUCUAUUUUAGGAUUGGUUAUGGGCUCAUGCAUUUACCCGAUUAAAAAUUUCUAAGACCCAACAACAGAAGAAGCACAUUCAUGUUUAGAAGCAGUUAUCUUUGCGGAAGAAAUGGGCUUUGGAGAUGUUUGUAUAGAAGGCAAUGCACUCACAGUCCUAAAAAGAAUCAAAAAAUCAGAGAUUGAUAGAUCAGUUAUAGGCAACAUUAUUAUUGAGAUUACGGAUAGAGUAACCAGGUUUUGAAUUUUUACCUCUCGAUACGUCCUGCGAGCGGCAAAUAGAGCAACACGCGGAAUGGCAGCUUGGGGAACACGGCAUGAAAGGCCGAUCUACUAGGUAGAAGACGUUCCACUGGACGUUGAAGCCAUAGUCACAAAGGAGCAACGAUAGUAAGAGAAGAUUUUUUUUCAUUCUGAGUCUGGAGUGUUUGUUUUCAGUUUUGAAAACUCCAAGGAGCUCAGAAAUCUGCGGAGUUGGGAUGAAAUAAGAGACAUUUGUGAAACGGGUGAGGGUUUCAACUCCCACAGAGGAAUUCCUCCAGUGUGUCGGGAGUGGAUGAUUUUGCAGGGAAGAUUUAGAGGUGCUCAUAGGCCGGGCCGAGCCGGGCCCAUAAAAAAUUUUGGCCCAGGCCCGGCCCGACCCGAAAUAUGGGCCUAAAAUUUUACCUAGGCUCGGCCCGGGAAAAAAUUAUAAGCCCGGGACCGGCCUGGUGUUGACACCAUUUUUUGGAUGAAAACGGGGUCGACUUGGAUUUUGGAAAAAAAAGAAUGAAAAUGGGAGUCGCCACCAAUCCUUUUUUGAAGAGGUGUGAUUGGGUCACCUCAAAAGGUGGUUGUUUUUAAUAAAUGAUUUAAUUUUAUUAAAACAACGAUUUUGGUCUACGAAAUUCAGAAAAAUGAGUUCGGGAGUCGGUUACGCACGAGGAAGGAUUAGCACCCUCGAUACGCCCAAAAUUGGUACCUAGUUGAUUAAUUAGUGUCUUAGUGUCGAAAAUUUGAAAACUUGAAAGAAUUUAAAAUACGAUCCCUCUUUGUAAAGAAAAUGCUCAAAUGUUAAGGACCUUCUCGUCUCACAAUAUAAAAUGUCACAUCCAGUAAGUUAGGACACGACAUCUUGAAUUUUCGAGAACGAGCUUGCCUUUUAUAUAAAAAUUCGUGUAUUUCAAAAGGUUAUUCAGUUAGUUAAGGUGAACGAGGAAAAUCGAAACCCAGUAAGUUAGGGCACGUUUCCUCGAAUUCCCAAACACCGAAUAUUGCCUUUACUUGCAAAAAUCUUAUUUCGAGGUAACGAAAUGCCAUACCCAGUAAGUUAGGGAACAACACCUCGUAUCUCCGAGAAUAAGCAUUUUUCAAAACUCAUGUCACGAUUUAAAAGAGUAUUCCGUUAUUUAGGUUAAAGGAGAAAAAUUGAAACCCAAUAAGUUAGGGCACGAUUGUCUCGAAUUACCAAAUACGGAAUAUUACUUUUAUGAAAGAAUUAUUAUUGGGUUGGAUAUAAUGAUAAUAAGAAUAAUAUUAAAGUAAAGUAAACAAUAAUACUAUAUAUAAAUGUAUAUAUAUGUAUAUAAUAGAAAUACACACUACUAUAUAAUAAUAAUAAAUAUAGAAAUACUAAAAGCAAAUAUAAUAAAAAUAUUAAAUUAAAGUAAUAAAAAAUAAUACUAUAUAUAAAAUAUAUAUACAUAAAAAUAUACACUAAUAUAUAAUAGUAAUAGUGAUAGCAAAAAUAAUAAAAAUAUAAGUAAUAUUAAUAAUAUAUUAGAAUACAAAAGUAAAGUAAUAACAAUAGGAGUGAUAAUAAUAAUAAUACAAACAAUAAUACAUAUAUAUAAUAAUAGUAGUUAGAAAUAAAAAAUAAUAAAAGUAACAAUAAUGAUAGUAAUAAUAUAAAUAAAUAUGGAGAGGGCAUAUAUAAUAUAAUAAUAUAAAAAAAAUAAUAUAUACAUGAGAAAUAAUAAUAAUAAUAUAAAUAAUAGUAAAAAUAAUAAAAUAAUAAAACAAAGCUCUCAACUCUCUUUCUCCCUCUUUUCUAAAUCCGGCCGUUGGUCCGGCUUUGCUUCGGUCAUGGACCCCCACGGGCCGCCAUCGGCGCCACCGUACACGGCGGCCGGACCUCAAAAAAACCUUUUUCGAUAAUGAAAAUAUAGGUAAGCUUCUUACUUUUAUUUUUACUUUCGUAUAAAAAAACAAAAUAAAAUUGAAAGGAAAACAAUAAACAAACAAAGAACUAAAGAUAAGAAUAGACAAAAGAAACCUCUUUUGCUUUGAUCUUUGAUUAAUCUCCAAAAACUAGCCUUUCCAAGAAACAAAAAUAACCUUUUUUACAAAAAAACACCUCCAAAAAACAAAAAAAACCUCCUCCAAAACAAAGAACAAUCCUUCUCCAAAAAACCAAAAACCCACCCCUAAAAACAAAGUCUUGAAUGGCUUUUAUAGCCAAAUUUUACAAGUGGAGUGGUUGGGGUGGUUUAGGUGGCCAAGGGUGGUGGAGUUGGUGGCUAAGGUGGGUGGCCAACAAAGGUGGUGGAGUAGGUGGCCAAGGUUUUUAUUUAUUUAUUUAUUUAUUUUUUGUGUUUGGGUUGGGAUUAGGUUGGGCCAAAUUGGGUUUGGUUAGGGUUGGUUUAAGUUGGGCCAAAAUUGAGCCUUUACAGCUGCCCCUCUUUGCUCAUUUUCGUGUAACGAGAAUAGAGCAAAGACAUCAAAAGGGCCAAUUUUGCCCGGUCUUGCCGAGUCUUGACUUUUUGGUGCUCAUCUUCUUCCAGUAGCCUUAUUCCAGUCUGCUACGUCUUGUUGCUUCGAUCCACUCUACUGCAACUUCAGAUACGCCUUGUAGCUUCAAUCUACUCUGCUACGACUCCAUGGGGAUGAGAUUUGUGUUUUUAGUCUGCUCCACUACUACUUAGGGAGAUAAGACUUGAUGCGAUCUGCUUCACUAUUUCUUAGGGAAAUAAGAUCUGUGGUUUUAUCUGCUCCACUACUGCUUAGGGAGAUAAGACUUAAUGCGAUCUACUCCACUACUGCUUAGGGAGAUAAGAUUGUAAUCUUCGAUCUAUUCCACUGUUGCCCAAGGAGAUAGAACUACUGGCUUUAAUGUACUCCACUGUAAUCGGAGAGGUAAAAUCCGCCAUCUUCGACCUGCAAUCUAUUCCACUGCUAAAUACAGGGAAAUAGAGUCUGUUUUCAAUCCACUUCCUACCAAUAUAGGAAGGCAGGAUCUACAAUCUUCAAUCUAUUCCACUGCCAGAUACAGGGAGAUAGAGUUAUCGGCUUCAAUGUACUCCACUGUAGUCACAGGGAGGUAAAAUCUGCCAUCUUCGAUCUGCUUCACUGCCUAAUACAGGAAGGCAAGAUCUGCAAUCUUCAAUCUAUUCCACUGCCAGAUACAGUGAGAUAGAGUUAUCGGCUUCAAUGUACUCCACUGUGGUCAGGGAGGUAAAAUCUGCCAUCUUUGAUCUGCUUCGCUGCCAAAUACAGGAAGGCAAGAUCUGCAAUCUUCAAUCUACUUCACCACCAGUAUGGGAAGACAAGAUCUGCAUCUUGGAUCCACUUCCUAUCAAUAUAGGAAGAUAGGACCUGCUAUCUUCGAUCUACUUCACGCCAAUACAUGAAGGCAAGAUCUGCUUUCUGCGAUCUACUUCGCCACCAAUAUGGGAAGACAAGAUCUGCAUAUUGGAUCCACUUCCUAUCAAUAUAGGAAGAUAGGACCUGCUAUCUUCGAUCUACUUCACACCAAUACAUGAAGACAAGAUCUGCUUUCUGCGAUCUACUUCGCCACCAAUAUGGGAAGACAAGAUCUGCAUCUUCGAUCCACUUCCUACCAAUAUAGAAAGAUAGGAUCUGCUACCUUCGAUCUACUUCACGCCAAUACAUGAAGACAAGAUCUGCUUUCUGCGAUCUACUUCGCCACCAAUAUGGGAAGACAAGCUCUGCAUCCUGGAUCCACUUCCUAUCAAUAUAGGAAGAUAGGACCUGCUAUCUUCGAUCUGCUUCACGCCAAUACAUGAAGACAAGAUCUACUUUAAUGACUUCAAUCCCUCCCAUUGCAACUUCAAGGGUAUAGGAUCUGUUUCUUUGAUCUGUUCUCUGGGGAAUAUGACCUGUAAAAUCCAUUUUAUGGACCUAUUUAUGCCUAGUGUUUAGGAUGGCAUGAUCAGAAUGAAUCAAAUGCUUCUAACUAGAUGUGUAUGAAUGAAUGCAGAAUGUCAUGAGAAUGAUCCAUUUUUAAUGUUUGAGUUGUCAUUGCUCAUGUUUUAUCACUGACGUGUUACAACGCCUUCUUGCUCGGCUGGCAUAUCCAAAGAAACACUUAGUCAGAUUGCCCCCACUGCGAACGUCAAAGUUUAAUCCACUGGGACAUAAAAUUUGUACCAUCAAUCUCCCACCGUAAACUAAGGGUAGAAGGAUAUGGCUUUUUCUCGAUCCUCUACUAUCACAAUUCAAGGAUACAGAAUGUGAAACUCUUUGAUCUCCUACACCAUUCCCAAGGUGUCAUACCAAAUGUUUAUGUACAAAUGCAAAAUUUCCUUCUCCGAGAAAACCUUUUCUUAUUACUUGGUGAACAUCGCUUGUUUGUUCAUUGAAGCUUUGCCACCAACACGACAUCUUGUCAAUGUUUGGACAACAAAAUUUGAAAGGAUAGUCCCGACUUGGACUCUUCCUUUUUGGACACUUUGAAUUUGGUGUGCUCUAAACAACAGUCCUGUUUCAGGCUCCUUCAUUAUUUAGAAAUUUCUAGAGUAAUAUGCAAAACUCCAAUUGCUUGAACAUUCAGUUUAUUAAUAGUUAUUCUAAAUGUUUUUCGAGAAGGUUACCACAACGAACAAACAAAUGUUAUUAAGAACAAAUCUCGAGAUGAAUGAGUUAAUCGAGAUAGCAAAUUUUGCUAAGGUAAAAAAUGAAAUAAGACAAUAGACAAGAAUGAAAUUUUAUUGGGGAGCAAAGCUUGAACUGAAUACAAUAAUCAAGACAACAAGUUUUGCCAAGAUUCAAAGUAUAAGAUGACAACAGGUGCCCCAGAUAUCACAGCACGAGCUUCCCUGCACAAGUUUUCUAAAGACCAUUUAAUAUGUGUUUGGAAUCUACAGUAUUUUGUCGAUACCCCAAGAUGUCACCUACUCCUUCUUGCGAUUCAGGUGUAGUAAGACCACCACAUGCCUCAGAUCCUGCUCAAAAAUUCGAGCCGUACCUCACGCUUCAAAAUUCGAGCCGCCUUUUUCAGGUUUUCAACUCAAAUCCCCUUUGGUCUCAAGGUGCCUUUUGCGGGUUUUCACCUUGGCCUCUCCCAUUUUUUUUUUUUUUAAGAAUGCCCCCUUUUUAAGUGAAAUACUUCUUGACUGAGUCUGAAUUUACAGGAUUUGACAGGCUUUUACCAUCCAUUUCGCUCAGGAUUAAAGCUCCUCUUGAAAAGGCCUUUUUUACCACAUAAGGACCUUCCCAAUUUGGCAUCCACUUUCCUCUAAAAUCCUUUUGUAGAGGAAGAAUCUUUUUCAGCACCAGGUCCCCCUCGUAAAAUUCUCUGGGACAAACUUUUUUGUUGUAAGCUCGCAUCAUUCGUUUCUGAUACAUCUGACCAUGACGAAUAUCUUUUAACCUCUUUUCUUCUACCAAGUUUAACUGGUCAUAUCUGGAUUGAAUCCAUUCAGCCUCAUCCAACUUUAGUUCAGUUAAUACUCGGAGAGAAGGAAUUUCAACUUCUAUGGGUAAAACUGCUUCCAUCCCAUAGACUAAAGAAAAUGGUGUUGCCCCGGUAGAGGUUCUAACAGAAGUACGAUAUGCCAGGAGAGCAAAAGGUAAUUUCUCGUGCCAAUCUUUGUAGGUUUCAGUCAUUUUUCCUAUAAUUUUCUUGAUGUUUUUGUUAGCUGCUUCCACGGCACCAUUCAUUUUUGGACGGUACGGUGACGAAUUGUGGUGUCUGAUCUUGAACUGACUACAAACUUCCGCUAUUGAGUUGUUGUUUAAGUUCAGCGCAUUAUCGGAUAUGAUCCUUUCAGGCAUCCCGUAUCGACAUAUGAUCUCUUUUUUCAGAAACUUGCUAACUGCCGACUUCGUGACAUUUGCAUAUGAAGCCGCCUCCACCCAUUUAGUGAAGUAAUCAAUAACCACAAAGAUAAAACGAUGCCCAUUGGAAGCUUUUGGAGAUAUUGGCCCGAUAACGUCCAUUCCCCACAUGGAGAAAGGCCAUGGAGAAACCAUAACAUGAAGGGGUGAAGGUGGUGCGUGCAUUUUGUCACCAUAAAUUUGACAUUUAUGGCACCUCUUGGCAUAAUUAAUGUAAUCCCCUUCCAUGGUGGACCAAUAGUACCCAAAUCUCAUAAUUUGUCUGGUCAUCGUGAAGCCAUUGGCAUGCGUUCCGCAGAUACCUUCAUGCACUUCUUCCAAAAUUUCCUUUGCCUCAACAGCAUCCACACACCUUAACAGUACUUGAUCUUUUCCUUUUUUAUACAAAAUUUCCCCAUCAAGGACAUAGUCAAUGGCUAAUCUCCUUAAUGUCUUCUUAUCAUUUUCUAUCGCAUGGUCAGGGUACUCGCGACUCUUCACAUAUCGCAAUAUGUCAUGGUACCAAGGGUGAUCAUCCUUUCCCUCUUCAUUGUCAAUGUGCAACAAUGGGCUGGAACCUCAUAGAUGCUGAUCUGGAUAGGCUUCAUAUAUUCUAAUUUGUUCACUUUAAACAUGGAGGCUAAAGUGGCCAAAGCAUCUGCCAUCUGAUUUUCAUCUCGUGGGAGGUAACUAAAGGUGACACUAUCAAAUUCCUCGAUCAAUUCCAUAACCAAUUUUCGAUAGCGAACCAACUUCGGGUCUCUUGUUUCCCAUUCCCCCUUGAGCUGGUAAAUUACUAAUGCAGAGUCCCCGUAUACCUCUAGCACCUUAAUUUUCCGCUUUAUGGCUGCCCGAAUGCCCAUAAUGCAAGCUUCAUACUCAGCCAUAUUAUUUGUGCAGUCAAAGUCCAAUUUGCUAGUGAAAGGAUAAUAAUCUCCACUAGGGGACACGAGUACUGCCCCAAUUCCGUUGCCUAUAGCAUUUGAAGCUCCGUCAAAACUCAACUUCCAAGGACCACCUUCUUGGAAAUCUUUCUUUACGGUUGCGGCAUACAUCAAAUCCUCAUUUGGGAAAUCGAAGUUCAAUGGCUCAUAAUCAUCGAGAGCCCUACUUGCUAGGAAUUCCGCUAUUGCACUCCCUUUGACCGCCUUCUGGUUCACAUAGACUACGUCAAAUUUAGAUAGAAGAAUUUUCCAUCGAGCCAUUCUUCCAUUCAGAGCGGCUGACUCCAUCAAGUAUUUCAGAGGGUCUAAUUUGGAGAUUAACCAGGUCGUAUAGUACAACAUGUACUGUCUCAGUCUCCGAGUUGUCCAAAUUAAAGCACAACAUAAUUUCUCGAUUGGCGAAUAUCUUAUUUCGCAUUCGGUGAACUUCUUACUGAGAUAGUAGAUCGCUCUUUCCUUUCGUCCUGAUUCGUCAUGUUGACCAAGCACGCAUCCCAUGGAAUUUUCAAAUACUGCCAAAUACAGUAUGAGCGGUUUGUCUGGGCAGGGUGGCAUCAGUACUGGGGCGUUGGAUAAGUAAUGUUUGACUUUUUCAAAAGUUUUUUGACAUUCCUCAUCCCAUACACCUGGAUUAUGUUUCUUGAGGAGGCGAAAUAUGGGGUCGCAUUUCUCAGUUAGCUGUGAGAUGAACCGAGCAAUAUAGUUCAGCCUUCCUAGAAAACCUCGAACCUCCUUUUGAGUACGCGGCGGGGGUAAUUCUUGUAUUGCUCUUACUUUGUCAGGAUCAAUCUCAAUUCCUCUUUCACUGACCACGAAUCCAAGUAAUUUUCCUGAUCUGACCCCGAAUGUGCAUUUUGCUGGAUUUAGCUUUAGCUGAAAUUUCCUCAAUCUCGUAAAUAAUUUCUUAAGGACCUGCACAUGUUCCUUUUCUGUUUUAGAUUUUGCAAUCAUGUCAUCAACAUAGACUUCUAACUCCUUAUGCAUCAUGUCAUGGAACAGUGUUCCAUGGCCCUCUGAUACGUUGCCCCUGCAUUUUUCAACCAAAAUGGCAUCACCUUAUAACAAAAAGUUCCCCAUAGGGUUAUGAACAUAGUUUUCCUCAUAUCCUCGGGAUGCAUCUUAAUUUGGUUAUAUCCCGAGAAGCCAUCCAUGAAAGAAAACAGUGAAUGUCCUGCUGUAUUGUCUACCAAGGCGUCGAUAUGCGGCAAGGGAAAGUUAUCUUUUGGGAUAGCCUUAUUUAGAUCUCUAUAAUCCACACACAUUCGUACCUUCCCAUCUUUCUUAGGGACAGGAACAAUGUUAGCUACCCACUCGGAGUAUUUGACCACCUUCAGGAACCCAGCGUCAAAUUGCUUUUGCACCUCUUCUUUUAUUUUUAACACGAUAUCAGGCCUUAUUCUUCGGAGUUUUUGCUGAACUGGUUUGCAAUCCUCCUUUAUAGGAAGUCGGUGAACCACGAUGUCAAUACUUAACCCCGGCAUAUCUUGGUAUGACCAUGCGAAGACAUCUUUGAACUCUCGCAGCAAUUCAAUGAGGUAUUGUUUUACUUCUUCAGCUAUGCGGAUACCAAUCUUUAACACCUUUCCCUCUUCCAAGAUCACUGUCUCUAUCGUCUCUUCGUGGGGUAGAAUCUGUUUCUCUUCCUGCUCUACCAUUCUCAACAAGUCCGGAGAUAGGUUGCAAUCUGUGUUAUCUUCAAAAUCUUGAGAUUCCUCUGGACACAUAUCUCGUUCAAAAAGAUUUUCUAAGUCCAUAGUAGAGUCACUCAUAUCAUUGAUAUCUUGGGACCUGUUAUAGGUAUCAAAGAAUGUACAGGGAAUGUAUGAAUUUAAGGAUUCUUAUUUAGUAUGACCAUGAAUGUAUGAAAAAAAGAAUUUGAAAAGAAUAUAUACUCAAAAUGCGAAGAUAUAUUUCAUUGAAAUCACAAUGUCCACAUAUAAGCCUAUUUCAGUUCACAAAAGUUUUCAUUUUCUCUAGGCUUAGAAUAAUUAAUGUUUUGAAUAUUACUCUGGAAAAGCUCUAAAAACUUCAGGCAUUUCUUCCGCAGUCCAAUUGUUUAAAACACUCCCAGGUUCAACGGGAUAGAUGCCUGACGUACUUCCUCCUUCAAAUUCUUCUUCACAUAUGGCAUUGAUGCUUAAGUUUCUUAACAUUUCCUCUGCGGUCUUCUUUCUUGGAGCCCUCAGUUCAGAAUACAUAGUUCCUCCCGACAUGAAUGUCCUGGAUAUGUGGGGGAAAGCCAUAGGUUCCCAGUCGACUUCUUUUCCGUUCAAACGCGCCUUCCUUCUAUCUUGUCUCUUUUCUAACUCUUUCCUUCUCUGUUUGGUAUUUGGUUUAAAUCCUAAACCAAAACGAUCUUGUUUGUAUUUCACUACUGGUGCCCCCAUCCUUCCCUGAAGGCAUCUUCCAAGUCCUCUUCCAGGCACAGCUCCUUUCCCAACUGUCGCUUGUAAUCCCAUCCUUGUGGCUUUAGACAUGCUGGGCGUCGGAAUCUUCUUUCCCCCUAUGACAAAGGUUGCAUUUACGAACUCCAAAGAUCGAAAAGAACAUUCAACUGCCUCGUCGUCUAUUCCCAAAUAUGGUGUAUCAUUGGUUACCAAUGCAAUGAUAUCUUCCUCGGCGUCAAUUGUAAUUAACCGGCCUUCUAUUACCAAUUUUAACUUCUGGUGCAAUGAUGAAGGCACCGCCCCUGCCGAAUGAAUCCAGGGUCUUCCUAAUAAGCAAUUAUAUGACGGCUUGAUAUCCAUCACUAGGAAGUCCACAUCGUAUGUAUUUGGGCCAAUUAAAAGAGGUACUUCUAUUCUUCCUAUCACCUUUCUUUCGGUACCAUCAAAUGCUCUCACUAUAUUUUGGCAUGAUCUCAUGUGAGAGUUAUCCACCGGUAACCUACUUAAGGUAGAUAGGGGUAAAACAUUCAAGGCUGAUCCAUUGUCAAUUAGCACUCCAGCUAACAUAUACUCCCCGCAACGAGCAGUGAUGUGUAAUGCUUUGGUAGAUCCUCUUCCCCCUGGCGGUAUUUCAUCAUCAUUAAAAAAGAUGAAAUUAUUGGCAUUGAUAUUAUUAACCAAGCGGUCUAACUUAUUCACCGAGAUAUCUUUAGUGACAUAAGUUUCAUUUAGCACCUUAAUCAACGCAUUACGAUGUAUCUCUGAACUUAUAAGCAACUCAAGUACGGAGAUACGAGCCGGUUGCUUAUGUAAUUGUUCUACCACGCUGUACUCGCUAUGUUUCAAGAAUUUUAGAAAUUCAUUGGCUUGAUUUUCAGUUACCGGCUGAUUGACACUCGAUUCAAUUUCGUCUGUUUUUGUUUUUCCUAGCUCAACUGCUAAAGCUUUUUCUUUUCCAGAUUCCACUAUCGCGUCUGCCGGAUCAUAGCGCUUUCCACUUCGUGUAUAGAAUCCUUCCUUCUUUUUUGAAGCAUUUACCGAGCUCUCUUUUCCUGGAAUCGUCACAUUGCAAUCGUAACUCCAAGGAACCUUUUUGUUACCCUUGUAAGGAAAGGAUACAGGUUUUUGGAUUAUAACUUUUGGCCCUAUUUGUAUUCCAGAUUCUUUGUUCAUUGGCUUUGAAAUGAUAACCACUGGAUGACAAAGCUCUUGGGUUCUCCUUGCAGAUCCUUCUCCUGUAGCACAAACUUCUUCCUCUUUUAACCCUUUGAUUUCUUCAUAAAACUCCAUUUCUUUGCUAUCCAUAAAGUUUUGCACCACGAUUCUGAACUCGGUGCAUUCCUGGAUGUCAUGAUCUUCUUCUGCGUGGAACUUACAAAAUCUCUUUGCUUGUUCAGGCCUUUCUAUCGAAUCUUGCUUGAUAAGACCUCUUUUUACCAUUUGUUUCCAAACCCAUCCAAGAGGGGUUUUUAUCUCUGCCACGUUGGCUUUGACUCUUCUUCCUUCAUUCUCACUUAUCGCGUUUACCCUAUUAUCGUCAUGAUUGGGCAACGGAUUUUCUGCUACAUUUGGCCCUGAUGAGUCGCCAAUCUUUACGAUCCCCAUAUUGAUAAGUUUCUCCACUAACUUCUUGAAUGCAGUGCAGUUCUCAAUCGAGUGCCCCUUAAUCCCCGCGUGGUACUCGCAUUGGGAGUUUAUGUCAUACCAUUUGGGGUACGGAGGUUGCAUGGGUUUUAGGUAAAAUGGAGAUACCACAUGUGCAUCAAAUAAAUUCUGAUACAAUUCUUUAUACGUCACCGGGAUGGGUGUGAAUUGAGGUCUUUCUAUAUUUGGCCUUGAAUUGGACUCCCGUCUCGAAGAACCUUGCUGAUUAGUGGUUGUUGCUCUGGCUUGUCCCACCGUGAUUGAUCUAGAAUGGUCCUUGUUAAACAUGUUUGUGUUGUUUAUCUCAUGCUCCUUCUUUCUCAGUGCUGACCUUUUAGCACUUUCUCCUGCUUCUAUCUUGCCACUCCUUAUGGCAUUUUCUAUCAUUUCUCCAGACAUCACUAUGUCUGAAAAGCUUUUGGUGGCACUACCCAGCAUGUGAUUGAGAAAUGGAGCUUUCAAAGUAUUGAUAAAAAGCAUGGUUAUCUCUUUUUCUAAAAGUGGUGGUUGAACUUGUGCUGCUACCUCCCUCCAUCUUCGAGCAUACUGGCGAAAGCUCUCAUUAGUUUUCUUUUCCAUAUUUUGCAAUACAAUUCGAUCGGGUGCUAUGUCCAUCACAUGUCUGUAGUGUUUUAUAAAGGCCUGCGCCAAAUCUUUCCAAGAGUGGAUUUCAGCUCGACUCAAUUGAUUGUACCAUCUAACAGCUGACCCGAUCAAACUAUCCUGAAAACAGUGAACCAACAGCUGCUCAUUGUUGAUGUACCCGGUCAUUCUUCGGCAAAACAUAGUGAUAUGAGCAUCGGGACAACUUGUCCCGUCAUAUUUUUCAAACUCCGGCAUUUUAAACUUAGGAGGGAGGAUUAAAUCAGGCACCAAGCUCAGAUCUUUAGCAUCCAUUCCUCGGUGGUAAUCAGCACUUUCCAUGGCCUUAAACUUUUCCUCCAGCCAUUUACAUCGGUCUUCCAAUUGCUUUGAUAGAUCCACUUUCGUAUUUUCCACUUCUGCCACGUCAUCGAGGUCAGGGACUAUGAGAUUGGUGGGAUUCUCUCCGGAAUUGUUACUUAUUCCGAUUGGAGGACUCGUUUGGAAUUGUUGGGGUCUAAUUGUAACAGAGGGUCUUUGUUGAUACAUUUCAGCUUGAGUAUGCGCGUGCAGAGGGGUAAAGCCUGGAGGGUAAAGGGGUUCAUCACUAUUUCCAUCUUCAACAUUAACAAUAGGGUCCUUUCCCUUGUCUUUUCCUCCUUUCAACAGUUGCGUUAACUUUGCCAUCAUGUCGUCUUGGGAUUCUCGCAUCUCUCGCUGAAUCUUUUCCAACCGCUCUUCUAUCUGAUCUUGCAUAUCUCUUUGGAGCUGCUCAAGUUUUUCUAGUCUUUGAUCCAUGUUUCUUGACUUCGCUCGAGUUCCGUAAGAGUGACGGUUUUCCAGGUUAACUGAAAUAAUUUUAUUUAGUUAGGGUCUUUUAAUGGUCAUUAAUGCAUAUAAUGCAAUGCAUGAAAUGAAUGCAAAAGGCGUUAAUUCUAGUUCAAUUUCAUUAUGAAAACUUUACUAGAAAAUAAACUUUUUUACAUAAGGUGGAUUACAUAUACGACUUAGCCCUAAAACUCAAAAUUCUAAUCCUCCUAAGCAACGAGUCUAGCUCCUGUCCUCGACUCGACUCUAAUUCGUACUUCACGCUUAACACAUCAGCUUGUACUGCUAACGUCUGCAAGUGAUCAGCCACCUCUCGGAUUUGAAGCACGGCUUCUCCCAUGAUUUGAUCUCUAUCUCUUACUUGGUUCUGAAAGUAGUGCAACUGCUCGGUUUGACGAUCUUCAUUAGAUCUCAUGUGCUCAAUCCGCAUCUCGCAACUUCCCAAUGCUGCUUCUAACUCUUCAAUUCUUCGUUUCAUCUCUUCAAUUCUACUUAGGCUUACUUUUAAUUCCAUCACAGAAUUUCGAUUUCGAUGCCGAUAGAGAGAUUCUUCUAACUCGGACACUCUAUUUUCUAGUUCCCCUUUUUCUUUCUGAUUCUCUGACAGACUCUUCUUUAAAGUCUCGUUCUGGGUUUGAACUUCUUGAAACCUUGUUUCCCAUCUAUCAGCUUUGUUCUUUUCUUCUUGAACUUCCUUGCGCCAUUGUUCAGAAGUCUUUCCCAACCCGGCGGUUCUCAUUGAUGAUCGCAACUUCUUGUAAUCUGUUUUCAGACUGUUCAGAUCUUCUUCAGCCCUAGCUUUUCCUUUUCUUAAUCGCUCCAUCUCGAGCUUCUGGACAUCUACAUCCAACCUUAAGUUUGUUUUUUCUUCCUCCAUUUGCUCUAUCUGUUUUUCCAACUCUGCAUUUCUUCUUUCAAAAUCUUGCUUCAAAAUUUCUAGUUCAGAAAGGAUGACCCGUAAGUGCUCCUCUAUCGAAUGACUGCCUUCGAGGCUUGAUUUGGGGACAUUGUCAUUGAUUCUUCUGACCCUCCAUUCUUUAUAUUCGGGGGUUGUCAUUGGUCCUACAGCUAAUCGCUUCAUUUGGCGAGUCUGAUUCCACGCAUUGGAUAUCUCUCGAAUCCUCUUUUUGUAGCCAUCACCCCCAUACGAGAAUUCACACUCGGCCAGCCCCUGGGUUGCGGGUAUAAACUGUCUUGAUCUGUACUGUCUGAGCACUAAUAACGGGGCAUAGCCAAUAGCUCCCCAGAUUCCAAGCAAAGGGACCCAAUCAAAACUACCACAUCGGUACAAAAUUUCGUCUGGAAGUAACCACGGAGCUCUCCAUUCAAUGUCUUCUUCAUGCAAGUUUUGAAGAAUUGCCAUCCAUUUUUCCAUUGAAAUGUCGUCCCUUCUCGGUGUAGCUAUCGUCUCCUUUAGCGGCGAAUAGUUUUCAGAGAAGACCCGAUAUGACACCUUAUCCACUUUCCAAAAAUGACUGUGGAACCACGCAAGUAGCAACUGUGCACAUCCAAUGAACCUGCCUUCGCCCGCUCGCCGACAGGUACUCAAUGAUCUGAAUGUCUCCGCUAAAAUUGCUGGAAUCAGGGUAACUCCUUUAUCAAGGCGGUCGAACAAAUCAGUAACCGCCUCAUCAAUAUGCCCCAAAGCUCUAGGAAAGAUAACUAAGCCAUAUAUGCUUAGGGCGAAGAUAUCUACCCUAUUUUUUAUAUCCGGGUGCACCAAAGCCACAUCUUUCAAACUCCUCCAAGAAAUGCACUUGUUAUCCCCUUUUUGUUUAAUUCGGGCCGUAACCCACUGCUCACUCAUGCCUGUUAUGUUCAUUAACCUUCUCAAAAAGGGUACAUUUGCGGCUCUUGAGUAGAUUCUGUCGACUUGACUCUUUGAACACCGAAGUAAAGCCAUAUAUUCUUCUAUCGUAGGCACCAAGUCAACUUUCCCGAACGAAAAACAACUAUAGGCGGGAUUCCAAAAUUGUGCGAGAGCCCGGAAUAGGUGCUUAUCUACCUUCAUAUCUAGCAGGUACGGCAAGUCCCCGUAAUGGGAAUAAAACAACUGUCUGGCCUCCUCGUCCCAAUGGUCCCAAAUUCCUUUCAACUCUUGUAAAUCGUUCUGGGUUAUGCUAAUGCGGGUAAAGUCCCAUAGCUCUGAUAUAUAUCCUUCAGCCAAACUAUCCCCUUUCUCUUGUUGUGUCGUUUCCGACCAAAUUCGGACUGCCGCAUUAUCUUCCACCUUAUCAAGAAACCUUCUUUCCAUGAUAAGCUUUCUUUCUAGAAACCGAAUAUGAACCAACGCCUUGAAAUAAUGAAAUGCCAUGCAGUUGAAAUGUCAUGCAUCCAAAGUAAAACAACAAAUAUCAGUACCAGAUAUAAACAUAUAAUCCAAGAUAAUUCAAAAAGAAUAAAAGCACAUCAGGGUAUUUACUAGGGUUUGGUGUAGUUCUACUUAAGGUGAGUUCCUAAGGUUUACUACAUGGGGUUUGGUUCUAAAGCAAAGGUACCCGAACCAGCAGAUUCCUCGAUCUUCACCCAUUAUAGUCUCAUAUAGACCGAGUUCGGUUUAGGGGAAUACAUUUCCCUAUGGCUGCACGGAGAUGAAAAUCUCACGAAGACAUAGGUACGGAUGUAUCCCGAAAGCGAUCCACUAUCCUGCACGGAGGUGAAAACCUCACGAAGGAGUAGCUUCUCACUCCCACUUAAAAGGUGUGACCAACGGUCAUGCAAUGCAAUGCAAAGAUAUAAAAGUUUAAAAUACGAAACAUGAUGAAAACUAUAGCUCAAAACAAAUGAAAUGCAAUGAGAAGAUCGUAUAUUUAAAUCAAAUUUUCAACUUUCGACAAAAAGACAAAAAAUAAUCAACUCGUGGCUUGACUCACUUAUUUUGAAAAAGUCCCCAGUGGAGUCGCCAAGCUGUUGACACCAUUUUUUGGAUGAAAACGGGGUCGACUUGGAUUUUGGAAAAAAAAGAAUAAAAACGGGAGUCGCCACCAAUCCUUUUUUGAUGAGGUGUGAUUGGGUCACCUCAAAAGGUGGUUGUUUUUAAUAAAUGAUUUAAUUUUAUUAAAACAACGAUUUUGGUCUACGAAAUUCAGAAAAAUGAGUUCGGGAGUCGGUUACGCACGAGGAAGGAUUAGCACCCUCGAUACGCCCAAAAUUGGUACCUAGUUGAUUAAUUAGUGUCUUAGUGUCGAAAAUUUGAAAACUUGAAAGAAUUUAAAAUACGAUCCCUCUUUGUAAAGAAAAUGCUCAAAUGUUAAGGACCUUCUCGUCUCACAAUAUAAAAUGUCACAUCCAGUAAGUUAGGACACGACAUCUUGAAUUUUCGAGAACGAGCUUGCCUUUUAUAUAAAAAUUCGUGUAUUUCAAAAGGUUAUUCAGUUAGUUAAGGUGAACGAGGAAAAUCGAAACCCAGUAAGUUAGGGCACGUUUCCUCGAAUUCCCAAACACCGAAUAUUGCCUUUACUUGCAAAAAUCUUAUUUCGAGGUAACGAAAUGCCAUACCCAGUAAGUUAGGGAACAACACCUCGUAUCUCCGAGAAUAAGCAUUUUUCAAAACUCAUGUCACGAUUUAAAAGAGUAUUCCGUUAUUUAGGUUAAAGGAGAAAAAUCGAAACCCAAUAAGUUAGGGCACGAUUGUCUCGAAUUACCAAAUACGGAAUAUUACUUUUAUGAAAGAAUUAUUAUUGGGUUGGAUAUAAUGAUAAUAAGAAUAAUAUUAAAGUAAAGUAAACAAUAAUACUAUAUAUAAAUGUAUAUAUAUAUAUGUAUAUAAUAGAAAUACACACUACUAUAUAAUAAUAAUAAAUAUAGAAAUACAAAAAGCAAAUAUAAUAAAAAUAUUAAAUUAAAGUAAUAAAAAAUAAUACUAUAUAUAAAAUAUAUAUAUACAUAAAAAUAUACACUAAUAUAUAAUAGUAAUAGUGAUAGCAAAAAUAAUAAAAAUAUAAGUAAUAUUAAUAAUAUAUUAGAAUACAAAAGUAAAGUAAUAACAAUAGGGGUGAUAAUAAUAAUAAUACAAACAAUAAUACAUAUAUAUAAUAAUAGUAGUUAGAAAUAAAAAAUAAUAAAAGUAACAAUAAUGAUAGUAAUAAUAUAAAUAAAUAUGGAGAGGGCAUAUAUAAUAUAAUAAUAUAAAAAAAAUAAUAUAUACAUGAGAAAUAAUAAUAAUAAUAUAAAUAAUAGUAAAAAUAAUAAAAUAAUAAAACAAAGCUCUCAACUCUCUUUCUCCCUCUUUUCUAAAUCCGGCCGUUGGUCCGGCUUUGCUUCGGUCAUGGACCCCCACGGGCCGCCAUCGGCGCCACCGUACACGGCGGCCGGACCUCAAAAAAACCUUUUUCGAUAAUGAAAAUAUAGGUAAGCUUCUUACUUUUAUUUUUACUUUCGUAUAAAAAAACAAAAUAAAAUUGAAAGGAAAACAAUAAACAAACAAAGAACUAAAGAUAAGAAUAGACAAAAGAAACCUCUUUUGCUUUGAUCUUUGAUUAAUCUCCAAAAACUAGCCUUUCCAAGAAACAAAAAUAACCUUUUUUACAAAAAAACACCUCCAAAAAACAAAAAAAAACCUCCUCCAAAACAAAGAAUAAUCCUUCUCCAAAAAACCAAAAACCCACCCCUAAAAACAAAGUCUUGAAUGGCUUUUAUAGCCAAAUUUUACAAGUGGAGUGGUUGGGGUGGUUUAGGUGGCCAAGGGUGGUGGAGUUGGUGGCUAAGGUGGGUGGCCAACAAAGGUGGUGGAGUAGGUGGCCAAGGUUUUUAUUUAUUUAUUUAUUUAUUUUUUGUGUUUGGGUUGGGAUUAGGUUGGGCCAAAUUGGGUUUGGUUAGGGUUGGUUUAAGUUGGGCCAAAAUUGGGCCUUUACACCUGGCCCGGCCCAUUUUUUUAAUAAAUACCAUAAAUUUAUUUUAAAAAUAAUAAAAAAGUAUUUUAAAAAUAUUUUAAAAUUAAAAAAUAAAUAUAUUUAUUAUAUCGGGCCAAGCCGGGCAGGACCCGGGCCAAAAAAGUGGUGCCCGAGGCCCGGCCCGUUUUUUAAACGGGCCUCGUUUUUUUAUCCAAGCCCAUAUUUCGAGCCUAUAUUUUUACCCAAACCCUCCCAUAUUUCGGGCGGGCCGGCCCGGCCCAUGAGCACCUCUAGGAAGAUUGAAGGACUUGGGUUUUUUUCUUUGCUUUUUGUUUAAAAGUUUUUUGUUUUUUAGGUUUUUCAUUUUAGUGCUUUAAGUUUUCUCAGCCUUUUUAGGGAUACCCGAGGCACCACCCAUUAGCAGCAAUAGGCUUCUGCCAGCUAGCUAGUGGGCUGAAACAUUGCAGGGUUUAGGAUUGUGUUCCAUCCUUUAAUCUUCAAUUUUAAUGAUUUUACUUCAAGUUUUUUUUAAGUAAAUCCCUUCCCAUAUAUAUAUUAUGCAUAUAUUAAAGUUAGUUUCUAAAGGGAAAGAGUUAAUAUUCCAUUUGGUAUGUAGGGUUUUUUUUUAAAAUUUAAUAUAUGAGUUUUACUUCAAUUUGGUAUCCAUACCAAACAAAUGUGCUUAAUGAAUACUUGGCACGUAUGUUCUAGUAAAAAAAUAUAAUUACCCACAAAACGAUCUGAUAAAAUUGUCACCCUGAAUUACCUGACAACGAUGACUCAAGUAUGAAAUUACCACCCAGAUUUCCGAGCAACGAUGGUUUCCAAAUAAUAACCUGACCCUAUGUACGCCAACUAACUCGGUCCGACAAAUAAUAGGGUAACCAAAUUUCAAUUUCAAUAUACAACCUGAUUCAUGUUUAUUCAUUUUGAUUUUCAUCAUCAGUUUACCAAUUCAAUACAUAACUUAUAUAUAUAUCAACCGAAUUUCACAUAUCAAGUAAGUCAUAAAAUUUUCUAUUCUAUUCAAUUUAGUCCUUGCUUCGAUAUUCAAUUCAAAUCAUAUCAAUUUAGCUCAAAAAAUUAUCAAUAACUAACCUCCAAUUCCAUAUAAUGUAGAAUGAUAUAAAUAUGCAACAACUAAAUGGUUCCCAAAUCAUAGAAUUACAAACCAAAAAUUUUGAUCUAAUUAAUAGCUUUGGAUUUUCCUUUUCCUCUCGAUGAAUCUAGGUCGACGUUAGUUAUGGAUUAACAUAAACACAUAACACUAUCAAUAAACAACCAAUUCACAAUCAAUUGUCAAUUUAUACAAAAAUUUCAAUUUAUUCAAUUUAGUCCCUAAAACUGAGACUAACAUAACUUUCAAUUUAAAACUCCAAAUUAAAAUUUGAUUUCACUAUGGUCCAUUAGAGACCUCCUAUUUCUUAUUUAUAUAAUCAAUUUUACAUUUAAUUCAGUUUAGUCCUUAUAAUCUUGUGUUUGCGAGUAAUUUUAGGGUUGCUUUUGUCGUUGUGCCCUCUAGUUUGGUGGAUGCUCAGUUCUUUUGUCGAUUUAUGCUCACUGUUUUGGACCAUCCGGGGUUGAUUUCCUUAUUGUAUUAAGUGCUUGCAAUCACUCCUUAUGUUGUGCUUAAGUUGUGACAGAGUCGAUUGUCAACGUGCCAUAAUGUUCUAUUGAUGUUGAAGCUAAAGCUUUUGUUAUGUUGAUGGAGCUUGUACUUUAGCGCGUUCAAUGGGUGUUUGUUACUUUUUUCCCCUGAAUUGUAUGGUCUUAUUUAUUGAAUGAAUUAAUAAAUUUCUCUUUAAAAAAAGAAAUAAUUUAUAAUAAAUAAUUAAAUGUAUUAUUUAAAACUAUUUAAUAAUAGCGCAUUAAAUAUGUAUGCUAUUAAAAUGAAAAAAAAAACAAAUUAAAUUGUUUAUCAUAAUAUUGACACUUUUCAUCAAUCUUGAGUCAAUAUCGAGUUAACUUGUGACACCAACUCAGCUAAAUAUAUUAUUAAUAUAUACAAUGAUGGGGCUAAUAAAGUGUGCACAAAAAAAUUAAAAUGUAUAAAAAUAUCAAAAUAAAACUUUAGUUGAGUAGUAAAUAUAAAUUUUAUUAAUGCAAUUAGCAAGAGUUCGAAUCUCACCAUAUACAUAUUUUAUUGGCUUUUUUUAAGUUAAAAGAUUAGAAUAUCCUUGAAUAAUAUUGUUUAGUUUAAUUACAAAAUGACAUUUUCUUAACUUUUUAAUCGAGUUGGUAACCCGAUUAAAGGUGACAUUAACUCAAUCAAGAACUUAGAUAAAUAUUAAUAUAAAAUAUAAGUUUUUGCUAUAAAAUAAAAGGACAGAAAGUAAAGAACAAAGAAAAUGAGAAAGCAAAGAGAGAGCGUAUUUUAUUGAUCAAUUGAAAUAUUUACAAAGUUUCUCCAAAAUUUCUAUUUAUAGACAUAAGAAGUAUAAAUGAAGUAUAGACCUACUUCUAAUGGCUAUAAGAAUUUAAAGUACAUCAAAAAUUAUCUUGAUCUUGAUGGACAUCCACUUAAUAAGAUAUUCAUAACACCCCCUUGGAUGUCCAUUGGUAGAUAAUGUGCCUCGUUAAAACUUUACUAAGAUAAAGAUCUUGUGGGAAAAAAUCCUAGUGAAGGAAAAAAGUAAACAUAUCUAAAUGCGUAUAUUAUGCUGCACCAUUAAAAACUUUACCAGAAAAACCCAAUGGGAUAAAACCUCGGUUAAGGGAAAAAUAGUACAAUGCAUAGUUACUCCCCUUCAUAAAAACAUCAUAUACUUUCUCAUAUUCUAUUGAAUUGAAUACUAGUUUUCAAAUGACUAUAUUAAUGAAUUUGCUAAGCAUUUAUAUCACCGUUCUUUUGGAAGUCAUGAGUGGGGAAAUUUUAGGGGAAAUAUAUUUUGAUCUCUUGAAGAGUCUCAACAAUUUUCAUAACAAACUUUAAUCAUAAUUCCUCUAUAAAAACACAAAUAGGUAUUUUGGAUCAUUUUAUAAUCCUCCUUCAACUACUAUUCGCUGAGUCAAAUUUACCACAUAUGUUCCAAUUAUUUCAAUUCAUAUAAAUGAACAAUUUCCCGACAAUUUCGAUAUGCUUCUAUCAUCCUAAAUCCUUCAAGGAUUUGAAUAUAAAUUUUACUAUAUAGUGGUUCAUAAAAAGGUUGUAACAACAACCAUUAGACAUAAGUUAAAUCUUCUAUGAAUUGUCAAAAUAAUAUAUCUAAAAAUUAUUGCAUCCACCACAAAAAAAAUAUUAUUUCUUUUCAUAAUAAAUGCCAGGACUUAGCAAAAAACUUCAUAUUAUAAUUUUGCUUUUGCAAAACUACUUCAUUUGCACCCUCACUGGCUUUAUACCUUGAGAUAUUUGGACUACUGGUCCAAAAACUCCACAAAUUUAAUUGUACUUGAAUUGCAUCUUUCUAUUUUGAUUAAUUUAUUCUAUAUCUAUAUUUCUCAAUAGAUUUAUUAAAGAUCCUCCUUUUGUUUCAUUAUAUCAAUAAUAACAUUGCAUGCAAAAUUAUUGUCAACCACUUUUAUUAUUUGGUUUCACAUUUUCUCGAAUUGGCAUAACUUAUUAAGAUCUAUUAUUUUAAUCUUCAAUUUCAGGUACCUGAAUCUCUUCUGGAGUUUUACUUAUUAGUUAUGUCUUGGGUCUCUUUUGGAGCACUUGUCUCCACUAUUUGACCAUCUAGAAGAAUUUUCAUCUUUGGAAUCGAUCAAUCUAUUAUUUAUUCUAACUGAUUGUCCUGCCGGGACUUUGAUUCAAAUUAAAAUAUUAGAUGUUAUAUAAUAUUUGGUUAUUCUUAUUAAGUUUUUAAAUACAUCUGACAGUUAACUUGUAAUGAGUUUUCCUCGUUGAGCUACUAGUUCAAAUUACGUUCCCCCUAACUCAUUACAAGUUGUUAUUUCUCUCCCCCUCAUGUUGGGAAAACUAUCGAAUCAAAAUAGUAAUCACAAAUCAUGUCAUAAUUGAAUCUCCAAUACAUACAAAGAGACUUGUAAUUAAUAUAUAUUCCCAACUCUAUUUGAGGAUUGACUCAUCUUUUUGCGUUGUGUCGGAGUAAUUGGAAUAUAUACACACAUACAAAAAUUCAAAGAUGAGAAAUAUUUAGCUCUUAAUAAAAAACUUAUCAUAAUGGGAAGUAUUUAUAACUUAUUGGUUUGAUGCGUACAACACGUAAAUCAACAUAAUCUCAUGUUGAAAUAGGAAGUUUAGUUUUCAUAAGUAAUGGUUUAGGCAUUAAUCAGAGGCAUUUAAAAAAUAAUUUCUCUAAACUAUUAUGUGCAUAAAUAACAAACUUUUACAAAAGUUUUUCAAACUUCAUCAAUAAAAUACUAAGAUAUAAAUUCAUCAGUAUUAGCAAGAUGAAUUAUCUUAAUUGCAUGAUCUGGAAUUAAUUAUUUAAAUAAACAAUCUUGCAAACGAUAGGUUGCAAGUUGAUAACACAUACGUGAUUAUUUUGUAGAUGCAUCUACCAAAAUCAUAUAAUAUCAAAAUCAUUCACAUAAUGGAUGAAUGGGCCCAUAUUCAUUUCAAAAAUGUAAGACAUUAAAUCUCAACUUUAGCUAGUGAGUUUCUAACAAUCAAUUUUCAUUGAGAACAAGCAUCAAAUGAGAAUUCUUUAAAUUAAAGAAUAUUAUGGUUCUUUAAUAAUAUCAUAUGAAUUCUCAAUUAAUUUUCACAUCAUAUUUGAUCUAGGAUGGUUUAACUAGUCACGCCAAGUAGUACUUGCAUUUGUAUUAGUAAACUUUUAGUUUACUUUAACAUACGUUUCAAUUGUACUAAAUUGUAACAAAUUGAUAAUUUUACUAUCAUUCAUUUUACUUUGUAUCUACAUAUAGGUACUAUCGUGACAUUUACUACUGUAAAUGUCUAAAUCAAUGUGAAGUCUAUAAUGUCACUAAGUCAAUAAAUAUAAUUUUCAAAUAAUUAUAUGCAAUAUUUGCUUCAGUGAAUAUGCCAAAAUCUUGAAAUGAAGGGCAUUUGGUCUAGUGGUAUGAUUCUCGCUUCAAAUGCUAAAAUUCUUGAGUUUGAUUCAAAAUACUUUUAAAACCCUUUUAACAAAAUUUUUGCAUAAUCAGUUAACUACCAAAAAUAACUACCCAGGUCAUGUAUAAAAACAAGUCUAUACUAAAUAUAUCAAUAAACAUCACAUCUCAAGCAUAAAAAUAUGACAUAAUGAAAAACUAGCAAUUUUUUUCAUAAUCAUCAUCAUAAACAUGCAUGGAAUUUAAAUCAAAAUCCAACCAUUCAAGCUCAUAGAACUUUUCAUUUACAAUUGCUCAUGUUAUUUCCCUAAAUAAUUAGCAAAUGAAAUAAUAUAAAACGUAUGAACUACUACCUUUAACAAUUCUUUGAACUAAACCAAAUCUGAAUAACCAUAAAAUUCAUUGGUUUGUUAACAUAAAUUUGCAUACUAGAUAUGUUUUAAUCAAAUAUAUUAUUUAAUUAUAAAACCUACUAUAACGAUAUAAAUAAAUCAAUUAAUUUUCAUUUUCAUAAACAAAUGAGAUGCUUAAAACAAUAUGUAACACAUUUAAUCAAAACUUAAAAAGAAUUACAGUUAUUAUUGUUUGUCCCCAUCCUCGUUGUUUGGUUUCCAAGUUGUGACCCAAAGUCGAGAUUGAUUUGGUUGUUUGGUUUCUAAGUUGUGACCCAAAAUCAAGAUUGCUUUUGAAUUUUUGGUCUGUCUCCAUUGUAAAGCACAUCAAACAAAGAUACAAAUUGAUACAACUAUUCUCAAGUUCAAAUAAAGCAUUAUCUUGUUAGGUAGAGUGAAUAAAAUCACUAAGUUAUUUUUUAUGUCAAUUAAAUUUAUGGUUUUUUUCAAUUAGUUGGAUUGAUUAAAUAUUAAUAAUUUAUAAACACAUUCAUUUAAAUUAAUUUUACACUGUAAUAAAAAGUAAGAUGUUGUUUAAUAAAUCAAAAAAAAUUAAGUGAAAAAUAAAAAAAGGUGUUAUUUAAUAAUUCAUAAAUUGUACGAGAGUGAAGUGUUAGAUAUUUUUGGAUAUGUUUAAUGUGCUUGGGUUAGGAUAGAAAUUUCAAAAUCCGAGAAAAUAUAAAUAGUCAAACAUAUAAAUCAAAUCCAACUAAAAAUGCUAGAAAUUUGAUUUAUCAUACUCCUAUUAGAAAAAGAUAGAAAUGACGUGAAAUCACAAUUUCAUACAACCCUUUCUCCUCACAGUGAUUAUUGUUUGUCCCCAUCCUCAUUGUUUAAUUUCCAAGUUGUGACCCAAAAUCAAGAUUGACUUUGAAUUUUUGGCCUUCUGUCUCCAUUGUAAAGCACAUCAAACAAAGAUACAAAUUAAUACAACUAUUCUCAAGUUCAAAUAAAGUAAUAUCUUAUUAGGUAGAGUGAAUAAAACCACUAAGUUAUUUUUUAAGUCAAUUAGAUUUAUGAUUUUUUAUUCAAUUAGUUGGAUUGAUUAAUUUGAUAAAAAAUAAAUAUAAUUUUAAUUUUAAAUAAGUAUUAAAAAUAUUAAUAAUUUAUAAACACAUUCAUUUAAAUUAAUUUUACACUGUAAUAAAAAGUAAGAUGUUGUUUAAUAAAUCAAAAAAAUUAAGUGAAAAAUUAAAAAAAAUGUUUAAUAAUUAAUAAAUUGUACGAGAGUGAAGCGUUAGAUUUUUUUGGAUAUGCUAAUAAUUAAAAAUAUUGUACGAUGCUUGAAAGUUAUCUGAUACACAUUGUACCAAAUUUCAAUACCACAUAUAUGUUAUAAAAUCUUAUGAUGCUCUAAUCAACUAUUUAUAAAUUCAAUUUAAAAGAUAUUAUACAAUAAUUUCAAGCAUAUUUAAUAACAAUAAUUUAAUCAUAAAAACUUUUAAUCAUCCAAAUAUCAUACAUACUAUAAUUUAAUAAAAGAAUCUUAGUUUAAAAGAAACUAUAAAUUAAUAAUAUUUUUUUACCAAAAAUCAAUCAACAAAGGAGAAAAACAUACCACUUAAGGAUUAUAUAAUUUUUUCUGUAUAAUAAUUACCCAUAAUGUGCAGGCCCCAAUUGAAGACUGAAAUAACAGUAGCUCUAGAAGGCAAUUGGCAACAGCUUGAGUAGCAAAUUUGAGUGACCGACUAUUGCAUUGGUUGUUGCUUGAAAGGGGUAAGGCUUUGUGAAAGGGAAAAAAAAUUGUGACUUAUGGAGAAAAACAAUUAAAAGAAAACUGUGCUAAUAAGGUGUUAUAAAAUAAAAGGACAGAAAGUAAAUAACAAAUAAAAUGAGAAAGCAAAGAGAGCAUAUUUUAUUGAUCAAUCGAAAUAUUUACAAAGUUUCUUUAAAGUCUCUAUUUAUAGGCAUAAGAAGUAUAAAUAAAGUAGAGAUCCACUUCUAAUGACUAUAAGAAUUUAAAGUACAUCAAAACUUAUCUUAAUCUUAAUGGACAUCCACUUAAUAAGAUAUUCAUAACAAAUUUAUUAUUUUAUUAUUUUAUAAACAAUAAUAUAAGCUUUUUGGACAAAUUGAGUCGAGUUUAAACUUAACCUAAAUUUUUAAAAAAAAAGAGUCUAGGCCCAAUUUAGCUCAUGAAUAUCUUUAAUGGUUAAUUAAUUAUUUAUUUUAAUGAGUUUAUCUAAAUGUAUUUUAGUUUAUUAAUUUGAGUUUAGUGAUUCAAUGUAAUUUUUUUUAUAACUUUUAAUACAACUAUAAGAUGUAACUUAAAAAAAAUAUUUAUAAUUAUAAAUAUAAUUAUCAUCAAUUAGUUACUAAUAUGUUAUUUUGUUGUUCAUUAUUUACCAUUAAUUUUUUCAUAAUUUAAUAGUGUUUUCUAUUUAAAUAUUUUUAAAAAAUAUUUAUUAUAAUAUGCUUUUUGGAAAGUUAUCUUAUAGAAUAUGUUUUUUUUACCUCAACACCUAUAGAUCGAGUUUAGUGAUGUUUAUUGUACCACCAAGUUUUUGUGUCAUUGAAAUUAGAAUAAUUAUUUUGAAAUUAUUACAACACAUUAACACCCAGAAUCUUAAACCGUAAUAAUAUGAUUUAAUUUUCUAAUAGCUUUGGAUAAUAUUUAAACAAAACUCGGACAUUUAUGGAUGUUGAAUUUUUUUGUAAAAUUAAAAAAAACAUAUAUAGUAAUUCGUAACCAUUAAUUAAAUUUUUUGUAAAAUUAAAAAAAACAUAUAUAGUAAUUCGUAACCAUUAAUUAAAAAGGAGACACAAAAAUUAAUUGAUCUCGCUGCCCACGAGAAUAUUUAAAAAAAUACUAAUAAAACUCUAAUUUUUAUAGGUUUUAAAAUGAUUUUAAUUUUCAUAAAAAAUAUAUAAUUUAAUUAUGACUUUUCAAAAAACAAAUUCUUACAUCACCCUCAUUCCAACUAAAAAAAUUACCCGAAUAUAAAAAAACAAAAAAGGAUAAUCAAAGGAGGAAAGUUGUAUAAAAUGUAUGUGGUAGCGGGGAAGAUAAUGGUGGUGACGUUGAGGGAUUAUAUAUUUAUAAUUUUAAUUUAUGUUUUACUAUUUAAUUUUUUAUUUUACAUUUCGUUAAUUAAAUGAAUUAAAUAAGAUCAUUUUUUCUAUUAAUUUUCAGUUUUUUUUUAAAUUCAAAUCUAAUUAAAAAUACUAAAAAUCUGAUUUAUCAUCCUCCUAUUAAAAAUAAAUAGUGAUGAUGUGAAAUCACAAUUUCAUACCAUCUUUUUUCCUUACAGUUAUUGUUGUUUGUCCCCAUCCUCGUUGUUUGGUUUCCAAGUUGUGACCCAAAGUCAAGAUUGAUUUGGUUGUUUGGUUUUCAAGUUGUGACCCAAAGUCAAGAUUGAUUUUAAAAUUUUGGUUUGUCUCCAUUGUAAAGCACAUCAAACAAAGAUAGAAAUUGAUACAACUAUUCUCAAGUUAAAAUAAAGCAUUAUCUUGUUAGGUAGAGUGAAUAAAAUCACUAAGUUAUUCGGUUAACUGAAUUAACCGAAAAUUAUAUGUUUUUUUAUUUUUGGUUAAAAAUUAAUCGAAUUAACCGAAUUAACCGAAUUACCCAAAUUAACCAAAUUAUCCGAAUUAUCCGAAUUAUCCGAAUUAAUCGAAUUAACCGAAUUGAAUCACUACAUAAUUAAAUUAUUUUUAGACUUUUAGACUUUAGUUUUAAUUUUAGUUUUAGAAUUUUAUUUUUAUUUAUUAAAUUAUUUGUAAUUUUUAUGAUUGGGUUGGGUUGGGUAAUUGUGUUGGGUUGAAUACUUGGGUUUGGAUUGGGUUUAGGUGAAUAGUGGGCCUAUUUAUAUAUUAUAAUUUUAUUUAUUAAUUUUUUCGGUUAAACCGAAAAAAUUUGGUUAACCGACUAGUUUUGAACCAAAUUAACCGUUAACCGAAAAAUCAAAAAAUAAUUAAUCGACCCCUGACCAAAAAAAUUCGGUUAACCGAUCGAUUAACCGAAUUCGAUCAGUUAACCGAAUUUUUUUGGUUUUAUCCAAAUUUUGCACACCCUUAGGUUAAUGUACUUGUGUUGUUGUUUCGACACCAUAAUCAAUUCAGUUUUGCUUCAUCCAUAAUAAUUGUGCACAACUCUCAAGUACAAAACUUAAACCGUGGAUUAUGAGAUAGAAUUUUAUCUUUGUUUUUUGUGGGCAAAUAACCAAUAAAAGCCCCUUUAUUUUUAAAUUUAUCGAAAUGGGCUAGGUUCUGAAUUAAUUACCGAAAUGGACCAUUUCUCCCAAAAACGCGUCCAUGUCAGCGCGUUGUCAGGGGAUCAAGCAAGAAAACGCUUCCUCAAGGAAAAAAAUUAGAUUUAGGGUUUUUGCAAUUAGAUUUAGGGUUUUACGGUUUUUGAGUUUUUAGAUUUUAGGGUUUUAAGGAAAAAAUUAAAUAAAUAAGGGUUUAGGGUUUCUUAAUUAAAUUAAUUAUAAAUUUAAAAAAAAUUAGAUUAGGGUUUAGUGUUUAUGGUUUUUAAGGAAAAAUUAAAUAAAUUAGGGUUUAGGGUUACUUGAGUAAAUUAAUUAUAAAUUUUAAAAAAAUUAGAUUAUGGUUUAGUGUUUAGGGUUUUUAAGGAAAAAAUCAAAUAAAUUAGGGUUUAGGAUUACUUGAGUAAAUUAAUUAUAAAUUUAAAAAAUUAGAUUGGGGUUUAGUAUUUAGGGUUUUUAAGGAAAAAUCAAAUAAAACUAGUUGUUAUUCGUUAUAUAUUUUAAACUCUGGCCCAUUUCGGAACCUGACCCAUUUCGGUAAUUUUAAAAAUAAAGGGGCUUUUAUUGGUUAUUUGCCCAAAAAAUAAACUAAUAAAAUUAAAUGUUUUUAGUAAAAAUUAAAUUUAUUAAAAGAAUUUUUUAAUAAUAAAUUAAAAAUAAAAUAUAUAAUGAAUUUUUGUAUUUUCAAAUUUUAAAAUAAAAAAGAGUUUUUUUUAUAAAAACAUAAAAAGAGUUAAAAGUUUAUAUAUAUAUUAAAUUUAUCUUUUGCUGUAAUUUUAAAUUUAUAAUAAAUUAAAAAUAUUAAUAUAAUAUAAUAUGCAAAAAAAUACUUGAAAUUUAAUAUAAUACAAUCAUAUUAAUAAUAGAAUAUUUUAGGGAUAAUAAUUCCUUAAUUAAGGUCUUAAGAUCAUGGGUAAAUAUUUUAUUGAUUGUUAGUGAAUGAUUUACAAAAAAGUAUUAUUAAUUUUAUUUAAUGGAAUUUAACAUAAAUUUUAAUAUUUUAAUAUUUAAUAUAUAUAUUAAAUUGUAGAAGUUUAAAUUUAAAAUUCGAGAAAAAAUAUAAUAAUUGUAAUUAAUAUUUAACUAUAUUUAAACAAAGUUAGACUUAAUAAAUAAUUUUUAAAUAAUUUUUAAUUUUUUUAAAAUUUAUAAUUAAUUUAAUUAAGAAACCCUAAACCUUAAAAUCUUAUUUAUUUAGUUUUUUUCCUUAAAACCCUAAAAUCUAAAAACUCAAAAAUCCCAAAACCCUAACUCUAAUUGCAAAAAACCCUAAAUCCUAAAAAACAAGGAAAGCGCUUCCUUGAGGAAGCGUUUUUUGUCCACGUGGACAAAGCGCUUCCUUGAGGAAGUGUUUUCCUGCUUUAUCCUCUGACAACGCGCUGACGUGGACGAGUUUUUGGGGAAAAUGGUCCAUUUUGGUAAUUAAUUCAGAACCUGGCCCAUUUCGGUAAUUUUAAAAAUAAAGGGGCUUUUAUUGGUUAUUUGCCCAUUUUUUGUAGUGCUAUGAAAUUUAGCUUAAUAGAUAAUAGCAAAUUUGUGGAAAUACAAAAACUUAGCUUAACAUAUUUAAUAACUAGUGAUUGGGUUAGGAUAGAAAUUUCAAAAUUUGAGAAAAUAUAAAUAAUCAAACAUAUAAAUCAAAUCAUGCAUUCUAAGGCAUAAAUAAUAAACAAGUUCUCGAUGAUGUGGUAUUUAAUAUCUAUCAAUUUUGUACGAGAGUAAAGCAAGUAUAAAGACUUAAAAAUGAUUAAAUUAAAGUAAAAAAAUAAUUCUACAACUUGUACCAACGGAAGAUUUUUUGAUUAGGUGAGGGAUACAGUUGGAUCCGUUAUCUAGUGGCUGUCCAUGGUGUGAUAGAGUUAUAGAAAAUGUUAAUCAUUUGUAUUUUCUAUGUCCUUUUAUUAAUAUAUAGUUUUUGGUCUCGCAUUUCUAAUUGGUAGAGUUUUGAUUGGAAGAAUGUGGUGAAUUUUGAAGAAUUCUUUACUUUGUACUGGAACAUGCCCCUGAUAGGUCUGCAAAAAAGCUUUCGAUUAGUGGCGAUUGCGGGAUCUUGUUGGAUAGAAGAUAUCAGAUCUUGUCUUCCUGUAUUGGCAGUGAAGUAGAUCGAAGAUAGCAGAUCUUGUCUUCCUGUAUUGGUAGCAAAGUAGAUCGAAUAUAGCAAAUCUUGUCUUCCUGUAUUGGCAGGGAAGUAGAUCGAAGAUAGCAGAUCUUGUCUUCCUAUAUUGGCAGGGAAGUAGAUCGAAGAUAGCAGAUCUUGUCUUCCUGUAUUGGUAGGGAAGUAGACCGAAGAUAGCAGAUCUUGUCUUCCUGUAUUAGCAGCGAAGUAGAUUGAAGAUAGCAGAUCUUGUCUUCCUGUAUUGGCAGCAAAGUAGAUUGAAGAUUAUAGAUCUUGUCUCCCUAAGCAGUAGUGGAGCAGAUCGAAGAUGAUAAAUAUUAUCUUCCCAAGGUAGUAGGGAACCAGAUUUAAGCCACCAGUCCUAUCUCCUUGAGUAGCGGUGGAGUAGGUUGAAGAUCGUAGAUCCUGUCUCCCUAAGCAGUAGUGGAGCAGAUCGAAGGCAGCAAAUCCUAUCUUCCCAAGGUAGUAGGGAAGCAGAUUUAAGUCACCAAUCCCUUCUCUCUGAGUAGCAGUGGAGUAGGUCGAAGAUUGUAGAUCAUGUAUCCUUAAGCAAUAGUAGAGCAGAUCGAAGGCAGCGAAUCUUAUCUCCUUGGCGUUACAGUAGAACAGAUUAAAGCUCAAGGUAGCGAAUCUUGUUUCCAUAGCAUUGCAGCGGAGCAGAUCAAGACUGAAGAUAACCAACCUUAUCUCCCUGAAGUUACAGUGGAGCCGGUUGAAGAUAUCAAUCUUAUCUCCCUGAAGUUGCAGUGGAGUAGGUUAAACGAAGUGAGCCUUAUCUCCCCGAAGCUACAGUGGGUCAGGAAGAGGCUACUUGAAGAAGAAGCAUACCAAUGUCCAACACAACCGGACAAAAUUGGCCUUCUAAUUUAGUCUUUGCUUCAUUUUCAUUACACGACAAUGAGCAAAGAGGGGCAGCUGUAAUAGGCCAAUUUAGCCCGGGCUCACAAAAAAAAUAAUAAACUCAAAAUAAUAAAACAAAGUCCAAGUCCAGUCCAAAAUUGUAUCAUUUGGCCCGAUCGGAAUGACCCAUUACUUGAAAAAGGAUAUGCAAUCUUAGAUAUAAUAUGCAAUCUUAGAAGAUAAGAUUUUGUAAUCUUAGAUAUUUAAUUUGUAGAUACCAUUUAAAUCUUAGCCGUUGAUGUAAUUGAUCUAUACCGUUGGAUUUAGGGAGGCUCAACUAUAAAUAGAGACCUCUCCCUUCAUUGUAAAACACUGGAGUUGGGAGCAAUAAUAAUUCUUAAGAGCAUUCACUCAAAUUUCUCCUUCUCUUGUGUUCUUAUUUUCUGUGGCCUGUUCUUAUUUUGUUUUUUGUUCAUCUUUGUUUCAUUUUAAGUUGCUUUCAUUUGAGUUGGAUUUUGGUGGAAGAAUUUCGUUGAAUCUUCAUAUUGUGGGAGUAAGGCUGACUUAAGUGUUUUUUUUAACCUUUUUUAUUUAUCCAUUUAAUUGUUUAAUUAUUAAUUAUUCUUUUACUUUUAUUCGUUUAUUUAUCCAUCAACUUUCUUAUUUACAUAUCGUUCAUUCAUUUAACCAUUCUUAUCAUUCUUUUAUUUUUUCCAUUAAUUAUAUACUUUAUUUGUUUUUAAUAUUAUGUCACACAUGUUAUUUAUUUUUUAAAAACUCGUGUUAUAAAUCAUCUAUUUUAAAUUAUUUGAUUAUUUGCUUUAAAUUUUUUUCCAUAUAUUAUCAAUUGCAAUUUAUUUUUUAUACUAUCUAUUUUUUCCAUAUUUUGGCCCUCAGUUUUGUUUUAUUCUCAUUUUUUCCUUUUAAUUCUGUUUUAAAAUCAAUUUAAUCCUCACUAGUUUGAUUUAAUUUGCUUGUGUUUUAUUUAUUUAAGUAUUGAUUAUUAUGAUUUUUAAAAUUUUAAAUAUGAUAUUAUUUGAAUGUUUAUACUUAUUAUUAUUAAAUUAAUCAUUAAUAUUAUCUAAGUGUAUUGUAUAUUAUUAUUUUAGAUUUAUCAUGUUUUGUUAUUUGUAAUUUAUCAAUAUUAUUAUUUUAAAUUCAUUGAUAACAUUACUUUAAAUUUAUCAUGUAUAUCUAUUUCAAAUUUAUCAUUAAUAUUUUUAAAUUUAUUAUAUACUAUUAUUUUGGAUUUAUCACGUAUGAUUAUCCUAGAAUUAUCAUCAAAAUUUUUAAAUUUUACAUGUAUUAUUAUUUCAAAUUUAUUAUAUAUUAUUUAUUGUAAAUUAUCCAAUUCAUUUCAAAUUGUAGAUAUUGUUUGUUUUAAUUCAUGUAUUGUUUUAAACUUCAUCCAUAUACAUACUAUUUAUUUUGGAUUAUACAUAUUACUUAUUUUCUAAAUUAUUUUUAUUAUUUUUCUAUAUAAUGUAUAUUCUAAUUUUUCUUCAUAUUUCAUUUGCUUAAAUAUUUUUGUAUAUUGUGUUUUAUUAGUUGUUUUAAACAAUUUAUUAAAUGAUUUAUUUCAAUUCAUUUCAUGUAUUCAUUUUAUCUUAAUUAAUUGAUUUACAUAAUAGAUUUUUUAGCAUAUUACUUACUUCAUGUUGUUUCAUUUAUGUACCAUUUCUUUGGAAUUAAGUUUGUUUUAUAUAUUAUUUCGAGUUCGAUAAUUAUUAUGUGUGUUUGGGGUUUAUACGCGCAUAUUAUUUAGUAUUCUGCCCAUGUAUAUUAUUCCAUGUUCAUACAUUUACUUUUCAGUUCCGAACAUUACAUCAUGGUUAAUUUGAUUAUUUCAUUUCUUUUCAUUUCGAAUAAAUCAAAUUUAUAUCAUUGUUAAUAUUGCAUUAAACCUUCGCUUUAAUCCAAUUUCGUAAAAAAAGGGAAAAAGAAGUUUGCAAUAUGUCGUCUUUGGAACGAUGAGAAAUCGUGCUCUAACUUACAGGGUUUCGAUCUUUCUCAUCGAACUAAAAUGGCUAAAUAUCUUAGUUGUCAAAUAUACAAAGUUUCAAUAAAGAUUUUUUAGCUUACGCUCGGGAAUUGAAAUGUUGCAUCCUAACUUACGGGAUACGAUAUUUUGUCGUCUCGGGAUGAGAAGGCUUUUUUACAUUCGUUUAAAUUUAUCCAAGUACUAUUUUAAGAUAUGUUAUUAAUAAAGGGGGAUUGUUUUUAAUCUUUUCAACUUUACGACAUUCGACUAUAAGACAUUAAUAAUCAAUUAGGUAGCAAUUUUGGGCGUUACGAGGGUGCUAACCCUUUCACGUGCGUAACCGACUCCCGAACCUAUUUUCUCAAAAUUCGUAGGCCUAAAAUCGUUUUCAAGGUGAUCCAAUCACACCUCAAUAAAAGAUCGGUGGCGACUCCAUUUUUUCGUUUUAAAAGUCGACCCCAUUUUUUCAAAAUAAAAAAUGGUUUCGACAAGUAGUAUUUUGAUUAUGUUUUUAUAGAUGUAAUUUAGUAUUACUUUAUUCUUUAGCCAAAAAAGAUUUUUUUUAUAAUUUAAUUAAAAUUUACUAUUAUGAUUCAAUUUGAUGUAGCUUCUAGAGAUGACAAUAAAGUCGGGUGAGAGCAGAUAUUGCUAAACCUAUUACCACUCCAUCAUUUGCAUGUUGUAUACAUCCAUCUAAUCCCAUCCCAUCCCAUCCCACCCUGCAUUAUCAUAACUGCUUCGUACCUAUUACCCAAAAGAAAAAAUCCACCCCGUUCAGCCCUGCAUCCACUUUUCAAAAAAAAAAUCUAUUUCAAGCGAAGCAAUUCAAAAUGUAUUGGACAAUUUGAGUUGUCAUACCUAAUAACUUUAAUCUGAGUUCAUAAUUGAAUACUGAGUUUAGAUGGUAAUUUGUUUUCCAAACUUUUUGAUGUCGUGUUCUUCGACAUGCCUAUGAACCGUUUCAUCAUUUGCCUCUUAGAAAAUUAAAAAUAAGUUGUUUAUACUAUGUGAUGUAGUUUUAAAACCGUUUCUUUUUUUUUUAUUUAUCCGUUAUUUAUUUGGUGUAGGCGAAAAAUAUUUUAUGGGUUUGUGUUUUUAAAAAAAGAGUCAAAUUUUAUUUUUUAAUCACCAUUAUCAAAUGUGUUUAUUAAUUUAGCGUAAAUAUUUUUCAUAUUUAUCAUUAAAUAUUAUUAUAAUUGUUUCAUGUUACUUUACUUAUUUUUCAUAUUUUUCAACUUAAUAUUAUAAUUUACUAUAGGUAACAAUAAUUAAAAAUACAUUAUUUAAAAUUAAUUAAAAAUUAAAUACGUAAAAUCAUAGGCAUGUGACAUUAGAAAUUACUUUAAAAAUAUAUAUCAAACAAAUUUUAUAAUUUAAAUUAAAUAUUUAAUUUUUUUAACACUUACUCUCUUUUUUUUUUAAUUUAUCAACCAAUUUUUAAGUCUAACCUAAUUCAAACCAAGGAAACUUACUUGGAUUUUAUGUUGGGAAUUAAAUAAAAAAGAGAAAUAUUUUUCACUUCAAACUUAUUCAGUUUAAUUACCAAAACUCCAAAAUAUUUUUUUGAAGACACCCAAAAAAACCCCUCUAUAAAAAAUAAGGAUAAUUUGUGAUAUUUUUCCUCUUAAAUGAUGUUAUUUAUAUUUUUAAUUAUAUUAUUUAUAUUUUAUUUUAUUUAUUAUUGAUUUAGAGAAUAAUUAGAGAUAAAAAAAAGCUUAAAGUUUAUUUUUGACAAGUUUUGCGGGUUGGACUUUCAACAUUUACAAUAUAGUUUCAGUAUUUUGGCAAUAACUUAAGCUACAAAUUUUAGUUUUGGGCUCAUAAUAUAUAGAUUUGAAGAAAAUUGACAUAACUAACUAAAGUUGUCUUGUAGAUGAAGCCCAAAAACAUCAAGAAGACAUCAAAAAAUGUCCUAGAAGUUUGACGGAAAAAUUGCCAAAAUAUCUUGAAAACUUUUGCUUUAUAUAAUUAAUGGCACUUUUGUACUUUCUCUAUUAUAUUAUUUUUCCCCUAUAGAUAGACAUUAUUAGGUUAAUACGAGGGGAGACCUAAACCUAGCCAUUCUUAGUUUUAUUUUGUUUUCUUUAUUUUGUGGCUUUUUAAACUCUCCAUCUAGUCAAAGGUUUUAUCAAAAUUUGAUUUAAUAAAUUUGCGAGACUUAAUUUUUGCUUUAAUUUUUCUUUGUUCUUUAGUAUUCAUGCAUUUUUUGUUUUAAUUACAACUUUUCAGGUUUAUUGAAUGUUCAGUCGGUAUUUGAUAGCCUAGAAUGAUUGUUUUGUCAAUUAGAAUUGUUAAACCCAUAAUUGUAUAAUUCAUUCUAAUACUAGUGACAAACUGCAUAAUUCGUUUAAGUGUAGUUCAUGUUUAUGUGGUGUGAAUGUGUGAUAUAGCUAAAAUGAAUCUCACUAGGAUGAGUUUGUUGGUUAGAAUUUGGACUCUCUCGUUCUUAAUACUGGCGGUAAGUUAAAUCUGGGGCGUUGAGUUACAGGGUUAUUUAUCGAUUAGGAAAUAAUUUCAAAUGAGUUUUCUCUUGGCUAUCGAACAAUGAGAGAUUGGUUGUCCGACACUGAGUCAAUAACUAGAACUAAUUUAUUAAAGGUAUUGAAGUUAUUUUUGCAUUGAUGAUCAAAUCUUUGAAUCAAACGAAGAUUUUAGUACUUCUAGAGUUUCUCCUCAUUAAUUUUCUUUUCUUUUGUUUUAUAAUUUAUUUUUACUUUGUUUUAAUUUUAAUUUUUAAUUUUAAACUCUUUUUAUAUUUUUCAUGUAAAUUUUUGUUUUUAUAAAUCGCUGCAUCCUUGCAUUACUUCAAUACAACACCAGAAGAACAAAAUGUCAAACACUGACGCUUAUAGAUAAAAAUCUUGCAAAAGAGGCCGUUUUAUUUUAUCAUAAAAUUAUUCAUGAAAUAGCCAUACAUGGCAAUUACAUAAGCUUGAAGGCCUUAAAACACAGAGACAUACGAUAGAAAUACGCAAACACACACACAAACGAUAGUAAUAAGCAAACACACACAGACGCAGUAAUGAAGGCUAACUUCAACUUCGUAGUAGUGCACACCGAUGGAGCACAUUAUUAUUUAGUUUACAGUUUCGACCUCUAGUGAUCGAAAACCCUGGCUCAAAGCCGGCAGCUUACGCACCCGUAGUGGUGUUGGGUUGGUUGCCAAGAAAAGCUGCAUCAGCAUUCUCAUCAGUGCAAUAAAGGCAAGGGUGCUGCUGUCCACAUCCUAGCUUUAUUAUUUCAUUCCUGACCUUCACCACAAGUUGUCUAUUGCUUAAUGCCCCAUUGCUCUCCCUGAUGACCUUCAGAACUGUAUAGGUAAAGGCCCCAAACCCCAUUCCUCCGGUUUUGUCACUCGCUCCCAUAUCACUCGAUUCCUCAUUGGCUUGGCACCCACUUAACAGAAUUCCCUCAUCCUCCGUCAGUGACCUCAAAUUCACAAUAUCACGUUCAUCAUGGGGUAGGAAUUUGAGACUCACAUUGUUCCCAAAGAUUGUGGUCAAAAUAGAGCCAAUACCCUCCAUAUUAUCUGUUCCAGUGUUGAUGGCAUUCCCAAGUGCUCUUGUGGGAAAUAAGCCUUGUGUCGCGAUUAUGACGUUGGCUACUGUUUGUAGGCACUGGUAUAAGGUUCCUAAGGAAAUGCCCCUAGUCUUGUAAUCAACAGGUAGUGCUAUACCCCUUAGAGUACUAUGGGGUCCAAUUUGUUCUUUACUUUUAUCAAUCAGACCACCACUGUGGCAGGAAUCCGAAACCAUUGUGAAGCUUGAUCCACUUGGUAGUUGCUUAAUCAAUUGCCCCAAGUCCACGUCUGCACAACCAUCGCAACCACAAUAUGAUAUAAAUUACAGUUUGCUUAGAUUGAGAGAAUUUUAAUAAUUUAAUUUACCGAGUUGAUUACGUACCAAAAAUGGGAUUGAAAUCACAAGGCACAAUUGCUUCACCCUUGUUGGAAGGCUGGUGGGGGUCAAUGCGGUCCACAAUUCCAUGUCCACUAAAGUGGAAAAGCAGGACAUCUCCUUCUUUAGCCGCGUCCACCAUCUUCUUGAGUGCAGCCAUAAUGUUUGCCCGUGUAGGCUUAUACUUGGACUCUGGUUCAUCAGUUAGGAGCUCAACAUUUUCGGAAUCAAAGCCAAACCUGCUCAAGAUCAUAUCUCUCAUGGCUUUCGCAUCGUUUACGCAUCCACUCAACUCUUUGAAGGUGUUGGGGUAGUUGCAUCCGACCAGAACGGCUCUCUUCUUACAUUCGGUGGGCAUCUUGCUUCUAUUUUGGGUCGCUU